Molecule: long non-coding RNA, 95084 nt
Filed under: Malus domestica (apple)
Lineage: Eukaryota; Viridiplantae; Streptophyta; Magnoliopsida; Rosales; Rosaceae
Source: RNAcentral
UCACCACUCGAACAGAUGCAGCCACCCACCCAUUUAAUCCCAGUCCAAAAUCAAACCCUCUCCUAAACCCACCCCAGAAUCCAAUAAUUUCAAAAAAUGGCUGAUUAUAUCAUUUCAAGAACCUCACAAUUCCAAAAACUAAAAACCCACUUCAAAGAUGUAAUAUUUUUCUCUCUUCCUCUUUUUGGGUUUUUUUUUUUUAUCAAUUCUCUUCUGGGUUUUUGUUUACAGUGUAAAAUCAACACUAAUUUACUAAUUUUGCUUUGAUUUUUCAAACACUAUUGAGGCGUGAUAACCUGUUGCAAGCUCAGCCAUGGCGGCUACUGCAAAAUCUAACGGAAAAACCAUCACAGACUCUGCCAUUUCAUCCAAGGUUCCGACAAUAGCAAACCCUUUAACGAAUAGCUGUCGCAGAUUUCUUCCAACAUCAAUCACCACGCGAAAUUAAUUGUCAAUGAAGACGAUCCCAUUCCCCUUCGAAAUCUGCUGGGGGAAAGAGGCCUUCUUUCAUAUCUGCUCUGAGACCUGUUUAUGCGAGAGAGUGGUGAGCCUGACGACAGAGAGAAAGAAGGGCAGGAUUGGAAAAUUGGAAAGUUCAUUUAUUGGUUACUGUUUAUCCGUGUUUCUUCGAAAUAAGCUGCUUUUUCCAGCUUUGGGUUUUCAGUAUUUUUUUAACCCAUAAUUUUGAAAGAAAAAAAACUGAUUUGAAAUGUUAUCAAACACUUAAAAUGUUCCAAUCUUUUUUCAUACCUAUUUUUUUUAUUAAAAGUUAAGCUAAACAAAAACCAGGAUUAAGUUUACUACUUUGAAGUUUCUUGCUUUUCAACAUUUCAUACAUUGAAUUUUUCUCAUCCAGUGUCAUACCUAAGGUGAGAAUUGUGGGACACUUUUAUACAUCCGUUAGAUUUUCUGUGAAUUAUGGGACACUUUUAUACAUCCGUUAGAUUUUUUGUGAUAACCUUCGCUGACCCACGAUGCGGCAUGCAUGUGGACAUUAAAAAAAAUUCAAAAAUUCAAAAAUUCAAAAAUUUUAAAAUUUAAAAUUCAAAAAUACUAAAAACCUAAACUUUUCAUAAUAUUGAGUUGAGAGACUGAAUCUUUUCACACUCGGCCAAAUUUUCUUUGAAUUUUAAUUAAAUGAAACAAUGAAUCUUGAACAAAGCAAAACAAAACGUAAUAUUGAGAGAUUCAGUCAUUGAAGUGGACGUGGAUGUUGGGUACUCAAUAGUCCAAGAAUGAAAAUUCUCAUAUCAGUUUCUAUCCAAAAUUUUGGAAUUAUGUGUGUUGCAACGAUUGUCCAAAGGAUUAUUCUUCUUUUAUUAAAUUUCCAUGAAAAAUGAGCAUGGGGGCAUAAAAAUUGAACGAAUGAAAUUUCAACGAUUUGAAAAGGGUUGUGAGUUUGACACGUCAUUUUUCUUCCUUUAAUGCAAUCAUGUUUAUUAAAAGACAAAAAUAAAUAUGACUUUACAUAAGGAGAGAGAAAGAAUAGUUUUCUUUGAAAAAAUCAACCAUUUAUUGAAGAGGGAUGUUGAUAAGGAGAUGAGACAUUCAUUAGAAGCUAGAAAAAAGAAGUUAAAAGUGAUUUAGAAAAAAGCAAGAAAGCCACAUUUUCAAAGUGGUGGUCAUUGCACAAUACUUAAUUAGAAGAAAACUCAUAGUAUUGUAUUUACAAUUUCAAGUCUUUAUGGGGAACGAGAGUGCAAAUUUUCCAAUUGGAAUAUGAUAUGAAAUUUCUAGAUAACUAUAUAUGACAAAGAAAGAAGUCUAAGUUUCUAAGUGGUAGGGCUUCCAAUUGAUGUGAGUUUGUUGAGAAAUGUAGAUGAAGAUGAAUAUUGUUGUUGAUGUUAGUGAACAACAGAACAAGUUGCUUCUCCUUUGGCCUUCUAACAUGAUAUCACGGAAAACAAGUUGUUGCUAAUAAAUGUAUCUGAUUGGUGGACUUAGACGUGCGCGGUACGAUUUUUGAUAACGAGAAAAGAUGGACAGUGUCAUGACAAAAUUUAUCCAAGUAGACCCAAAGGAAAGACUUAGGAACUUCAUAUGCAGUGGGAUAAAAUCUUAAGCUAAUUUCCUUACCUAUUUUAUAGUCAUUAAGUAAAAUGUAUAUGUAUAUUUCUAGAUGCUGACACACCAAUGUACUUACUAUUAACUCCUUUCAAAUACCCAUUCGCAGAAACGCAAAUCUCUCUUGCAUGCUUGUUGUAAUGCUCAUGUAGUGCGUAUCUAAUAUCUUAUGUGUAUAAUUUUUUGUGAUCCAUUUUUUCAUCACUAUGCCAAAAUCCCUUUAGAAUUUGCAAUUUAUCCAUUUGGUUAUGGUAAAAAAAAAAACUCGGAAUUUCAUUUAAACUCAAAAAUCUAGAAUUGGGAAAGCAAUUUUCCCUUGUUCGGCAACUUGUAGCGAUAGCAAAGGCAAAUUGUACAGGAAAAAAGUGGAAAUUGGGGAUGAAGAUCCAAUUUUAAUUUCGUCAAAAUAAGUGUAAUUUCACAAUUCCAACAACGUUGAGAACAAAUGCAUUGCGGGGAAAUCUUGCGACCACCAAACUUUACGAUUAGAGGGCCAAAUUUCAUGAUAAAACGUAAUAAGGGUUUAGGACUGCAUCGUUCACUUUGUUAACUCUCCAAUCUUCGACGGGAUUUUCAACUCGUGCAUCAUCUUUUGCUUUGUUCUAGGUCAAAGCCUACUCUUUUCUUUCUUGAAUUAUUUUAGCUUUGAGGGUAUACUCUUUAGGCCAAUUGUGAAUUUUGCUAGUUAUUUUUAUUUUCUGAUGGUCAUAUGUUUGUUUUGUUUUUUUUUUCUUCCAAUUGAGAUGUGUAUUGGUUGGAUCAGUAACUUUUUUUUUGGAUUUUUAUUUUUAUUUUUAUGGAUUUUGGUGUUAGUUCCUUGUUAUAGAUGUUGUGGAGCAAAAAAUAAUCUCAAAAAUCGUGGAGGUGACACACGGAUUUUUGGACAAGAAUGACAAAAUUAUCCUCGAAGCACAUCAGGAUUCCCACGUGCAUGCAACGGACAAUAACGGCUCAAUCAUGGAAGAGUCAAAGGUGAUCAAUAUGGUAUUUAUUCAAAUCCCUCUCAUCACUCCUCAUCAAUCCCUUUUUUAUUUUAUUCAAAAGGUAACUCCCAAAACUUCCUAUUUAAUUUAGGGAUCAUUGUCAUGUUAAUUGCAAGAUAUUAUUUCACAAAAUAUCUUGUAAUUAUUCUUCAAUUACCACCAUGUAUGGCCGGCCACUCCUCACAUUAUGGGCCGGUCACUCCUCACCCUAUGGGUCGGCCACUCCCUAUAAAUAGCCCUAUUAUUCCACUAAUAAGGAAGCCAUUUGCUACCCACAAACUCCUAAACACAUUCUUUCAGAAUUCUAACUUUGGCAUUGGAGAUUCUUAGGCCAAAUCCCCCCUCCCAUUCAUCAUGGGCGCAUAAGGCUUUUGGCCUUAGUCUUAGGUAUUAUUAUUUUGCAGGUGCAUUUUUGUCAAAGACGAAGAUGGUGAAAAUUUGCAUCCACAAAUUGGUGUUUUCAUUGAGAGUUUGAUUCAUAAGCUCGAAGAAGACUCACAUUCAAAGUUUCACAUUUCUCAUUCAUAAGUAAAUUUUUCAUACGUUCUUAUUCCUAAAAUUUUUUAAAUCUUUGAAUAGACGUAUGAGAGAAAUACAAUGGCUAGAAAUUUAGAAACCACGACGAACGAAACUUCCUACGUUCAAAGAUCCAGAUAAAAUGAUGGAAAUUGCGAUGUAGCCCCACCACGACGAUCCACGAAGCUCAACGUGGUGGCAAAAUGAGUAACUUGGCCACCACGGAGUACCACCACCACCAUAGCCAAGGCAACCCAUGUUGCAGUGGGGAGUGGGACAGCUUCAUGGCAGCAAAGCCACGAAGCAACAAUAAAUGCCAUCUUGCAGUAAUGAGCCCAGGCCCGUGUCACAAGGCAGUCAACCCAGCGCUAGGUAACCUAGAUCUAGUAGGCCCACGACGUUGCCAUAGCAGCUGAGGCCUAAAGCAAGGCCCAAACAGUUGCGGUUGCGGCAAAUGGAGCAGCACAACACUGGCGGGGCCAAUGCACCCUUGGCCUAAUGCUAAGCAGGCUAAAUCGCACCACACCCACUAUUCAAACUAACCCUAAGUUGAGUAAGUAGCAUUGAAGGUUGUCAACCGCAAGGCGUUGAAGUACGAAUAAAGUUACACACCCCGCACAUGACUUGGCCCACUUCCGCGGCCCAACUUGCUCGCAAGGUCCACCUAGUGAUCCCGACUAGUCGAAGGCCAGUUUAAUCAUCCCAUCUUCAGAUUUCUGGACUGACGAUUGAAUCGGGGGUAUUUUCACCCCGAUUUUCUACAGAUUUGACAUAUCUCAACUCAAAUCUCGCACUUGGAGUCCAUUGCACUUCCAUUACUCAAGGAGACGCAUACCAUUUAAGAUCUUCCAUCCCAAAUGGCGAACAACACUUGUCUCGACAAGUCAUAGAGUUGACAUGCGCUUUUGCGCAGUAGACGACCUUAGUGAAUCAGCUCUUGCAACGCACAUAGAUGCAGUGUGCCCCAGACGAUGUGUCCCGAAGUAAGACAAGUACAGAUGACGAUUCUCUCCAGCAGCGUCCCAACAAGCAGCCGCUCGACUAGCCACGAACCGAGCGUUCUGGCAGUGUACACUCCCGUCUAGGUCCUCAAGAAAGCGUAUACUCUCGUCUUAGCGCGCGAAUGAGCGUGCACUCAUGGUUAGGCCUAUGGACGAGCAUACAUUCACGGUUGGGACCAUACUCUUAUAAUUAACAUGGACAACCUGCUAGACGAAGUGUUCAUUCGCGGCUAGGCCCGCAAAAAGCAUUUUCCACCUCAUAUUGGAGUAAGCAGCACAGAAGACGAAGAUAAGCAGUCAAUUAAUCUGGCUCAAAUUCAAUCGGCCACCUGUAAGUAACCAGUUCGCCUGCCAAGAACGUAUCAUAUGCAAUGUAGCCACGACAUAGACUAGAUGAGCACAACGAUAAGCAACCUAGACUAACAGGUUACGACUGGGGGCAGCCAGAAGCUCUGCUGCCCCAAUAGAGGUAAAUUUAGAAAGAAGUUGAGAGGCUCAUGACCGAACAAUUGUGCGAUUUCCAACGCAACGAAGCUACUGACAAGGCGCUUAAACGAUACACGACCAACAUAAAUGGGUCACCUUUUAUUGACAAGAUUGAGCAGACAGAACCAUCCUACAUACACUGGCGGAUACAAAGAUUACAUCUAUUUUAACAUAUGCAUCAACUCAGCCUAAUGGCGUGUCGAGGGCAAAUGGGUACCAGAAUGGCACACCAGCCCAACCACCAAGAACCAGGGCCAAAUCUUAUUUUCAUCACUCCACACGAUUCAAUACUUGAGCAGCACAUCACCAGUAAUCGAGCACCGCAGACCUAAUGGUCCAAUUCCUCCUGAUGCACACAAGCUCACCCCAGCUCCACGCUCAAAGCCUUGCCUACCUGCUCCACAACACUCAGCCACCCUUGAUUUGUCACCAUGGCUCACAAUUAUGCCAAUUUUGCACCACAGCUCAUAGCCGUGCUAAUCUUGCCAUGCGGCUCUUAACUACGUUAACCAAGCCCACGAUACUUUAUACUUCAAAGCAUCCAACGACGGAGUAGAACACGAGGCUCUACUAGCAGCCCCUGCUAGUGAAAGACUUUGCGGUGAAGAGGCUUCCAAUCCAUUCAAAUUCUCAGUUGACCACCUGUUGGGUUUUACGACUCAAAAUUAGGAUGAUGCAAAAAAAAUUGUGUUACCUAUUUGGUUUUGGUGUCGUAUUUGGGUUUGGAUUUUGACCUCUUAGUUGGUUUCCGUGGUGGAGAGAUUUUGUUAAUUACCUAUUUGAUUAGGAUUUGGAUUUACUUCCUAUUAAGAUUCUUAUUGUAACCUAAGUCUUAUGCACUAUAAAUAGGACCUCAGGGUUAGUGUAUUUUGUGUGGCUCAUUCGUGUGGCAAUUUGGUGAGAGUCAAUUUGUGAGUUUGUGAGUUAGAGAGCAAUUUGGGAGAAUCUUCUCCGUUAGUUUUGGGUUCUCUACUCGUUUGGUUUAGGGUUUGUAAUUUGUGGGAUUUGGAUUGUGAGAGUCUGAACACUAUUUUGUAAUCUCCGUUUGUUUAGUGAAAUUUCUUGUCAUGCUUCGCUCGUGGACUUAGAUUUUACACCGAACCACAUAAAUCUCUUGUGUUAGUUUGAGAUUGUUUGUUUUAGUUUUCACCUACGACGUUGAUAUCGGUACUUUGUUAGAAUUCGCUUUCCUUUGCUCAUAAAAGUACAACAAGUGGUAUCAGAGCCCGGCUUUCGGCUUGGGCUUUGCUUGGCAAUCACUAUGAAGCCUUCUGUGUCGUCGGUGAAAGUUGAUAUUGAAAAGUUCGAUGGCAAUGACUUUGGUAUUUGGCAAUUGAAGAUGCGUACUUUGUUAAUUCAACAAGAGCUUUUAAAAACGCUAAAGGGUGUGAAGGCUUUCCUGAAUUCGUGGACUGAUGAAGAAAAAAAAAGAUGUUAUGGAGCGGGCACUUGGAACAAUCCUGCUAACUUUAUCGAAUGAAGUCUUGCGUCAAGUUGGUAGCAUCAAAUCUGCACCGAAGUUGUGGCUAAAAUUGGAGAGUUUGUAUAUGACCAAAUCCCUUGCUAAAUGGUUGUAUUUGAAGAAAAGUUUGCGUACUCUUCGUAUGGAUGAAGGUACGUCAAUUCAUAAGACCAAAUCCUUAUUGCUGCCAAAAGUCCUCAACAGUUCCAAGGGAGAUGGGUAAGAGUUCGUAAUAGUGAGAGAUUGAAUCUUUUCACACUCGGCCAAAUUUUAAUUUUAAUUAGAUGAAACAAUGAAUCUUGAACAAAGCAAAACAAAAUUUAAUACUGAGAGAUUGAAUCAUUGAAGUGGACGUGGAUGUUGGGUACUCAACAGUCCAAGAAUGAAAACUCUCAUAUAAGUUUUUAUCCAAAAUUUUGGAAUUAUGUGAGUAUUGCAACGAUUGUCCGAAUGAUUAUUCUUCUUUUAUUAAAUUUCCAUGGAAAAUGAGCAUGGGGCACAAAAGUUGAACGAAUGAAAUUUCAAUGAUCUGCAAAGGGAUUGUGAGUUUGACAUGCCAUUUUUCUUCCUUUUAUGCAGUCAUGUUUAUUAAAAGACAAAAAUAAAUAUGACUUUACAUAAGGAGAGAGAAAGAGUAUUUUUCCUUGAAAAAAUCAACUAUUUAUUGAAGAGGAUGUGGAUGUUGAUUGAUGCGCAUUGUGAAUAGGAAAAAAAUAACCUUGAAGGGAGACGAGACAUUCAUUAGAAGCUAAAAAAAAGUUAUAGUGAUUUAGAAAAAAAAAGUUUUAACGAAACAUUUCCGGUACUGUUUACUCUUUACGAAAAACCACAUUUUUACCUUUCCUAACUACUAUUCACUACAUCUUUAUUUAUCAUUUUUCAUUAAAACUAAAGUUUUUGUUUUAACUUUUCGUUAGUUUCCUUUAGAAAAAAGCAAGAAAGCCUCAUUUUCAAAGUGGUAGUCCUUGAAACAAUACUUGAUUAGAAGAAAAGUCAUAGUAUUGUAUUUACAAUCUCAAGUCUUGAGGGGUAACGAGAAUGCAAGUUUCUAAUUGGAAUAUGAUAUGAAAUUUCUACAUAACUAUAUAUGACAAAGAAAGAAGUCUAAGUUUCUAAGUGGAAGGGCUUCCAAUUGAUGUGAGUUUGUUGAGAAAUGAAGAUGAAGAUGAAUAUUGUUGUUGAUGUGAGUUAGUGAACAACAGAACAAGUUGCUUCUCCUUUGGCCUUCUAACAUGAUAUUACCGGAAAACAAGUUGUUACUAGUAAAUGUAACUGACUGGUGAACUAAGACAUGCGGUACGAUUUUUGAUAACUAGAGAAGAUGAACAGUGUCGUGACAAAAUUUAUCCAAGUAGACCCAAGGGAAAGACUUAGGAACUUCAUAUGCAGUGGGAUAAAAUCUUAAGCUAAUUUCCUUUUUAAUCUUAUAGUCAUUAUGUAAAAUGUAUAUGCAUAUUUCUAGAUACAUACACACCAAUGUACAUAAUAUUAACUCCUUUUAAGUAGUCAUUUGCAAAUCCCUCUCGAGUGCUCUUUGGAAUGCUCAUGUGGUGCCGUUCUAAUCUCUUAUAUAUAACUUUUUGUGAUCCAUUUUUUCAUCAAUAUGCCAAAAUCCCUUUAGAAUUUGCAACUUAUCUUUUUGGUUACGGUAAAAAAAAAACUCGGAAUUUCAUUUAAACUCGAAAAUCUAGGGAUGUGAAAGCAAUUUUCUCUUGUUCGGCAACAUGUAGCGAGAGCAAAGGCAAAUUGUACAGGAAAAAGUUAGAAAUUUGGGAUGAAGAUUCCCAAUUUUAAUUUCGUCUAAAUAAGUGUAAUUUCACAAUUCUAACUACGAUGAGAAUCACAAAUAUAUUGCAGGGAAAUCUUGCGACAACCAAACUUUACGAUUAGGGUGCCAAAUUUCGUGAUAAAACCUAAUAAGGGUUUAGGGCUACAUUGUUCACUCUGUUAACUCUCCAAAUCUUCGACGGGAUUUUCGGCUCGUGCAUCAUCUUCUUGCUUUGUUCUAGGUCAACGCCUCUACUCUCUUCUUUCUUGUAUUAUUUUAGCUUUUCAGGUAGACUCUUUAUGGCUGUUGUGAAUUUUGCUAGUUAUUUUUAUUUUCUGAUAGUCAUUUGUUUGUUGUGCGUUUUUCCUUCCAAUUGAAUUGUGUAUUGGUUGGAUUUGUAACAUUUAUUUUUUUUAUUUUAUUUUAUGGAUUUUGGUGUUAGUUCUUUGUCAUGGAUGUUGUCCUUUUGAAGGUUAACAAUAGCCAAGACUAAACAUGAUGAUUUUGGUGUUAAUUACUUUCUCAUGAUACUAAUGCCAUAUUGUUCUCUAUUUUGCACUCACAAGUAAAGAGAAAUAUCCUAGACCCUAACUGGAUAUGUUAUUGUCAUGGUCAUGCAUUGGUAUGGUAACAAUAUGUUUGGAUAAGGAAAAUAAACUUAGAAUUUGACAAAAGAUAAAAUUUAUAAAUUGAUACAAUCAAUUCCUUUGUUUAGAUUCAUAAACAUAGAAAUUUAAACUUUCCGCGUGAGAAAAAACUUGGAAUUUGGGACCUUCAAUUCUCAUGUUUAAAUUUUAUGUAAAUAGGUGUCAUUUCUAAAUUUCAGUAAGUGAGAAUUUAAAAAUAACAAACAUGUAUUCAAAUUUCAUUCAUCUUUUAGGUUAACCAAACAAGAAAUUUUAUAAAUUCUAGAAAAUAAAAUUUCGUUAUUUCAAUUUCUGUUAUUUUAAAAUUAGUAAUCUUAAAUUUUCUCAUCCAAACAAAAAGUUUCCUUGUCAUAGAACUUUCAAUUGGGAUCAAGGAAGACAAUCUUUUCACAACUGAUUAUUCUCACCAAAUUUUAUUAUUAUUUUAAAGCAGAUCAAUACCAAACUUCAAAAGCAAAGUAGGAAGGCUAAAAUUAAGGUGAAGAACCUACUUCCACUAAUUACCAUGGGAGGGAGAGAGAGAGAACCAAGCGAGAGAGAAGAGAGAGAAAACACCAAGUAGUAUUAUAAUAUAGGUGGGGUUAAAUCACCUUUCGUGAAGUUGUAGUAAGAGCAGCUCCAGCGGGAGCUCCAACUUGAUGUACCGGUGAGAUUUCCUACCCAAUAGCCCCAGCUCCUUGCUCCAGUCCAUGCGGGUGAUUGGGCUGAGGGGGGCCGAGUGAGAGGCCUGACUCGAAUCGGUGGCCUGAGAGCCUGAGACCAAAAAUUAUCUUUUUGGAUAAUGACACGUGGUGCAACGAGAACGAUUAAAAAUCUUAUCCGAAAUUACAAAUAGAAUUAUUUUGUAUUAUUUUAUAAAAUAAAAAAUACUAAUAUUUUAUUGCUUAUUGACAUGACUAUUCAAUUACGGGUGGAGAUGCAGAAGACAAUUAUUAUUCAUUAAAGGUAAUUAUUGUUCAUUGGAGGGGAUUGAAUAUGAAGUUGCACUAGAAGGCCUUUGUCACGGCAAUAGGCAAUUACUGUUCUAAGGACUUCUAUCCUAGAAGAGAGACAAAAACACCAAGUAGUAUUAUAAUAUAGGUGGGGUUAAAUCACCUUCCGUGAAGUUGCAGAUAGAGUAAGGACUUCUAUCCUAGAAGAGAGACAAAAACACCAAGUAGUAUUAUAAUAUAGGUGGGGUUAAAUCACCUUCCGUGAAGUUGCAGAUAGAGUAAGGACUUCUAUCCUAGAAGAGAGACAAAAACACCAAGUAGUAUUAUAAUAUAGGUGGGGUUAAAUCACCUUCCGCGAAGCUGCAUUAAGGACUUCUAUCCUAGAAGAGAGACAAGAACACCAAGUAGUAUUAUAAUAUAGGUGGGGUUAAAUCACCUUACGUGAAGUUGCAGUAAGGACUUCUAUCCUAGAAGAGAGACAAAAACACCAAGUAGGAUUAUAAUAUAGGUGGGGUUAAAUCACCUUACGUGAAGUUGCAGAUAGAGUAAGGACUUCUAUCCUAGAAGAGAGACAAAAACACCAAGUAGUAUUAUAAUAUAGGUGGGGUUAAAUCACCUUCCGUGAAGUUGCAGUAAGGACUUCUAUCCUAGAGAAAAGUCGGUCAAUGGUGUUUGACACAGUCAGUCAACGAUAAAGACAGAAUUGUGUAACCAUAAUUCUCUCUCUAUCUCUUUUUCAUUAACGGAGGACAGUGUAUAAUUACUACGUAUACAUCUCUGCUCAAUUAUUGAAAAGAAAAAUCCAUGUGCAUUAUUUUUAUUAUUAUUAUCUCAGAAAUGCAGAAAUUGAUCAUCUCUUCCUUCUGCAUAUUGAUACUGGUUUUCUUCAAACUAGUUGAAGCAAGCCAAUAUGUGUGCGCGAAAUCCAACUGUAGCAAUGAUCAACGCCCGGCUAUCCAUUUCCCAUUGAACAUCAGGCGCACACAUCAUUGUGGAAAUUCUGGGCUUGAAUGCAAUGGGAGAUAUGGGCAGCAAAUACUAAUAAAAUUAUUUGUCAAACACAUUGAUUACAAGCGUCAGGAAAUCCAAGUCUAUUCCCCAAGUAACUGCCUGCUGCUAAAGCAUGUUGAAAUCCCAAACAUGCCACCCUCUCCCUUCAACGUGUCAGUCGAUGACUACAUGAGUACCCUUACCUUAUUCAGUUGUCCUACUUCUGUUGCAAGACGAGAUACGUAUCAAGUCCCCUGCCUCGGCGACCCUGGCAAGAAAACUUAUGCCAUUCGUUCUUACUAUGAUUUUGGAACUCUCUUCCAGAAUCUACAAUCCUGUACAAAAAUGUAUGAUGUUUUAUCAGUUCCAAUAGCCUAUGAAUAUUAUGUUUUUCGUUUCAAAUGGUCUAUACCAAAUUGCAGAAAAUGUGGAGAGGGAAAGAAGUGUGGAUGGCAGAACAAUGAAAUUAAAUGUCUUCCCUGGAGGAAACCAAGUAAGGAUAACAUAUGUAUUCAUUGCUAGUUUUAAACAUCUUUACAUUUAUGUCUUAGUAAUUAUUAUUUGAAGGAUGUUGUCCAAUCCAUUUUUACUAGGAAUAUUACCUGACAGUCUCGUUUAAAUUCGCAAUGAUCUUCUACAGGCAACACAUGGAAAAAAGUGGUUACAGGUGGAAUCCUGUGUGCUUUGCUUCUUGUUCUACUGACGAUUGCAGCAUAUCGGGUAUAUAGCGCUGAUAGAAAGGAGAAAGAGAGUCGAUUAAGAAUUGAAAGAUUCUUGGAGGACUACAAAGCACUCAAACCAAGCAGGUAUUCGUACGCAGAUAUUAAGAGGAUUACAAAUCAAUUCAAGGACAAGUUGGGCCAAGGAGCCUAUGGAACUGUCUUCAAAGGAAUGCUCUCUUCUGAAUUUUUUAUUGCUGUCAAAGUCCUCAACAGUUCCAAGGGAGAUGGGGAAGAGUUCGUAAAUGAAGUGCGAACGAUGGGUCAUAUCCACCAUUUAAACGUGGCUCGCUUGGUUGGAUUUUGUGCUGAUGGAUUUGUACGAGCUCUUGUUUACGAGUUCUUCCCCAAUGGUUCCCUGCAGGAUUUCAUUUCAUCUGCAGAUAGUAAGAAUUCAUUUCUUGGUUGGGAUAAACUGCAAGAUAUUGCCCUAGGCAUAGCCAAAGGAAUUGAAUAUCUUCACCAGGGAUGCGAUCUACGAAUCCUGCAUUUCGACAUCAAACCCCAUAAUGUUUUGCUAGACCAAAACUUCACUCCAAAAAUUUCUGAUUUUGGUAUGGCCAAGUUAUGUUCCAAGGAUCAAAGCUUGGUGUCCAUGACUACAGCUAGGGGGACCAUGGGCUACAUUGCACCUGAAGUGUUCUCCAGGAAUUUCGGAAAUGUGUCUUACAAGGCAGAUGUCUAUAGCUUUGGAAUGCUGCUGCUUGAGAUGGUAGGAGGAAGGAAGAAUAUUGGUUCAAUCACGGAUAACACUACAAAUGAAAUUUACUAUCCACAGUGGAUUUAUAAUCUUCUAGAGGAAGGGGAUGACCUACGAAUCCACAUUGGGGAAGAAGGAGAUGGUAAAAUUCCAAAGAAACUUGCAAUUAUAGGGCUAUGGUGUAUCCAAUGGCACCCGUCGGAUCGUCCUUCCAUGAAAAUAGCGGUUCAGAUGUUAGAAGGAGGAGGAGAAAGCUUGAGUAUGCCGCCUAAUCCCUUUGUGCCUACUGGUUCUACAACUAGGAAUGCAAGACGCCUAGAGCUAGAAGCUAUUGCUGAAUUAGAGUAAAAUGUAUAUGCAGAUAUGUAGACGUAUAGAUAUAGUAAUAUUUAUAUUGAAUAAGAGGCCGUUUGAUAACCAUUUCGUUUUCAGCUUUUAAUUUUUAUUUUUCACUUUUUUGAAAACUAAAAACUAAAAUCUUGUUUGGUAAAUACUUUUAGUUUAAAAAAAUUAUGAAGACUGAGAACUAAAAUGUGAAAGCUCAAAGGAAGUAGAUUAAAAGUAGUUACCAAACAAACUGGAAUCUCAAUAAUAAAAAAAGAUUGAAUUGCACAAUGCAAUCCAAACCAAUCAAAACAUUAAAAUAGCAAAAAAAAAUUAAAAUUCUAGUUGAUUAGAUUCUAAACGUAGUAAAAAUGAACAGAUCCAAUGAAAAAACAAAAAAUUCUCAAAUAAAAAUAGGGAUAAAGUAAAAUAUUUAUAAAUAGCUCUUUGUCUCUUAUGUCAUCAAUUAUUUCUAUAGUAUAUACAGGUUUUUGGAAAAAUUAGGUUCUCAUCCCUUAUUUUCAUAUUACAUUGAUUGAAAUCUUAUUAUUUUUCUAUUUUAGAUCAAGGUCCCUUGACUUAUUCCAUGUCAUCAUUUUAGUAUUUAAAAUAUUACACGUCAUCAUAAACGAAAUCUCAUCCCUUUCUGCAUUUAAGGCAAAAUAAACUAUAUGAGUAAGUUUAAAACAAGGAAAAUCCAUUUGAACUCCUCCAUUCUUCUUCUUCCCUUAUGCACAUCUGGAAUCUACAACACCCCAAACCCAAUUUUCUCCAUUUUUUCUCCAUUCCUGAAUUGAUCCAAUGCAUAUAUGUUGAAUAAACCUAUUGUGAUUAAAAUACAAAUUAGCAUCAAUGGUUUUAUCGGCUUGUGAGAUUUGUGUGGCAUAGGCAAGGCAAUGCAGGCAUUGCUUUCUCAAGGAAUCUGGUUGAUUCAAACAUGCAGAGACUGUAGAGUGAGCGGGCUAUGUGAAAAUUGUACCAUUCUGAAGUCAUUUUCUUUUGUUCUUUAUAUUUUUUUUCUUUUUCUUUUAUUAUUAUAUAUUAGUCUUGGUUAUUCAAUGUCUGGUUGGCUACACUUAUAUCCAUGGGUACAUUUUUAAUCUACAUGUUUCGUUCUAAUAUAUCUAUUGCUAUAAUAUGUUUUGGUUGGUUCAAAUUUGUUUUACAUAAAUAUAUGGGUACAAAGUUUUUGGAGAAUAUUAUGUAAAAUGGUUUUUAAGGUUGCUGCAUUUUACGUUCCCACAUAUGCAUGUCUAUAAAACAAUGUGGUAUGAUGUACAUUCUUUUCUUUGAGUUUUUAAAUGUACCCAUGAGUUUUCUUGUAAAUUCGUAUGUACCCAUAUGCUAUUUAUGUUAUGGGUACAUACAUUAUUUUUGGUCUAAGUUCAGGAUACAUUGCUUUUGUAUGUAUGAAUUCAUGGGGUACAUUAUUUCCCUUAAUACUACUCAAUAAAAUUCACAAAAAUAUGUGUAGUGUGCAUGAUUUUUUAUUGUAGAAAUUGUUUGUUUUUUUUAAGUCUCAUAAUUCAUGAAAUUUGUACAUAUAUGAUCCCAUAAAUUUUUUAAUUUUAUUAAAUUUCUGUUAGACUUGAUCGAUUGAUUGAAUCUCAUAAUACUAGGAUUUUGAAUUACAUAAAUUCUUGGAUUUGAAUCCCUUAAAUGUUGGACUGCAAUCAAUAUUUUAAAUUACAGUUUUUUGUUUAAGAUAUCAAAAAGAUGACAUGGGAAUAUAGUAAUACUAAAAUGCUGAGGUGUACAAAGUCAAGGGACUUUGAUCAAAACAUAAAAAACAAUAAGAUUUCAAUCUAACAAUUGAAUUGACUAGGGACCGGAACCAAAAUGACCCUAGAUUUUUAUUGAGUUUAAUCUUAAUCAAAAAAAGACUUCUUGUAUCACAGAAAAUACAAGAACCAUUAUUUGAAUGAAAUAAAAGCUAUGGGAUGGAGAUAUAAAUGGAUCCUUUUAUUCACAAUCGGAUUAUAUUUAUUUGAUACACUGUUGUCAAUAUGAAUGUUGAGAAAAGACUACAAAAGAAAAAACAAUUUAUAAAUAUAACUAAAAAUUCCAAUUUCAAUCAAUUAGAUAAUUAGAAUUAUAAGAAGAAAAAAAACAGAAAUCUCAGUUUUCAGUUUAAAAAAAAAUGAAAACAAAAACUGAAAACUGAAAACAAAAUGGUUAUCAAAGCCGUCCAAAUAAUAGAAGUUUGUUUCCACUCUUUGUUUAAGCAUAGAUGCCAAUUUUUGUUUAUCAUUUUUUUAACCUCUAUUUUUUGUUACAGUAGAAGCCCUAGAAGGAAAUCGAGCACUGGACUUACCAAACUCUUAACUUAUUUCUACACACCAAGAGCUUGAUUUCGGUUCUUAUUUAUACUAUUUAAGCUAUAAGCCGUGAUAAGAAUUAGAGAACUAUCAUUUGUUGUGAGCUUCAAUUGGUUAGCACUUUGUAUGUUUUCAUUAGAAUUUAUAUUUCACUUAGACUUUCUUAUUAAAAAAGGGAUCAUUUGGUGACUUCACCAUGACAGUCCAAUUUUAUGGGGGCCAUGAGUACUCACAAAGGUAUUUCAGCCUCCCCCUAUAUCUACCGUCGCGUGAUUCACCAUUGCCGGGAAUCGAACUCAAGACGUGUUGUAUAGAAUACAAGCCUAAAAUUCGUUUCUAACCACUGAGUCACCCCGCGUUUGAUUAUAUUUCACUUAGACUUAUCUUGCGGUAUAGCAUGUCAUCCCCGCCCAAGUUUUUCUGUUCGCAUUGAGUUUGGGAUACCAAAACUUGCCAAACAAAGUAGAUUGAUUAGUAAGCGAAGCUAAUUAUUCGACUAAACAUUGUUUAGAAUUUUAAUUAAAAGAAACAAUAUGAAUCUGUUUUUUUUUUUUUUUUUUGACAAACUAUAACGUUAAGGAGUUAAAUUGUUAGUUGUUAAGAGUACAGGGAUAGGUGAGGAUCGAACCUCCACCAGAGUGCAUAGACAUUAUUGGUUCUACAACUGCGGUAAAUCACAUAAAACAAAACGUAAUACUUUGAGGAUGGAAGACACUUCGUGGAUAGCGGGCAAUCAACACUAUCAGUCGCUAUCCAAAACUUGGAAUUAUGUUUAUUGUCCGAAGGAUUUUUCUUCCAUUAAAUUGCUAAGGAAGAUGAGGAUGGGUGGAGUGUCUAAAUGUCAAGGUUGAUAAGAAAGUGUAUGGUGUUCAGCAUGCGAUUGAGAUUUGUUGAGUGGCACAACAAACCACAUAAAAUUUUCUAAAUGAUAAGCAAUGAUAAGCUUGAGUAUAAUUUUUUACCACGUAUUUAUCUUUAAAAUCAUUAUAAUUAGAUUUUCUCUUAAUUAAUAUAGACCGUUAGAUUGACCCAAGUUUUUUUCCUCUUUUCUUUCCCCUCGUUUUUUUCUUCUCUGAUUUUCCAUUCACCGUGUAGCAGUCGUUCUUCCCCAACUAAGUUUCUUAUUUUUCUUCACAAAAAAAUUGUAGAAAAUAUUAAGAAAAGAAAAGUCAUCAAUAUCAGACUCGAUCAGGUAAUCGUUCCAACCUUCCCAGCAACUCUCAGUCUUAACAAGGCACCAAAUUUUCUCCGCCACCUAACUCGUCAUUCAUUCAUGGGUGUUUCAAGCUUGGUGAAAAUUGAUAGAGUUCCAUGUGUGUACAGGGAUGUGAACAUAUUGGCCACUCUCUAAGAAUGAGUCAUUGGAAAAGUUGAAGGAAAGAUGUAACCGAUGAAAUUAAUGGAUUGGAAUUACAAUGAAGUCUGUGUUGGUUUAUCACAAAGAACCCAGAAACAAAAUUUUAAAAGCAAACAAUUACAACUUCUCAAAUAUUAUGUAACAAACUUUCAAUGAAAUGUUGCUCAUAAUUGAAAAAAGGUUGACGAAGGACGGAGUUGGGAUUAUUUUAGAUGGGGAAGAGUUAAAAGAAGGAAGCACCAUUUAAUUACUAAAAGUAAUUGGAGAAAUGGUAAUUCAAUGGUGGGCGUUUUUAAGGUGUGGACCUUGUGUCACACCCCGAUCCCAACAUACAUUGAGGAUCGACACCUGACAUGGGGACCUAGGGGACAUAAAUCUUACGUAAGAUACAGAAUGAAAUACUAUAAAUAAUAUCCCAAAAUGAAUAUGAUAGUGGGUUCACCCCCUAUAAAAUAUAUACAAGUUUGUACAUUCACAAAAAAAAAAAAAAAAAAAACACACACACACACACACAAAACUCUUGCUAGGCCAAGACUUGCCCAUGGUUCUCAAAGGAAAGUCCUAAAAGAAAUAGUACAAUGAAGGAUAAAGGGGUAACCUAAACACUCCAAGUCUCUGAUCUCUGCACUGCUACCCCCACCGGCUCCUCGUAAUCUACCUCAGACCUGUCACUUGUACAAACAGUGCCUACAUUGUGGGAAUGGUGCACCGGGCAAACAAAAACCCAGAUAAGCUGCAAAACUCGUGUGGUAGCCGGCCUGGGACAUGGGAGGGGGCCGAGUCUUUCAGAAACCCUUGGGUCAUUGAUCUUCAAGCUUACAUGGAUGGGAUUGUCUCGACGUUGCUUUAGGAAGUCUCGACAGUCGUGAAAGACGGCUUUCGAUCCUUCCACUCCUUCUGUAAGAAGGUGUCUUCCUCCACUCCUUCUGCUUCGGGUUGAAGCAGCUGGGUUGAGAGAAGUCUCAUGUUGGUCGCGAUUUCGAUGAGUAGCUCGCUCCUCAACAGGAAUACCCAUGUCGAGGGAAAAUGAGCCUCUGUGUUGGAGGCACCCAGUUGAUGGUUGACUUCCACAGGGGUGAUGAGCUCGUGUGUUUUAGUAUAUCUAGCCUCGUGGAGCAUCUCGAAGACCUUUUCAUACUGCUCUUGGAGGAUCUCAUUCUUCAUCGCUAUCUUGUUGUUCUGAGCCUCCAGCUCAUCGACUUUAGCCUGAAGAGCAAACUUCUUUUGUUCCUUCUUUCGUUGUUUCGCACCAGGUGUAAGAGGGGUGUCAUUCUGUGUGCCGUGGCUUCCUUCGCUCCCCAUGUUAGAGAGGGAUGCCUGGUCAAAAGAGAGAGUACGAAUGGUGGAAACCAGCUUGGCAAAGCUAAAGAGAGUGGGAAUAAGUGUCGUUCCCACAGACGGCGCCAAAUGUUGAUGCACAAAAUCAGUGAGGACUUUGGUACAACAGAAAGUGUUAAGUUUGUGUCCUUCGCUAGAUUGGUCCGGUCAUUAGUGUGGAUAAGUAUGUAAAUGGAUAGGGACAGGGAAGCAAACACAAGAUGUAUGUGGUUCACCCAGAUUGGCUAUGUCCAUGGAGUGGAAGAGUUCUCAUUAAUUGUGAAGGGUUUACACAAGUACAUAGGUUCAAGCUCUCCUUUAGUGAGUACAAGUGAAUGAUUUAGUACAAAUGACAUUAGGAAAUAUUGUGGGAGAAUGAUCUCCUUUUAUAGAAUAGUUUCUAGCUUUGUUCUGACAUUGACACGUGUCAUGCUGUGAUUGGCUUUUGAUGUUGACAUGUGUCGCAUUGUGAUUGGCCUCCUGGUUUGAGGGAAACUCUUCUGGGUCCUUGACAGUAUAACGUUGACAGGUGCUCAGUAGUUUCGGGAUUGGUCAAGUAUGGUACAAACAAAGUCACUGAAAACUUCGAAGGAGUCACCCAGACAUCCAACGACUUUUCUAAAUCAAAUCUCAGAGAUUCCCAAAACUAUCGUUCACAAAUACACUAAAAACUAAGGCUAGAGUGACACAGUUUGGCCAAAGCCUACAUAAGUAACCAAAUAAGAAGUGGCCCCCCCAUAGCGGAUUAAUCAAGUAGAGCCACUCCUGAGAAAGUAACCAAGUAGGUAGUGACCCCAUCACGAAUUAACCAAGCAGAGUCACUCCUACGAAACUGUUAGGUAGUGAUCACCCAUCGCGGAUUAACUAAGCAUGAUCACCCCUAAGUACGUAUGGCCAUACCUAAGAAAUAAGGAUCGCCCAUCGCGGAUUAACUAAGCAUGAUCACCCCUAAGUACGUAUGGCCAUACCUAAGAAAUAAGGAUCGCCCAUCGCGGAUUAACCAAGCACAAUCCAAAAAUAUUAUGGGUCCCCUAUCGCGGAUUAACCAAGCAGGACCAUCCAUGUACCACUGCUACAUGGUGCAGAUUCGGUGUCACCUAACCCCGUGACACUAGGGUAACGGUCCUCUACUAGCCCUCACGUUUUUCAAACAUUUCAAAUAUAUAAUUUAAAACACAAUUCAUAAACAUUUCGAAUAGGGAAGUCACAUAGUGUUUAAUAAUGUAGGUCAAUGGAAAACUUUAAAAACAAUUAUUUAGCAUAAAACAUAUUUUAGAAAUCCAUGCUGUAUCCACAAAGUAUACUAGCACGGGAGAUUUUCAGGGUAAUAACUCUAUCACAUAUAUUAAAGUCACUCACCUGGAGUCCGCACUAACGCACCCUAGCACGAAUAUCAAGAUGUCACGUACUAUCAUUUGUAACAUCCCACAUCAACCAACAGAGAGGGGGUGAUGUGUCUUAUAUGUACAUGCCCACCUCUAUAGCACGAGGCUUUUUGGGAGCUCAUUGGCUUCAUAUUCCAUCGGAACUCCAAAGUUAAGCGAGUUUGGGCGAUAGUAGUCCAAGGAUGGGUGACCCACUGGAAAGUUCUCGUGUGAGUUCCUAGAAACAAAACCGUGAAGGCGUGGCCAGGGGGGCCAAAGUGGACAAUAUUGUGUUACGACGGAAUUAAGACUGAGAUGUGACAGAAUGGUAUCAGAGCCGCUCUGCCGCGUGGUGCAAGUGUGCCGAAGAGGACAUCGAGCCCCUAAGGGGGGUGGAUUGUAACAUCCCACAUCGACCAACGAAGAGGGGGUGAUGUGCCUUAUAUGUACAUGCCCACCUUCAUUUAGCACGAGGUCUUUUGGGAGCUCACUGGUUCCGGGUUCCAUCGGAACUCCGAAGUUAAGCGAGUUCGAGCGAGAGCAUUCCCAUGAUGGGUGACCCACUGGGAAGUUCUUGUGUGAGUUCCCAGAAACAAAACUGUGAGAGCAUGGCCGGGGCCCAAAGCGGACAAUAUCGUGUUAUGGCGGAGCCGAGAUUGGGAUGUGACAUCGUCACCUAAGACAAAGUACAAGUCCACAUUUAGAGUUCUUCGAGUAUUCACAUAAUCAAAAAUUUACAUACGCACCCUACAACUAAUGAAGAGAAAUCGAGACACGUUGACAAAAAGUCAACCGUCGAUCAACGGUAGGGUCCACAACCCUACGUAACUUAAUCCGUAAGAUCCAGCCACUGUAUUUGUGAUUCAUAAGUUCCUAAGGUCCUCAAAUCUUACGUACAAUAACAUACUAAACUUUAGUGACGAUCUAAUGGUCGAAUCAUCAUUUACUAUAAUGUUCAAAUGACGCAAAUUCGUCAAUCGGAUGUCAAAUAUGGAAUCGGUCAUCGAAUUUAGCCUAGGAAGAUCAAGUGGUGUCUCAAGCCACGCACCACCAUGCGCAGCAGUUGGCAACCCAGAUUCGUCGAAAAAAUCACCUGAUUCCAAAAUGAAUGUCGUGAGACGUGGAGUAAAUUGUAUACCUGUGAGAAGCCCAAUUUGGCCAGGAAGUGGCCUGAAAUCACUUUAGACCGUCGGAAACCCUAAAAUAGGUGAAUCUCGAUUAGUCAUCUCUGGUAUUCCACCGUCCUCAAACUUGUUUAGGGUUCUCAAAAAAAUGCUAAUGAUGAUGGUGAUUGAAGGAGAACGUUUCAGAAAUAGUGAAUCGCCGGCGAGGGUUUCACGGAAUCGACAUGGGUGUUCCUCGUGGAACCAAGACCAAAUCUCAACGGUUUUGGCUAGAAAUGGAUGCUGGGAUGUCGUGGUGAGGUUUGGUAUUGAUGGGAGGUCGAAGAAAGUCAAAAAAAUCGACGAAAAAACUGUCGUCGGAGUCACAGGAAACGUGUUAGAAAAAUGAGUCGCCGAGUUUGAAACGGGUCGAAGGCUUUUGGGACAGCUACUUAAUCUCUCUUCUCUGAUUAGUCACUCCACUCACUCUCUCAUUUGAUUGGUCCAGCCUUCCCACAUGGUGGGAGUUCCCUCAUAUAGUAACCCAAAAUUUACUAUUUAAAUUUGGUAUCAAACGUCCGUAACUUUUUUGUUAUAGUUCCGAUUCACAAACGGCUUUCGCCUACGCGCUCGUAUGAUCGAAUUAUACUUGAAAACAUUAAUUGUGACCUUAAAAAGGUCUACAAGUUUUAAAAGAUUAAUUACAAAAAUUCACACCUUGUAACUAUACGAUUCAAAUUCUAAAAUUAACGGAAUUAAAAUAAACUAAAAAUAAUGUAAACACGAAAUACAGACUUUAAUAAUGAAAUACGUAAUUAAUAGUGGAAUUCUGGGGAUGGGAUUUCACACCUUGCGUCCGGACCUUGAGUGCGGAUCAGAAUCCAAAGGUCGUGAUCUGACGAGCUCAUGUAUAGAACAGAGUUGUUGUGACCCAAUGCAAUUCAAAACUUUUAUGUUUUUUUAUUUACUGGGUACGUUUUUGUAGGAGGAAAAGGGGAAGUCGAGGGAUUCUUUGCGCAAUAAAGAGGGAAAGAGAGAAAAGGGGAGCUAAGAGGUUCUUCGCGCGUUAAAUUUUUGCUUCUGAUUUUGCAACCUAGAAAUAAAGUAUUUUCUUUAUGGUUUAUGGUUCAAGAAUAUAAUGGAUGCAACCUAAAAAUGUUUAUUUUUUUAUUUUUUACUUUUUUUCUUCUUAUGUUGGCUUUUGGUUUAUUCUUAUAAUGCACUAUAUAUUAACUAAAUUUAUAAACAUUUUGUAUCUUUGUUGCAGUCAAAUUAAUCAUAUGGGUUGGCAUGACGAAGUUCGACUGAGACAUACAGAUGUUUUGCAAUCUUAAGUCUAACCUGACACACCCCGACCUCAAUAUCCAGUGGACACCAAAAUUGAGGUGUGAUGGCCAUCAUCCGGAUGGGUGACGAAACCAUUAUAUGCAUGAAAACAUAAUUACCCAAACACGUCUUAUUAAAAUAUUGAGUAAAUACCAUACAAGAUAGAAUACGUCAGAGCUGUUGCAAAAUACCUCAACGUCCGAUGUAAUCACUGAUAGAAUUACUGAAUCAUGUAUAAAUGGAAAGCUGAUAAAUACAUGUAAUUUGAGUGGAUACUUACCAGCAGCAUGGAUACAAUAUCAUCCACCAGUCGUAACUAGUGAAAGUUGGAUAAUAUAAUCAUGUCAUUGCCGAGUAAUCUCAAGGCAAUGACAAGAUGAGAAUGUAACUGAGUAAUCAUAUCAUUACUAAAUAAUCUCAAAGUAAUGACAAGCUAAGAGUAUAACCGUAUAAUCAUGUCAUUACCUCGUAAUCUCAAAAUAAUGAUAAGCUGAGAGUAUAACUGUAGUACCUCUUAUUAGUGCAAUGCAUGAUAUGAAUUCCAUCUCACAUAUAUAUGCAAGCCAUAAUCAAACCAAUAAACAUCCAACAAAAGCCACAAUCCUUUUAACAUUCGACCACAAGAUCAAUUUUCAUAUUUCCCAAACCUAGGUUCCAAAGCAUUGUUUCGAAUUAUUAAUACAAGAAACCACCACCACCUCAAUCAACUCCUAUUCACAAGUGUAAGCAAUUACUAAAUGCAUCACUUUCGACUCUAGUCUUAAUUAGAUUACUUGGGAUACUCACACCAUCAGAUCCAAGUACUAUUUUGAUAAACUUUAAAUAGCAUGGUUAAAAUAAAUGAAACACUUUUAGAAAAUAAGUGAAGAUGUUGUUUACAAAUAUAGAUGCAUCUGUAUAUAAAAGCUUUGGCGGUUGAUCCGUAUACACACUUCCAGAGAUAUAAGCAAGUUCAUUGGAAUAUACAUACAUAGUUAAUGUAUUACAAUAUAAUUAAUAAGAAAACAAUUGCAUCCCUUUCAGAUUAUAUAUAUAUAUAUAUAUAUAUAUAUAUAUAUAGACACACACAUACAUACACACAGGCCCUUUAUGCAAAGGAAUUUCCAUUUUUUUUCAAAAAUGGGGAUUAGUUGUGGGGCCCACGCUGCAUUGAACUUUAACGAUCCGAACAGUCUAUUUUGUAAGUCUCGAUUCAUAGAUCAUCCUUGUAAAAAUUCAAUUCAAUCCGAACCCAUUUGCCUAUUUAAUUAUCAAGAUAAAAUUUUAUUGUUUCUUAUAUAACAAAGUAUUCGUUAAUUUCUUUGAACUCAAUUAGAUAUCUUAAACAUUUCCGAUUUGGUUAAUAUUGUGUAAGGAUGAUCUAUGUGGUGCAACUUGAAAAAUAGACGAUUACGAUCGUUAAAGUUCGAUGUGGUGAGAACCCUACAAUUAAUCUUCAUUUUUAUAAAAGAAUGGGAACCCCUUCCCUUAAAGGUUUCCUAUGUAUAUAUUUGUUCUCCAGACAUAUGCAAAAGGUAAUGUAAAACCAAUGAGAACUUAAAUAGAUAUUCCAUACAUAGGACAAUUCCAUAUAUGCUUUUUCAACAUUUAUAUCGAAAAGCCAAAUUGUUUUGAGGAAAUUAAUUGUAGCAAUGAUCCCUUAACUUUUAUCUUAUUGGAGCAAUGGUCUCUCAACUAAAAAUUCAUAACCAUUGGUUCCUUAACUCCACACAACGUGUAGUUAUGGUCAUUUUCAUUAACUCCGUCAGAACUUUUGUUAAAACAAGUAAUGUUAGAAGAAUCAUUGCUACAAUUAAGUUAAAGUUGGGGACCAUUGCUCUAAUUAAAUUAAAAUUGAGGGAUCAUUUCUCCAAAUUGCUUAAAGUUCAAGGACCAUUUCUACAAUUUUCUCAUCUAGUUUCCCAUAUUUACCCCAUGAUUCAGCUUCACAUGCAUUGCACAUGACUCAUUUUGAAAUUUUUUUUAACGAAAUUGAUGAAAAUGACCAUAAAUGCACGUUUUGAAGAGUUAAGAGACCAAUGGUCGUGGAUUUUAGUUGAGGGAUCAUUGCUCCAAUUUAGUUAAAGUUAAGGGACCCUUGCUACAAUUUUCUCAAAUGUUUUGUAUGCGAAAAUAGGCAUUUGUAAAGUUUGGCUUGUUCAUGGCAUUAUUACUUUAGUCUAAAGUAAGGCUGGAAAUGGCACUGUAGAAAUGAAUAGUGUUCCAAUCCGAAUUUCAGUUUAAUUACAACAAUGCCAUUGCUCUUUGUGUUGCCUUUAGGUGAGCAGCCCGGCUUGCAGCCAGGCCCAAAUGUAUUGGUUUUAGCUGAGAAGCCCGGCCCUUAGUCAAGCCCAAAAUUUUAAAUUACAGUUUUGCCCAUACAAAAUAACAAUCCGAUUGUAUCGAGAAGGACAAUUUUGUCCUUUCAGUUUUGGGUGAGAUAGGGGGUAACAGGGUAAGUUUCAUUUGCUGUCGUUGAAUGAGGGUUUCGAGGAUGAGGGCUCUGUGUGUGUGGGUGUGUGAGAGAGAGAGAGAGAUAGAGAGAGAUAGAGAGGGAUAUGGCGAUGGAAGGAGAGCGAGGGGGAAGGGAAGGGUUCUCGGCACUGUUGCUGCAUGUGAAUUUCACAAGUGGGAGAGUGGGUAUGGUCAGAGAAGACCAUAUAGGUCGUUGGGAUUUCAGGGAAACGGGGUAGGGGUCAUGAAUGAACCCUGCUGAGAGUGGGUACUGGAUCUUGCGCUGCAUGCCUCAAAUCAAAGAUAAGUUCGUUUUUUUUAUUGUAUUUUUUAUGGUAGCUUAGCUUUUGGAAUUGUUUAGUAUGUUAGGUCCGAUUUUGGGGGAUUUAUCUUUUUAGAGAGAGAGAUGGACAGGGAGAUAGAGAUAGAGAGAGAGAGAGAGAGAGAGAGAGAGAGAGAGAUGAGGAAGCAUGACUGUGUGCAAUUUUUUAUGUUAAUUAAUGGGUUGGUGCGCAGGGUGAGUGACAGAGUGACAGAGUGAAGGAGGGACGUGUGGGAGGGUAUGAGUUUUCAGUUCUUUCUUUUGAUUCAACAGGUUAUACACUGUUUGAAAAACCUUUUUUUUAUUAUUUUGUUCUCGUUUGCUUUGUUAAAACCAUCAUUUGAAUUUUUGGGUUUCAUUGUGCUUAUUUCUCUGCUUCUUCAUAAUUUGCUGGUGUUUGCUUCUCAUCCCUCUGUUGGUAGAUCUUUUUCUCAUUUCUUGGUUCCUUAUGUAUUCUUUGGUACAAAUCUGUUUACUUUUUGGCUGUGUGAUAAUCUUAGCAGGUGAACUAUAUGAACGUUUUUUUGAAACGAGUUAAGAAGAUCCAGCUGAAAAGAGCAUACAAGAUAGAGAACUGGUAUGCUGCUCGCCAGGGAAAGGCUGCUGGAAAGGUUGAGACGGAUGCCUCUUUCAGAAACCAGGUCAGUUUCCUGCUGCUCGGCGUCUUAAUGUAUCCAAAUUGUUUAUCUUUUGAUGAAAUUAGCUGGCUAUAUUUUCUAUUUUAUUUAUCUGCAUAUUAUUUUGGUUUGUUGAAAUUUUGACUAUAGUCAUUGUCACAUGGGCGCCUAGCCCAACCCAAAUUAGUUGAGGAUAUUUAAAUCUUCACCAUGGUAUUAUAGUACUCACUCACAGUUGUGAAUACUAAGGUGCAUGCAUGGCAUGAAGAAGUGGACCGUGCACGCCAAGGUCAGAGGGAUGCAGAAGGCAAGCUUUUUUCUUUGGAGGUAAGUAUCCUUUGUUUAUUGCCCAACAGUGUUGUUAUUAUCAAUUUGUAGCUUUGCGUUCUGAAUUUUUUGCUUUGUCAAACAACCUUCUUGAAAUGCUCGAUUUCAAGCCGAAGUCCAAAAAAUGAAAGUUGAGAUGGCUUCCAUGAAGAGGGAUGUAGAGCAUUACUCGCGCUAGGUGAAAUCUGCUUCCUCUCUUUUCGUAUAUCUUCAUAUGAAGAGUUUUACUAAGUUAUAUUGAGAACUAUGUUAUUUAUAGGUUAUAUUUUCCAUUUUGCAGGAACACAUGGAGCUAAGGAAGAGCUAUCGUGAACUCACUGAUCUACUGGUAAUGUCACUCAAACUGCUUUAUUUGUGCAUGCUGCUACUAUGCGCUUGAAUGCAUUUUAUUACUGGCGGGAUGCGAAGAAAGCUAGAUAUAUGUGCUGGAUCGCUUGAUUAAUGUUAGGGUUUUAACAACUAAUUGUUAGCAGCUAGAAGCCCUGGUUAGAUUAAUGCUAAUUUGAUUUUCCUUACAGUACUUGAGUGCCAGUUUCAUAUUGUUUGUUCCCUGUUGGAUACCUGCUGUACAGUUUCAUUUCUGUUUCUUCAUAACUUUCUUGGCCCUGGGAUAUAUGCAUAUUGAGUACAAUGAAUAUCCAUUGUUCUCUAACUGUUGGGCUUUACUAUCUUUGUAGCAGCCUGCCUAACAUUUUUUAGGCUCUACACUCUACCAUCCAAUUUAUGAAAAAUUCAAAGAUUGGACGAUAUUGAUUGCAGAAAUGAAAAAAAUACUAUGAUAUUAGAAAGGUGAAUGUAAUUGUGUUAGAAUAAGCGUCUAGCAUGAUGGGUAAUAUUUUAAGUUUGUAUUUCUAAAAUUUUUUCGUUCUGGAGUAUGAUUUACCUCAAUUGUUUUGUACUUUAAUCUUUACUAAUUUUCAUUGUGGAGUAUGAUUUGCCUCAACUAACAACUUUUCAUUGUUUAACUUUUUCCUCCCUUAGAUAGUUGCAUAUGUUUGAUUUGUUAAUCUGCUUCUUACACAUGUUGUUUCCUAAUGGUGUAGGUGGGUUGUCGGAUGCAUGUGCAGAUUACUUGAAUAGACGAAGCUAAGAAUGACUUAGUAUUAAGUGAGACAGAAGCUUGGGUCAGUUGGAUUUUGACAUUUGAUUUAUUCAUGUUUUUUGUUGCUUGCAAUGUUCUCGCAUUGUUUGUUCUGAGAUUCUGUGAUCUUAUUUUUCAUAGGAACUGACAUUGGUUUGCCAUAUAAUGUUUCAGGAACUAAUACAACAACUAAUCACCUUGCUUAGCUCUCAAGACACAUACUUAACAGGUUAACAAACACUAACCUAUAAACUGAUCUGCUAAGCUGGACCAUUAACCUCUGUUUAUAUCCCUGCCACUCAUCUUUUGGCACUUAUCAAUAGCAAAAUCUAGAGUUGUUGAAACCCCAAUUUUAAUGAAUAUUAUUUUUAGUUGAUAAUUAAAAUUAAUUGAUGAUUAAUCUAUUCCAUUGUGCAUUAUUUUAUCGCCAAAUACUUUGAAUAUUCAUUAGCAAAAGAUAUAGGGUUCACUAUUUAAUGAAUAGAAUUUUGAUGGUGGAUUGCAUUUCCUGAGUUAUAAAUGUGGUGAAUCCAUUAUUUACUAGCUGAAUAAUCAUAAUGUUUUGGCCACUUACCUUGAAUUUUGUUCAAAUUGAAGAAGUCACAUGUUUCUUUCUGUUGUUGAGGUAAUCUCUCUGUUGAAAGCUUCUAUUUCUUUUUUUUUUUUCUUUUUUUCAUUUGGGUAGAUUUUUUUUUUUAUGGAUUUAUGUAUUUUUUUUCCAGAGAAUUCGAAAUGAAAUAAGAAUAGCGGAUUGAGCAUAAACAAAUUGAUGAAAUUUUUAUUUGAGUGUUUGUGUUAGUCCUUUUUUGAUUUGUUGAGGUUUGGAAUUAUUUGAGUUUUUUUGCUGUUAGUACUAUGAAGGAUGCUUGGCAAUCGCGAAAUGGGGGCUACCUCUUUGGAAAGAGAAGUCUCGCUAUCCAACCUCUCAUGAAUUACAAACAGGGUGAUUUCUUGCUGAAAAACCACUGAACCAGUAGAACUUUCCUCGGUUCUUCAAUUCGAUUCGAAUAAUUUUUUUACCCAGAAAAGCCAGCGUUUCCUGGUGGGUUUUACAGCUUUCUCAAUGUUUUUGUGAUUUUGGAUUUGCAAAUUUGUUUUCUGUUCAAAUUUCCUUUUGUGAUUUUGGAGGUUUUGUUUAUCGAUUCUCUCACUCAUCUCUCAGCUCUCUCUCACUUUUGAGGUACAUGCCGUUGGAUUCCGUUUGCUGCUGCUGAUCUGUAGGUAAAGCUUCAAUUACCAUAUAAAGUUUACAUUUUUCAUGAUUUCUUGAAUUUGGGUUUUAAACAAAGGAAAUAUUGCUAGAUUCUUAUCUUAUGUGCAAAUUACUGGCUAUUUGGAUUGGUGCCUGAGAUUUAGAGAAUGCCUCGCAGCUUUAAUUUCUUUUUCCUUCAUUAUUACUGUUUUCAAAAUUUUUAUUGCUGGGUAUUGAUAAUUUGUAGUAUGUGAGGGCUUCAAUAUGUUGGAAUUUUGAAUGGUUAUUGCUUCAUCGGAAUUUGGGUGGUCCAAAUUUUGAAUUAGAAGAAACCCAUUUGAUUAAUAUUUUUGGUGGAUUGGUUCUCUGUGUUUUCCUUGCUAUUUCUCCCCCAGUUGGAAAUUGGAAGCCCCAACUUUGAGCUCAGAGCUUGAAUUUCUCAAUCGUUCGUUUCUCUGCACUCUCAUCAAUCACUCUUGAUCCUCUAUCUAAAGAACUGGGUAAUUUUCCAGCUCUAUCAAGUAAUACUCCAUUUAAUUGCUUAAUUGAGGUUUUUUGUUUCUCUUUUUCGCUCUUUCAUCAGUUCAUUGACUUUGAUGUUGAGCUUAAGUAAAUGGGAGAUCAUUAAUUGGCAUUGUUCAAGAUAUAAUUCUGUGUUUUUGGAUUUGUGAAACGAUUUGCCUAAUGAUGAUAGUGGUUAAAAUAAAUUUUUCGUUAUGAAGAGAACAUUGUUCUUCAUUUGCCUACGGUUUUAACUACAAAGUUAAACUACUAUGCUUUUGUUCAAUUGACUGCAACUCAUGCCGCAGUUUGCUUCACAAACCUCUACGGUUAGCUUCCAUACAGUAUGUUGCAAGUUUGAGGAUAUCUUUACAUCUUAAUUUUUGCUCUCUCUGGUUGCUUCAAGUUUGUAAUUUUACGUGUUACAUUGCUACUUGAUUUGAUUAUAAAAAUGCAAAACAAAAUCCGUUUUGCUUUUAUUCAACUUAAAUGUAUCCUUUUGUUUGUUCAUAAUUGUGUUGAAUUUAUUCAACUUAAAUGUGUUUUAUUCAUCUAUUUACGCUUAAAACAACUGGUUCCCCUAGCAAUGCGCGGGCCUAAUUUCUAGUACAUAUACUAAAAGCCAGCAGAAAAUUACUGUUCAUCAUGGGAGAUAGAGCACUGUUCAUUAACAGUGAAAGGGCGAAAAUGCCCUCGGUUUCUUCUUUACUUCACGUACUGUUUACGAAUUGCUACAGUAUAAAGUCCGUUUUGUCCUUCCUGUCCACACAUCUUUCAUCGUCCGUUUCUCUUGCUUCGACCGUAUCUUUUUUGCUUUACCUUUCCUCUUCAUUUUUCGCAUUCGUUAGGCUGCGAUUUUCGGAGGUGGAUUGUUUGCCCUCCCAUUUCCAUGCUCUCCCCAUGCCUAUGUGGUCACAGUUAAACCACGUCAAUAUUUUAUAUUAAUUUUUUAUAAAAAUAAUAAAACAAAAAGUAAUAAGAAUAUAAAAUAUUGACGUGGCUUAACGUGGUCCGUGAUCACAGUAGGCAUGGAAAUGGUCCGCGACUUUCUCCCUUUUCGCCAGCCCCUCUUUUGCUCUCAAAUCCUUGCUCUUUCUUUUGCAAAAUAGUCUCAGAAGAGAUCCUGGGUUUAUCGAAUCCUUUGUUGUUCGGCGUUUUGUUCUCAUCUUGUGAUCGUCGGGUCAGCAGCUUUAAGGUAAGUUUGUUUUUAAUGAUUUAUCCUCAUUUUACGAUGUCUGGGCUAACAAAUUUAAGAUCUUUAUUUUUCUUUUUGCUGCGGAUCUGCAGGUUUUGACAAGUUUUUUGUGAAAUUGGUGCUGUCAGUGGGUGUUAACAUCAGGUACCCAUGUUCAGUUUUUCGUUUUGAUUUGAAGGAAUUUCUUGCGCAGAAGUGCUAGGGUUUCUUGGUGAGUUCUUCGGGUUGUGCAUAUGGGUAAUUUUCUUUUCGGUUUAACCCGCUGCUUCUGCUGCUCUCUCUCUUUCUCUCAUCCCUGCCUGCUCCUCUCCAAUUGUUUGCUGUUCUUAAAUAUUGUGUUCAUUGCCUGAUACAAGGAGCUGCAGCAAUCUGUUUUAUCCUACACGGGACAACGAGGCAAUGGCGUGACAACAGGUGAGCUUGGAUAUCCAAAGAAAGAGAACAGUUGGUUCAUCUGCUGGAGUCUGAAGCUCAGAGAAGUGGAGGAAAAUUGCAGGUGUGCGAGAAAUUUUAUUUUGCUGAUAGGACUCCUUAUUUACGGAUGCAUUUUGAAAUAAUUGAAAAGUUGGAUUUGAGUUAACAGCUAUAAAAAUGUAGACAUGAUUGCUGAGAUUAUGCUAUGAAAGUGGAAUAAAAAAAUGGUAGUUUAUAAUAUUGCGUACCAAUUUUUUUCUCUCUUUUUUACCAAAUGAUAAGGGUGGUGGCUCAGGCCGCCCCCCCUACGCGUCCCCACUCUUCGACAAGUUGAAAUCAUGGUGAUAGUUUAUGGGCUGUGGUCUUGGGAUUCUGCAAAUAGAUUAAAAAACAGACACUUAACUAUCUUGUUAUUAAACAUUUCUGCAUCAUUCAGUUGCUCUUGAUUUUCGUCUUUUAAGCGAUCUUAUUUCUGCGAUCUGACUUGAGGAGGGUUUUUAGACCUAUGGUUGUGGGUGUUUUGUCUGACCCCAUUAAAUUGGUUUCCGAGAUUUGUAGACUUGCGAUCGGCAGUCAAACAUUUUGUGAUUCUUGCUUUUUUUCCGACUGGGAUUGACGAAUUUUGGCCGAAUCUGUUUCCUGUUUUCUUCUCUGUUUGAGCGGCCGCUGCCUUUCGGUCGUUGAGCGCCGGCAGUCUUUAGAUCUUUGGCAAAUCAAUUUAAUACAACCGAGGUAUGUUUUAUAACUGCUGUCUUUCAAUUUUUGUUCUGUAUUUUUGUUAAUUUGGAUGAAGCUCUAAUAAUUUUGUUUUGGAUCAGUUGUGGUCCUCUGUUAGGAUUUUCCUGGCUAAGAGGGUAUUUGCGUUUUUGUUGCUUGGUUGGUCGAUCACAGAUUUACGAACAGCUGUGGUGGUCCUGUUAUUUUUUUGGUAUGUUUUUUCUCCUUUUUGGUUUUUUCCCGGUUUGAGCACCCAUUCAUGAAGAAUUAAAAUGUGUUUAUAGUUUUUCAGGAGAGAUUAGAAAAGUGAUUUCAAUUUGGGAAAAUUUAAUGUUGGUUAAAAUUUGUCUAUAAUUUUUGGGAAGGAAUGAGAGGACCCAUUGAAGUAUGUGUUGUGAUUAUUUUUUAUUCAUAUUUUUAACAAAUUGGGCAUGAAUUGGUAGGUUAACUGUGUGUGUUUAUUAUUUGAAUCGGCCAUGUUUGUCUUUCUAUGGUUCUAAAAAAUUUGUAAAGGCUGUUAACUUGGAAGAAAAUGGGAUCGAGGGUGAGGGGAAAACGGCAGAGAAAGCAUGGAAGAGAGAUUUGGGAUUAGGGGUAGGAAAACAGAUGAAAAGAAUAUGAUAGAGGAAUGAGUUCAGUUCAUUUUCACUAUUUUUUUUAACUGAUUUGGAUUUUGUUUGGGUUUGAGGCCAUCAUUGGCGUUAAGACGUUUAUUAUCAGAUCGUGUGUGUUUUUUGCUAACUUUUAUUGGUCAUUUUUAUGUUGUUCUUAUGAUUUUGUGUGGUAGGGUUUCUGAAUUUUAUCGUUAUUCAUUUGGUUUUUUGUGUGUGUUGGUUUGUUUAUUUUGCAGGUUGUGUUUGUGCUGGGACAACAUUUUCCACCUUCUGUUUGCACUGGGAUGAUUGCGUUUUAAAACUGUUGGGGUGAGAUUUACAUAUGGAAUCAUUCCAUUUUUUUUCUUCCAAAUAUGUGCAUUUAGUUCUUUUUAUUUUAAAUUUUAAAAAUUAAAUCGUUAUUUGAGUAAAAUGUUUUAUUAAUUUAUGUUAUGUGUUGUGAUCAGGAAUUCUGUUGGAUUUGCAAAUUUUGGUUUGAUGAGAGAGAUGAGGAGUUUUUUUUGUUUGAAUUUUUUAUUGGACCGAUUUUCAAUUGGAUUGCAUUCUGCCUUUUUGCACCAUUCUUAUGCAAGCAAUUCAUUGUUUUAAAUACAAUUUGAAGAGAGCUGGGUUGCGGGUUGGAUAUAAAAUGUUAAGGUGAGAUAAAAUCGAGAUACCAAGGGUGGAAGAAUGAUUCAGAAUUGGGGGAGGAAAACAGAGGGAAGAUGGAAGAGUAUAAGAGAAGGAUAGGGUUGACCUCAUUUAGAGUUUUUAUUUACUUUUUUUUUUAUUAUUUAUAAAUUGAUUCAGGACUAGCAUAUCAUUUCUAAAUUUCUAACAUUUUUGUUUAAUUUGACUCCAGUUGAUGGAAAACAGAGCUCUUACUCCUAUCAAUCAGUUGGUCCCGUACAUAAAUGCAGAAAAAUCAAGGUUCGAGUUUGCAGAGUAUGCAGACCAAGGUUUCCUGAAACUACUGGUGCUGUCACGCCCCAAUCCCGACCUAUGUCCAGGAUCGACACGUGACGUUAACAAAUACCCAUAUCUCUAACAUACCCCGCCUCCGGAAUAUGGGCAAAGCACAACUGCGUAAUAAUUUUUCGUAUACUUUAUGGCUGCAUCUAACAUCCUCGUUAGAUUAUCAUACCUUAUGGCUACAUCUAACAUCCUUGUUAGACUGCCUACGUACUCUCAAAAGGGAUCAAACCAUUCGUAGUUCACCACACUCCAAUCCACAAAAAUUUGCACAUGCACUGAUUAUAAAAUGGAACUGCACCUAUAGAAACCUAAUCAUAACCCGUGGGCGAUUUGCUCCCACAUAAGAAAGACGUCCACAGUACCAUGAAAUACUUCCACAUCUUUCCUUCCCAUUUACACAAUAUUUUAUUUCACCUCCCUGAUAAAUAUAGCAUUUACAUUACAUGUGGCAGACAAAUUUGCAUAUUCAACUAUAAUAAAAUACAAUCUUAGUAGGAAAAACCUACAAGACCACCACUCGUUUGAGCCAAACUUUAGCUUAGCACUCAACUGGUGCUCACACCAUGUGAGUGCACGAUCCUUUAAGAUGGAUGCGAUGGUUCUCUUUUGAGAUUAAUUUUGUUACAGGUAUAACAUAGUUGGCAACCGUUUAGAAAUAGAUGCCUCAUGUUCAAAACUCUCAUUACCAAAUGUUCUAACAAGUUAGUAGAGAAGGUAAAAGAACCCAAAUGGCGAGAAAUAGUGUCCUGAUGAAACAAAAGAUGUAACCCUCAUUCAAGCACGAACAUCAUUUCCUUGAGAAUCUGCGAUUUCUUCCCUCAUUUGGUCAAUAUAGCUUGUAUUCCAACUGCAACUUACUAAUAGCAUUUGUUCUCUCCUCGAAUGAAACCAUAACCAGCCAUUUUAAAUAAAGCUGAACAGUUUCACGUUGGGAAAAUAAAGAUUAUAACAUACAGGUUUUGGAUUAGAUUCCCAAACCAACAGAAAAUUAAGAUAGGAAUCUAUUUUGGGUUAACUGAGGUAUGAGUGGUAUACAAAUGAGAAAUUCCCUACAAAAGUCAAUAAAACCAGUUACAUAACAUGUUGAAUAUAAUACAACAUGAAAUAAGAAGCACCACUUGUUUAUCUGACUUUUUAUACAUGUAUUUUCCUAAGGGAUAAAAACGUGCGGGUUUUGGGAUCAAUCUGAAGAGGGCUUCACCACGAAUACAUAGCCUUUGACCGUGCAUGAUUUCGUUGCCGUAUGAGAAAGUUAUCAUUUUUUUUUUUUGUGAAGAAGAAUUAAGGGGGAGAAGAACAGCUGCCCCCUCUGUUUCUGCAUCUGCCCAGCGGGGAAAGAAAAAGAAGAGAAGCCCUUGGCUUCUAGAAUACUCCCUCCCCAAAAUUACAAUUUUGCUCUCUAACUUUGAUUGUUUAUAUCUUAUUCGUUAUAACUCUGUUUCACGAACAGCUUUUGCUUACAUGCUCACAUAGUCGUCAUCUAUUUAAAUAUAUCAAGAAAUACAAUAAAAUACAUCCUCGUAUAAGUAUGUUAACCAAUUAGGGCACUUUCGUCAUUUCCACUUAUCGAUAGAUUUUAACACGUUAAUUAUAAUAAUGUCCGGAAACAGCUUUAAAAUUUCCAAAUUCUAUUUCCAUAACCAUAAAUCGAUUUAUUAAUUUUUCAGGGUAUCACAGGUGCAUAUUCAGGCUUGCAUUGUAUAUUACUUUCCUAUUAAAAAUUUGUUUGGAAUUUGCUUUUCCCACAAAGGAGAAGAGCUGACAGUUACGCUGUGGGCAGAUGUUGCUCGAAGUAUUGCUUCUUUAUCCAUUGAAUCAUUGUCUCUGCCGAUCUUUGCGGUUUUCACAAGUUUAAAGGUCAAGCUGUACCUAGGUGUUUGACUUAAUUAAAAACUAAUCUAUUUAUUUCGGAGGCGGAGCAAAAUGCUAUCUGUCUUACCCCUCUUGGUGAUCUUAGUCGGAAAGAUCGGCUAGUUUGGGAUGUGAGUAAGAAUGGGCAGUACUCGGUUCGAUCGGGCUAUCAUUGGCUGCAAUCUAGGUCUGUUGGGUUCAGGGAUCAACGCCAGCUUGGUGCUUGCUUAGUUCCGAGGCAUUUGUGGCGCAUGGUUUGGUAGUUGAGUGGGCCUCAUAAGCUCCGUCAUUUCUUUUGGUUAUCUUUGCAUAAUGCAUUACCGUCAUUUCUUUUGGUCCGUGACCAGGCAUGAGGAGAGCAUGGAAAUGAGAGGGCAGACAAUCCACCUCCGCGACUUUCUCCCUUUUCGCCAGCCCCUCUUUUGCUCUCAAAUCCUUGCUCUUUCUUUUGCAAAAUAGUCUCAGAAGAGAUCCUGGGUUUAUCGAAUCCUUUGUUGUUCGGCGUUUUGUUCUCAUCUUGCGAUCGUCGGGGUAGCAGCUUUAAGGUAAGUUUGUUUUUAAUGAUUUAUCCUCAUUUUACUAAACUAUUUAUGGUAACUUAGUAUGGUAACUUAACUAAGUAAGUUUGCUUUUAGCCCAAGGGUUGGAGAUGGUCUUAGUAUGGUAACUUAACUAUUUAAUUCCAUCUCAUUAAACUAAAAAAAACAAUUACAUAAAAAUAAGGGAAACCUUGUCCAGAGAGACCUGAGAAAGUCCACCCCUAAGGACUUUGCGCCAGCACCCAGCGUAUUUAUCUACUCAAGUGAACAGUAAUAGACUGGAGUGAACAGUAAUAGGCCAAGGCAUCUCCACCCCUAAAAAAAUGCGCUGGCACCCAGUGCAUUUAUUUGGUGUGUUUUUUUUUUAAAGUUUAUUUCAGAUAAGAUUUUUAACCAAUUUCGGAUAAAAUUUCAAAUAAACUUAAAAAAAAACACUCUAAAAUAAAAUUACAUACUCAUCAAAUAAACUUAAAAAAACACACUAAAAUAAAAUUACAUAAACUCAUCAAAUAAAUUAAGGAUGAGCUUUUUGGUAUUUUUUUUUCACACAAAAAGUAUAUGAAAGCUUUGGUAGAAGGUCUAGAAAAUAUUGAAAUGUGGUGUAAGGUGGAAGAUGAGGGUUAGGUAUUUAUAGAAAAAAAAUAAUAACUUUUUUAAAAUUUUACUGUAUUUUAAAAAAAAAUCUGUAUUUUUUUAUAUUUUUAAUUAAUUUUAAUGUAGUUAAUUAAUUUGGACCGUUGGAUUUGAAAAAUAUUCAAAUCCAAUAGCCCAGGAUCGGCCACGUGGCCAACGCCAGCAAAUGGCCCAGCUUCUUGGUCAGCCUGUUUUGUGCUGGCCCAGAGACCAGUUUGGGCUGGGUGCCAGUCUGUUUUGUGGGCUGGAGUGAAUGGACAGGGUCCCAGCCUGUUUUUUGUGCUGAGUGCUGGCCUAAUCCACCACCGGUGGACUUGCUCUGAGAGAAAGUGACGACUUCUCCUCUCAUUCCACUCCAUACUUGAUCUCUAAAGUCCAUUUGGCAUGUAAUUGAUGUUCAAUUUCAAAUUUAGUGGUAGCAAUUAGCAAAGCUAAUGAAAGAAUCAAAUAAAAUGAAAGAAAAAGCAUCAUGAAAUAAAUCAAGAUGAAGAAUGAAAUUUUGGCAACUCGCCAUUCUCUUCUUUUAUAUAAAAGAUACAUCCUAUUUGUAGUGAAAACAGGUCCCGACAAACCCAGUUAUCCUCAAGAAGUAUUUUGUAUGACUUUAAAAACAUAAUCCGUGAAAUUAUCUCUUGGCUGAGAACAACAACAAAUCUUCAUGCAUAGCUUGUACAGAAAGACAUCAGGCAUACAAAAGAACACGCAAGCAUAAAAUAAACGACGCAGGGAAAACCAAAAAUACUAUAGAACACGUCGCUGUCAAAAGAACAUGAAUAAAUGAAAAUUACAAAACAAAGAAGUGAUGAGAAACCAAAGUACCCAUUUCAUAAUCUAGUUGCUUUUUAGUUUGCUUGCCAUUUUUAGUUCUUCAAUUUAGAGAGAAACGAUAAUUCAGCACAUGAAUAAAGUGAAAACGUAAAAGAUAUGUGGGAUAAGCUGACAGCCAUCCCUGAGUAAUGCAUUCACUUAUGAACCCCAAACACAACGAAACAAAAAUUCACACAUGAACUACAGCUCCGCUAUGUAACAAGAAUUAAAAGCAUCUCAAGACAAAAUGGCAAACUAUAAGAGCACUGUAAAAGUAAAAUUGCAAGAAAUCUAAUACUUGGAGGGCAAGUACUACUCAGACGAAAAUGAAAGAUUGAACUACCUCGCGUGGAACUGUGCCUUGGUUUUUUCCCAUGCUUACAGGAAGCUUUGCACUGAGCUCUUAUAGCCCAAAUUUUCUCUGAAAGAAAAAAACACAAUUUUGAAAUAAGAUUUUCAUAUUAUACCUUAAAGAGAAGAAUUAGAAAACAAAAAAGAGAACAAUGAGUACUAUUCAUCAUAUAUUGUUAGAGUGUGUGGUCCUUUGGUCCAAUGGUCCUGCAGCCAUAUUUACUUUAUAACUCUUUCUUUUAGUCUAAAAAACAUCUUGGAUCUCAAAUUAAUAUGAAUACGGAUUCAUACGCAUGCAUUGCAUUACAACCACAAUGCAAUAUCUCAUUAGAAAUCCCCACACAAAAUUUUUUUAUUUCUACUUUGAUUUUAGUUUAUAUUUUUUCUAAAGCACGAGGGAGCUAAUUUUUUUUUAAAUUUUUUUUAUUCCAAUAAUGUUAUAGGGUUGAAAGGAUAUUAUCAAUUUAAUUGAUUGUAUUUGAUUGGUGGAACUUCUAUAUCUAUAUUUCAGUUUUUCAAAUUCAGCACUGGGAGAGUCAUUCAUAAAAUGUUUGACAGUGAGAUUACCUCCAUGGAUUAUGCUCACAAUGGACAGCUCAUUUUCCGCAGUGAUGGGACAAUAUAUUUCAGUCAUUCGCCAUUCAAUCAAUUCAAACCGAGGAACAAGCAACAUCAAGAAGAGGAUCUGCCAUGUCAGGAUCACUGUCGUCCAAUUAAUACAAAAAAUCUAGAUAAAAACGAUCAAUUUACAUAAAAGCCUUUCAUUUUCUCAGCAACCAAGCAAAAGAAAAUACCUAUCCGUUAACACUCGAUUUGGGAGUAAAUGUUGCUGAAACUGGACUUCAAUCCCCUCAACCGCAACAACCGAAUCGAGGUGUGCAAGUCAUUGAAAAACUCACCCAAGAUUUCAAAAUCUGCAUAAAUAAAUAAAUAAGCACAUAAAUUAGCCAACCCUGUUAUGAUCCCACAUCGGGUACACAAGAAAUUGUGUAGUGGUACUUAAGUGCAAGGGGUCCUCCCACCUAUUGGACUAGUUUUUUGGAUUGGGCUCUUCCCUUGGGCUUGAGUACCUAACAUUGGUAUCAGAGCCUAGGUUCCCGACGCUGCGGGACUUGGCGAGUGGUGCAGCCUCGUGGUGCCGCCUUGAGAGUAUGGGCUCCUAAGGGUCUUGGCGACGGGCAAGGUAUGAAAUGCCGAUAUUAUCGCGAUAUUUCGCCGAUAAUAUCGGUUUUUUGAGUUACCGAUAUUUUAAUACUUAUCCACUGAGUUUUCGUCAAAAUAUCGCGAUAAUAUCAACAAUAUCGCGAUAUUACCGAUAAUAUCGCGAUAUUUUGGAGAUGUGCGAAUCGGAGAAGAACGCCGGAGCUUUUACAGCUCCGGCCGACUGUAAAAGAGCACCCUAGACUCCGAUCUAGGUAUCAAAAUGAAAUACAAGAUGAGAGGAAUGUUUUUAUAACUUCCGUUUGCCGUGAAACGGUCGAAGGUGUUCGGAAAGUUCGUCGACACCCACGGCCUCGCCAGAGAUGGGUGUGCCUAUUCCCGAGCCGAUUUCGUCCCAAAAACCUUGCAAAAACACGAGAUAGAACUUAAAUUUCACGUCUAAGCUUCAAUCUAGAAUAGAAUGAGGUAAACCCGAAGCUUACCUAACCGGAGAAAUUCAAGAAACUCGUCGGAGGGUUCCUGCGUCGCCGAGUUGCAGAGACGAGAAGGAGAGGGAGAAAGACGAGGUUGCUGAUGACGAUGGGUGUCUUCCUCAAGCAAGUGCGAUGGUGUGCGUGUGUGUAUGUGGGUCUCGGUGCAGAGAGAAAGGAGAGAGAUGAGAGUUUCGAGAGAGAGACGGCACCGACGAGAGCUAUUUGUUUUUUUUUAUCUUAAAAAGAGAGAGGUCUAAGAGAAAUGGGAAGAGAGGGCCGAGUGAAAUGAAAGGAGGUCCUUGAAUUAUUGAGAGAUAUCUCUGAGAGAGGCCUAGGAUUUCUAAAAGGUAAUCAUAAAUGGGAAAAAUGGGGCACAUCUUAGCCUUUAUUUUGGAAUCCUAAGAAGUUCACCACAUGGAUGCAUGACAUGUGUGCAUGCCAUGUUUGUUGAAUGGGAAAAGUCUGACACGGAAAGACAAAGAGUCGUUUGGGGCUCUGGGCUCGAGGCAAGACAGAAAGUGCUAGGGUUUUUUUCUGAAAUGAACAUAAGCUGCUAAAUUCGCAUAUAUUAUAGUUGUUGCUAAAGAUUGUCACUAGUGUGGACUUGGACGUGUUGGUCAACAUGUCCUCACAAUCCCCAAGUUCUCUGGUUCGAACCCUUGCGCCCAUCAAAUUUUCUUUCUUUUUGAUGCGCUUUUCCCAUGGCUCUAGGUCUUGAUUUCGAAUCCAAGUGAGCCCUUUCCUUUUUCUUUUUUGUUCUUUUUGUUUUAUUAUUUGUUUAUUUUAAUUUAUUUGUUUCUUUUAUGUUUUUCUUUUCUUUUAGUUUCUUUGUCUUAGGCGUUCGUUUUUAUUAAAGUAGGAUGUAAAAUCAAUUAUCUUAAAAUUAUGUGUUUUUAAAUUUUGGACUUGUUUGUUGGAUACUUUUUUUUCAUUUUAUCAUUCUUUUAUUAUGAAAAUAUGCUAAAAUAUGCUAAAAUAUCACUUAUGUUUUUGUGAAAAUAUGCUAAAAUAUUUAUAUAUAUGAUUUUGUUUUGAAUUCUUUUUGUACUAAUUCAUUAUAUAUAAAUGAUUAUGGUGUGUUUAAACUUCUUUAAUUAAUUACUACAUAUUUUCUAUACUCACAAUGUUUGCCAGCUCGCUAUAUAAUCAACUUAAAUCAGUUAAAUCCAUCAUGCAAUGCAUUUCCUUCCAAUUUUUUGUGAUAAACUUGUGAACACGGAAAAUUCCUGAAACGAAAGAGACAAGAACGAACGUGCACAAACAAAUAUUAUGUAUUUGAUGAUUUUGGGUUACAAUCUCUCUCUAUUUGAUCCUCUGAUUCAAUCUCCGUAAGGUGUGUAUUUGUGGAUGUGUGAUUGAUCCAAAGGGCCGUUGGGCUUGAUCUAAUGAUGAACGUUCUUCAAGGGCCGUGGACUUGAUCUUGAAGGUGGAUUUGAGCGGAUCUUCAAAGGGGCUUUUGGGCUUGAUCUUGAAGAACGGUUGGAUGUGUGGAUUUGUCGAAGUUGUUGAUCCAAAGGGCCGUUGGGGCUUGAUCUUGGAUGAACGGAUGAUGAACGAUGGUGCUUUCUUCAAGGGUCGUCGGGGCUUGAUCUUGAAUUGGUGGAUGGUUGAUCCAAGGGCCGUCGGGGCUUGAUCUUGGAAGAACGAUGAACGAAGAACGAAGAACACUUUCUUCAAGGGCCGUCGGGGCUUGAUCUUGAAUUGGUGGAUGAUUGUUGAUCCAAAGGGCCGUUGGGGCUUGAUCUUGGAAGAACGAUGAACGAAGAACAAAGAACGCUUUCUUCAAGGGCCGUCGGGGCUUGAUCUUGAAGGUGGAUGAUUGUUGAUCCAAAGGCUGUCGAGGCUUGAUCUUGGAAGAACGAUGAACGAAGAACACUUUCUUGAUUCUUCGGGAACCUGGACGCUUGAGAGCUUCGGAGUUUCAGAGCUUCAGAGCUUCAAGGUGUAAUAUGAAUUGGUCCCCCCUAAAUGAAUGAAAUGGGCUUGUAUUUAUAGAAUUUUCCAAGGCCUAAUUUUGAAUAUAAUAUCUCAGAUGAAAUAAGUCGUUUCUGCCAGGUGUUAACACGUGUCCUAUUUGAUGACUUUUCCAACUCAUUUCAAUUUUCGUUUAGUCACACGCUACGUGUAAAAUUUAUGUAAUACAUGAGCGUUGACACUUUGAUUUAUCGGUCAACAUUUAUUUACCGAAAUUUCGAUGUCUACAAAUGCCCCCACUUCAAGGCACGUCGUAUACCUGUGCUUGUCACGUGUAGGAGAUGCGUUUUGAAGUCCCUUACCGUAGAUGCCGAUUCAAGGGCCGUUGAAGCUUGAUCUUGAAUUGGGCUUGAGAUUUCUUCAAGGGCCGUUGAGGCUUGAUCUUGAAUUUUUGUUUGAAAUUUCUUCAGGGGCCGUCGAGGCUUGAUCUUGAAGGUUGAAAUUGGGCCACAAGGAGCUUCAUGUGGUAGAUGAUCUUUGGCUUUGGUAGUGGAUGAAUCGGCACGUAUUUUAUUGCGCUUGUUGACUUUCCACAGCUUUGAUCUUGAACUGGGUUGGAGGAUUUUCUGGAUUCCUCCAAUUGUUGAUUUUCCACAGCUUAUUCUUGAACUAGGUUUUGAUUCAAGGGUGGUAGACACUUGAUCUUGAAUCGGACUUGUGAUUUCCUCGAUGGCCGUCGAGGCUUGAUCUUGAAUUUGGUUGGAAACUUCUUCAAGGGCCGUCGAGGCUUGAUUCUUGAAGGUUGACUCGAACAUAUGGCAAGCAGGCACGAGGUGAAGGUGACGACUUGUUGCUUUGUUCAAUCUUUCUAAUUCACACCUGAGCAGUUUGGUCAACGGUAUGAUCCUCAAGAUUGAUGGGCUCUUCUUCCAGUUGGUGACUUGAUCUUUAAGGAUUUGAUUCAAGGGUGGUGAAUCGGCACGUGCAGCCCACAACGCCUAGUAAGCCGACCCAAGAAUUUGAGGGUCAAAACGGAUUCACCGUCAGAGUGAUUGCAACUUUGAUGAUAUGAGAUACUCUUGCUUUUGAAGAAGUAGUGGAUGAAUCAGCACGUGCUUUGUUGCGCUUGUCUCCACAUGCUUCAAGGUAUCAUCUUUAUUUCCUUUAUCUAUUCCUCAGGCAGAUGUGGCAUCUUCUCGAGUUCUUCAUCUCAGACUCUUUCUGCUGAGUUGACUGUUCAUGCUGCAUUCUUCUCUGCUUGUUCAUUCUGCACGUUGUCUCCACAUGCUGCAAGGUAUCAUUUUCACUUGCCUUAUCUGUUCUCCGGGCAAAUGUGGCAGCUUCUUUGAAAGUACAGUAGCAGCGGGAGGCGAGUACUCGAGAGCAGUGCUAGGUAGGCAAUCAGGGAAGGGUUCCAAGCAGUCGGUUCCUUACCCGAGUUUGAGUGGAAGUUCCGGCAUAUUGUUUUUUUUAUCCUUGUCUUUGUAGGUAAGAACAAGGACAAAGGAAAGGACAGGGAGAACGCAUGAUAUGAGAUACUCUUGCUUUCUACCCUGGUGAUAUGAGAUACUUUUGCUUUGGAGUCAUUGGCUUGCAGAGGUACCCCAAGGAAUAAGGAACACUGAAUGACUCGAGAGGCUUCGUUGGGAAAACAUCUUUGGAGAUGAAGAAAGACUUUGUGUGUCUGCCUUGCUAUGGAAGGCGAAGGUAGACAAUUAUAGGAAGUUCUUUGAUACCUGUAGAUGUACUAUUCUUUCACUCGUGUCGGCAACCAAUGCGUGAUUGAUCUAUAUGGCUUCACGUGCUUCCUUCUUUAUCAGAAAUCUUCGACAAACUGUCCGUAAUUUCCGCCAAGCUGAGUGUGCAUGUGAUAGGUGUUGACGCGGCUGAAAAAGACUGGCGCUUAUUCGAUAACUGGGAUCUGCGCUUCGACAAAUUACCCGUGAUUUCCGCAAAGCUGAGUUUGCGUGUGAUGGGUGCUGACGUGUCUGGAAAAGACUGGCGUCUCUUCGAUGUCUGGGAUCGGCACUUCGACAAAUUGCCCGUGAUUUUCGCAAAGCUGAGCUUGCGUGUGACGGGUGCUGACGCGUCUGGAAAAGCAAGAUGCUUCUUCGAUUUCUGAGCUUGCCUCUUCGAUUUUUGAAUGGCCUCUUCGAAUUCUGAGCUCGCCUCUUCGAUCUCUGAAAUCCCGUCGAGUGUUGAUUUUUUAUAGAGGCAUGCUGUUCGUUUCAAAGCACACUUGAAUUUUACUUGUGAAAACUCCCUUCUUGCACUUCUAAGAUCUUGAUUCGUCUGACCUCUUCUUCCUUCAACACUUUGAAAAUGUCUGGACCCUCCGACCGUCGUUUUGAUUUGAACUUUGGUGAAGAUGUAGUCCCGUCUUCUCCAGAUAACAUAUGGCGCCCAUCCUUCAUAUCCCCUACUGGUCCUCUUACUGUUGGGGAUUCGGUGGUGAAGAAUGAUAUGACCGCUGCGGUGGUGGCCCGAAACCUUGUCACUCCCAGAGAUAACAGACUACUUUCCAAACGGUCUGAUGAGUUGGCUGUUAAGGAUUCUCUGGCUCUCAGUGUGCAGUGUGCGGGUUCUGUGUCCAACAUGGCCCAACGCCUAUUUGCUCGAACCCGUCAAGUUGAAUCGUUGGCGGCUGAAGUGAUGAGUCUUAAACAGGAGAUUAGAGGGCUCAAGCAUGAGAAUAAACAGUUGCACAAGCUUGCACACAACUAUGCCACAAACAUGAAGAUGAAGAUUGACCAGAUGCAGGAAUCUGAUGGUCAGAUUUUACUUGAUCAUCAGCGGUUUGUGGGUUCGUUCCAACAGCAUUUGCCUUUGUCUUCUGGGGCUGUACCGCGUAGUGAAGCUCCUCAUGAUCAACCUCCAGCCCCUCUUCUUUCUGGAGUUCCACCGAGUGGUGUGACUUCAAACAGUCAACCUCCGACGUCUCUUUUCCCUAGAGCUCCACCGAGCACUGAGACACCACCUGAGCAAUAAAGACUCCCUCCCGUUUGUUUGCACAUUUGUAAAUUUUUUUUUUUUUUUUUUUUUUUUUUUUUUUUGGUAUGUAGAAUGCAAUUUUAUGUAAAAUUUCCAGAAAAAAUAAAUAAAAUGGAUUUUUAUUUCUCUUAAUGCUUUUUUUUUUUUUUUUUUUUUUGCUGUAUAUAUUAUACACACACAUUUAUACAUACAUAUAUACAUACAUAUAUAUAUAUUUUCACGUGGAGUGAUCCACCAUCCCAAAACCCAUUUUCCCUUUGUUUUUUUUUGCAUGGUGCUAGCCACCAAGAAUUCACCUUUUUUUUUUUUUUAAUUAAUUAAUUAAUUUAUUUAUUUAUUAAUUUAUUAUUAUUAUUUCUUUUUCGUCUGCUUUCACAUGGUGCUUGAUCCACCACUCUCUUUUCUUUUUUCACGUGGUGCCAGAUGCACGCCCCUUUUUUUUUCACGUGGUGACAGCACCACUCUGCUUUGCUCUACCACAUUUUUUUUUUUUUUGUAUAAAUUAGGAUGCUUGGCUGAGGGAUUUUGUAGGGAAGGACGAAGACGGACGGAGAGCCGGAGUUUGAGGAAGAGCUUCUCGGCCGGCUAGUCGUUUGACAGCGGUCUUUGAAGUUGGUGGCAGCUGCGAGGCAAGAGACGGAGGAGGACAGGGCAGCUGUGACGGACAGAGACGCCAUGGCAGGACCUCGAGGAGUUUUAAGAUACUGGUGCAGGUACUGGCGAGGUGAUUUUGACGAGAAAAGCAUGAAGAGGGCGUCGAGCACCAUGGGCCUGCAAUCCUUAAGGUUGAUCUCGUAGUCCUUGAGCUCUUGUUCAGGCAUGACGGGAUCCGCUGCGGUCUUUUUUAUCGGCAAUAAAGUUCUUUGCCUCAUAAAACAGCCCAGAACGCGAUAGAAGAGUUACGAACAAAGCACAAUGUGCAACUGUAGGUGUCUUGAUGCAGUUGAAGUAAAACUUCCCUUCCUCGACCAUGCGUGCUGCAACGCAAGCAUGAAGGACAGCAGCAUAGGUGAUUUCAUCGAUCUGUGUACUCGUUUCCUUCUCCAUUUGGCAGAAUAAAUCUACUCCGAUCUUUCCUUGUCCGUGUAAGCUGUACCCAGUUAUCAUCACUGUCCACGAAACAAGAUCUCUUGUACUUCGACCCUGGCAAAAACUUUUGCAGCUGAUUUGAUAAAUCCCGACUUGACAUACAUGUCCAUAAGAGCAUUCAGAACGGUGAGAUUCAUUCGAAUACCAUGUCGCAGCAAGAAUCCAUGAGUCUCUUUUGCCAUGUUUACCUGCAGACAUUCUUGCGCAUGCUGGGAGAACACUAGAGACCGAGAGCGGAUCAGGUUUCACCCCGUCUCCAACCAUCUGCCUAAACAGCUUAAGACCCUCAUUGAAGCAUCCCCUCUUCACAUUGGCAUGAAUCAUUUCUGUCCAAGAAAUGACAUCUUUCUCCGGUAUUUGGUUGAAAACUGCCCAAGCUUCGUCGACACAGCCACAGUCCAUGUAUAUUUUCAAGAUGGUAUUGCUCACCAACACAUCAUACUCCAAUCCACGUUCCUUGGCAACCCUGUGGACUUUUGUUCCAUCAAUCAACGAUCUCAACAUGCCACAGGCACCAGCCGCCGUCGCCACAGCCACAGAAUCUAUCUGUGCUCCGGACUCCACCAUUCUCUCAAACACAUGAACCGCCUUGCCGGGUUUACCUUCCGCAAUGUACAGCCUGGCCAGCAUUGUCCAUGAAACAGAGUCCGUAACCAGGGACUUGUCAAACAGCCCUUUCGCGGAGUCCGCGCUGUCGAGGCGACCGUACAACUCAAUGAGAGCAGCAACCACGUACCGGUCACCAGAGCAGCCGAGCUUGUGAGCGUGGGCAUGGAGUUGCUUGCCGAGGGAGAGAUCAACCGAAAGGCGAGAGGCAGACAAGACGCGAGGAAGAGUGUGUCUGUCGGGCGACGAACGCGCGGAUGAGCAUUUGGUGGUAAGUGGCGAGGGCGUGGUGGAAGUCGGCAUUGGCGAUAUGGGUCUGGAUAAGUCUGUUCCAUGCAAAGGUAUCUGAGUGGGGCAUUUUGUCGAACACCUUGUGGGUGACGGCCACCUUCGUGGUGGGUUUAGCAUUUCGGGAGUGCUUGUAGUGGGCUGUGUUGAUUGGGUUCUCGGUGACGAUCAAGCGCUGGAUUUGGGCGGAUGGAAGGGCUUCCAUUUCAGUUCAGUCGCACCCAAUUCAGCAUUGCCCGUACGGAUUCGAGCGCAGUUAUCGAGGAGGAGUUUCCUUAAGAAUAGAACCAAUCACCGACUCCUCAAACCCAUCCGGAUAUGCGAUUUUCAUGAGGUGCAAACAAGAACCCUCUGCCAUAAGUGGCAUGAUCACCCAAAGGUUUCUUUCAACGACAAAUGAACAAAACGCCCUCACGACAUUGGGAUGAUCUAUUAAUCUCAUCGUCUGCGCCUCCCUCCGGAUAUCCUCGAAAUUGCUAUUGCACCGAUCGAGAUCCAAGCACUUGACGGCGACGACUUCAUUGAAAGGGAGAUAGAUCGCUCUGUAAACCGUUGCGCUGGCGCCAUAUCCGACCUCUUCCAGAAGCUUGUAGUCGUUCGGAUUCGCCGAGUGAAGCCUCGAAUUGCUACCCAUCCUCCCCAUCUGUUCGAGGACUUGUGCUUCAGAUAUGUCGUUUUGAGGCUACGGGCUCUGCGUUUGGGCUGUGUGCCAGUUUGGGCUUAGUGUUGCUUUGGAGAGAUCUAGGUUUGGUUGAAGAGGUACGGUGAAGCCAUGGGCAAGGGAGAUGACGAAUUGGGCUUGGAGGCUGACACUUGGGCCUGGAUGGCCUCCUUUUGAGAGGCUUGCUGCUGAUGGAUAUACAUAUAUAUAUUUGUAUGUAUAUGUAUGUAAAAGAAAUCUUUUUUUUUUUUUUUAAUUUUUUAAUUUUUUUUUUUAUGUGACUGAACUCGAAAAAAUUGAACAUUCGAGCUGCCUACGUACCCCUCCAAAGAAGAGAUCAAGUCGCAACGUAGUUCAAAUACAUUUUUGGUAUUUUCUUUUUGUGUCGUUUGCAGUUUUAACUCAUGCAGGCAAGGAGUGUUGGUGUCGUUUGCAGUUCCAACUCUUGCAUACAAGGAGCGUUGGUGUUGCCUUUUAUGCUCGUGUAGGCCAGGAGCGUUGGUUCGUGCAGUUUAGGCUCGUGCAGGCGAGGAGCCUUUGGUGUCGUUCGCAGUUUCAACUCGUGCAAACAAGGAGCAUUUGGUGUCGUUCGCAGUUUCAACUCGUGCAGACAAGGAGCAUUUGAUGCCGUGUUGCAGUUUAGGCUCAUGCAGGCGAGGAGCGUUGGUGUCUUGUAGUUUAGGCUCUUACAGACAAGGAGCUUUGGUUCGUGCAGUUUAGGCUCGUGCGAACAAGGAGCAUUGUUGGUUCGUCAAGCGAUCCGAGAGAGUUGUUCCUCACAAUCUUCAUAGCAAGGAGCCUUGACCGCGUGAUUGAAGAAGUCUUCGGGUAAAAAGUCGCGCAUCGUGAUGGCAACAGACAAUCUUUGUGUCGUAGUUUCAUCAUCUUCAACACGUUCACGUUGCUUUGAAGGUUGACAAUAGCUGCUUUGCCCCCUUUUCAAUUGGCGGACUUGUGGAGGAGACGUAUGCUUCUUGUGCAAUUUCUUAGGAGUGACUUGAGUCCAUCCUUCAAUUUUGCUUGUCUUGGACGAUGCCCCCAGCGGUUGAGGUGAAAACUUUGAGUCGGAAGAGCCAGAAGUGAAGGUGGUAUAGUUUGACUUUGCCACUUCGUCAAGAUCUAGCUCGAUGAUUCCUUUCUGAGCCAGCUUCAUGAUGAGAUCUUUCAGCACGAAACAUUUUUCUGUCGGAUGACUGAUGAAGCGGUGGAAUUUACAGUACUUUGGACUGUCGGUGCGAUUCAUCUCUUCUGGCCGUUUGCACUCAGGCAAACCAAUCACCUUCUUUUCCAACAGGUCAUCCAGUAUGGCAACCACAUCAGAGUCGGGGAAUGGAUAAGUCUUCUCCUCAAGCUCCUUUAAAGUGCGUCUACGCAUUUCUUGAUCACGAAAAGCUUCGGUUUGAAUCGCCUUGCCUCGUGUGGAUAUUUUGACGGGAGAUGUGUUGACCGUCAUCGCUUCCUUGGUGGGUUUCCAUGCAGCCUUUUCCACCUUUGUCCCAAGAACUUUGUCGUUCUUGUAGUCGGCGAUUGGUUCUUUCUUCCCAUGAUGGGCGAUGCUCAACUCCAUGUCAUGGGCGCGAGUGGCCAAUUCCUCGAAGGUCCGCGGUUUAAUGCCUUGAAGGAUGUAUUGCAAACCCCAUUGCAUGCCUUGGAUGCACAUCUCGAUUGAAGAGGUUUCCGAGAGCCUGUCUUUACAGUCGAGGCUUAGAGUGCGCCAUCUGUUGAUGUAGUCAAUGACUGGCUCGUCCUUCCACUGCUUUGUGCUUGUUAGCUCUAGCAUGCUCACAGUGCGGCGAGUGCUGUAGAAGCGGUUGAGGAAUUCCCGCUCCAAUUGCUCCCAGUUGUUGAUGGACUCAGGCUCUAGGUCAGUGUACCACUCAAAGGCGUUUCCUUUUAGUGAGCGCACAAACUGCUUGGCGAGGUAGUCCCCUUCGGUCCCUGCGUUGUUGCAAGUUUCAACAAAGUGGGCAAUGUGUUGUUUCGGGUUUCCCUUUCCAUCAAAUUGCAUGAACUUUGGCGGUUGAUAACCCUUCGGCAUCCUUAAGGCGUCGAUUUUCUUUGAAUACGGCUUCGAGUACAACCCGGAGGUAUUUGAGCUCCCUUCGUACUGUGCCUUGAUGGUGUUGGUGAUCAUCUAUUGCAGCUGCUGGAUAGAAAGAGAUCCCAUGAGUGCCGCUGCUUGGUCUGGCUCCGGCUUUGCAUCGUUUUUCUCCACCUGAGGCUCAUCUUCUUCGUCAUCUCUUCUCUUUAGUGGAUCAUUCUCUGGGUCGGGUUUAUCGCCGUCCUGCGCCUUUAGUCGAUUGACGAGUGCUGCAAUUUGCAAGUCUUUUUUCUUCCACCGUUCGGGUCAGCCUUGCGAUUGCUUCAUUCAUCUGAGCCAGUUGUUCUUCAACGGAGGUAACGCCGAUAGUCAUGACUUGUGCGACCAAUAUACGUGACUUUCCUUUAGACAUCCAGGAUGCUGAUGAAGAACGUCGUUGGCUGCUUUGGGAUGUCAUCUUAUGUGCCUCAGCAUCAUGCUUCGGUGCCCCCAGCGAGGUCAGGUUGAUGACAGACUCGCACCUUGGAUGCUCCCCUUGCUCUUUUAGCGGCACCAAUUUUGAAGUAGCAUGUUGGGGAGCGGUUGUGGCGCCAAUGGAUUGUCUGUUUGCGGCAGAAGUGCUUAGGAUCCUUCCCUCAGUGGUUGCGAGAAUGGCUUGUCCUUUGCUUGAUGCCAUUGACUUUGAGGUGUGCUUGGAUUCCUUGAACGAAGAAAGAGAUGAGAGGUAGAGAUUGUCCCACCGGGCGUGCCAAUUUGUGAACACGGAAAAUUCCUGAAACGAAAGAGACAAGAACGAACGUGCACAAACAAAUAUUAUGUAUUUGAUGAUUUUGGGUUACAAUCUCUCUCUAUUUGAUCCUCUGAUUCAAUCUCCGUAAGGUGUGUAUUUGUGGAUGUGUGAUUGAUCCAAAGGGCCGUUGGGCUUGAUCUAAGGAUGAACGUUCUUCAAGGGCCGUGGACUUGAUCUUGAAGGUGGAUUUGAGCGGAUCUUUAAAGGGGCUUUUGGGCUUGAUCUUGAAGAACGGUUGGAUGUGUGGAUUUGUCGAAGUUGUUGAUCCAAAGGGCCGUUGGGGCUUGAUCUUGGAUGAACGGAUGAUGAACGAUGGUGCUUUCUUCAAGGGCCGUCGGGGCUUGAUCUUGAAUUGGUGGAUGGUUGAUCCAAGGGCCGUCGGGGCUUGAUCUUGGAAGAACGAUGAACGAAGAACGAAGAACACUUUCUUCAAGGGCCGUCGGGGCUUGAUCUUGAAUUGGUGGAUGAUUGUUGAUCCAAAGGGCCGUUGGGGCUUGAUCUUGGAAGAACGAUGAACGAAGAACAAAGAACGCUUUCUUCAAGGGCCGUCGGGGCUUGAUCUUGAAGGUGGAUGAUUGUUGAUCCAAGGGCUGUCGAGGCUUGAUCUUGGAAGAACGAUGAACGAAGAACACUUUCUUGAUUCUUCGGGAACCUGGACGCUUGAGAGCUUCGGAGUUUCAGAGCUUCAGAGCUUCAAGGUGUAAUAUGAAUUGGUCCCCCCUAAAUGAAUGAAAUGGGCUUGUAUUUAUAGAAUUUUCCAAGGCCUAAUUUUGAAUAUAAUAUCCCAGAUGAAAUAAGUCGUUUCUGCCAGGUGUUGACACGUGUCCUAUUUGAUGACUUUUCCAACUCAUUUCAAUUUUCGUUUAGUCACACGCUACGUGUAAAAUUUAUGUAAUACAUGAGCGUUGACACUUUGAUUUAUCGGUCAACAUUUAUUUACCGAAAUUUCGAUGUCUACAAAACUAAUAGAUAAUUGACUAAAUAAACAUCCUGCAAAGUUUCAAUAAAAAUUUCCAAGUUUUUCUUACAAUUUCUGUGGUUUCCAUAUUAUUUUUAUCGAUAUCGAUAAUAUCCCGAUAUUUCAAUCGAUAUUUCCGUGUUUUUGGACUACCGAUAUUUCCGAUAUCAUCGAUAUUUUAUACCUUGGCGACGGGGGACUUGCCGACUGGUGCCACCGUGGACGUUGGGUCUUUCGAAAUGUGGUGUAAUGUUAUGAUCCCACAUCGGCUACACAAGAAAUUGUGUAGUGGUACUUAAGUGCAAGGGGUCCUCCCACCUAUUGGACUAGUCUUUUGAGUUGGGCUCUUCCCUUAGGCUUGAGUACCUAACAAACCCAUAAAUCAAAGAAAUCAAAAUCCACCCAGAAUCAAAGAAAUCAAAAUCCAUCCAGAACCAAAGAAAUCAAAAUCACACACAGAUAUACAAGGUGUACAGUACUGACAUGCCUUAAAUGAUAUUAUUCACAAGAUUUAUAAAGCUCAUGUCGUAAUACUUGUGCAGAAUCUAUCAUUCACGGCGUCACUUUUGUGCAAGUUGUAAAUAAAAUUAUUCACAAUUUAAACAUUGUGUGUCGUAUUUGACAAUUUAUACUACGCACUUUCUUUUUCUUUUAAAGCUUUGCGUUAUGUCGUGAAGUUGACUUUCUAUAUAUUUGGGUUGUACCUUUUAUGGCGCAAAUAACACGUCGUAAAUAAUGGCUUUUAGCACAGAAGUUUUGUGGUAAAGAAGCCCGCGCACUAAUUCAUUCUCGCGCCUUCUCUUUUUUAUUUAGCCGCUUCUUUUUUUAUUUUUUAUUUUUUUUGUUAAAUUCCCCUCAAAUGUUAAAAGAAAAAUUAAUGAAAUAUUUGAAAACUUUGAGUUUUAACGAUAAGGAUAAAAUAAAAGGUAAAAUGAAUAGUACCAAAAUUGACUUUUUAGUGUUAAAAUAUGAUUUUUCGUUAAAGUGAACAGUGCCGAAAGUUUUUCGUUAAAGUUCAAUGUUAAAAGGUUUGUAUUUUCUUGGUAAACUUGAAAGACAAACAUUGCAAUUGCAUUUUCAUUUACCCAAUAUUAAUUGUCGAGAGCCCACCCCCUUCCCUUCUCACUGACAUCGUAACUCUCUCCUCUCCAUCGAUCUCGCUCCAUCUGCUCGCCGUCGCUCUAUAUGCUCGUCAUCACCGUCGAUUCGUCUGCUCGUCGUCACCGUCGCCCAUCUGCUUUCCGUCACCGUCGAAGUGCCCCGCCAUUCAAGAUCUGAAAUCCCCAAUACAGGGUGCUUUGCGGCAUUUCGUUCUCCAAAACUUUAGGUAUGCUCUCAAUCUGUAUCAACCCUAUCCUGUCCCCUCUAGAUUUUUGUUUAGUCUCAACUUUAUGGUGCUUUUCUUAGAUUUGUUCUAUCACUGUAAUUUUAAGGGAUUUUAGGUAAUAAAUUUGGUUGAGAAUCUCAGUUAGGUUUGUAAUUGUUUUCUUGGUUGCCUGGGUUUGAGGAUGAUUAAUCCACUUUCUGAAGUUUAAUUACUUUGAACUUUGAUUUGUGGGAAACUGCAAUCAAAAUGUUGCUAUGGCUUUAUAGUUAGAAUCGAUUGUGAGUCUUUGCACCACAUCAAGCAAUACCCCGGUGUUGUAAUUCCGAGGUUUGUAAUUGCCGCUGUUAAUGAUGGUUUGGUCCAUCCUUUUUAGGGAGAUGACUUCAAUGAUUGAAACUAGUUUAUCAUUAUUUCAGAACUCUGUAAUACGAGACAUGAUAUUCCAAAAAAUAUUUGCAUGAAUAUAUGUGCAUUGACUGACUAUUUUUCAGUCUUUGAUAGUGGAGAUAACUCUUUCAGGUCAUAUGUAGUUCUUACAGAAAUUGUAUGGUAUUUUGGUUGGUUUUGUGUUCUGGUUGUAGCAAACUGGUGGAUGCCCUGAGAUGAGUAGUUAUCUACAAAGUGGAUGGAUCCUGAAGAGUACAAAGUCUAAGGCAUUUUAUGUAAAGGUAAAUCCUGUUACUUUUAAUUACUUAUAUGUGAAUGCCUGCCAUUUGAAGUAAAAAUUCUUUUAGCCAUUACAUUCUUCAUAAAGAUCUUUAUAUGCUCAAAAGAAGGAUUUUUUUUAGAUGCCAUGUAACUGGUGGUGGCUAGCCUCUUCUUUUUAAGACUCUAGUGUGUUUCAAUUACACUAGUCAAUCGUUCUUAUGUGUAUUAUGUUUUGUUGAUAAGAUGGCCAAGACAAAGUUGUAGAGCCCUAGUAGCAGGGUGCUGUUGGCAUUUAUAUUUUUCUUUUGAAGGGGUGUUUAUUGCUUUUAUACUUUCAUUGUUUACUCUCAUACAUACAAUACUGAAAAAUAAGCAUGUAUUGACGCGUAAUUUUAGAUCCAUAUUUAUACAUAAUUUUGAUUACAUGUCCAAAUUACCCAAGAUUCUUUUUCCUUUACAAAUUUGUGGAGUGCAUUACAUGGAUAUGAUUCAUGUAUGAAAUACACAUGACUCUCACUAAUUUAAGGGCAGCAUCAUUGACUGUACAGUUUUCAAUUCUUUAUAAUCAUGAGUAUAGACAUUUUUUAAUUCUUUAUAAUCAUGAGUACAACAAUAGUUUCUAUAACAAAAUUCUGUUAAAUAUGUAAUAUCAGUAUUUGUUUUCCAGGUUCAUUAGUUGAGGAUGAUUUUUCCAAGAAAGAAAAGAUCGCGGCUUUCAGGCCGAUCUAAAGAACAUUAUGUUGAUAUUGCACCUGAGAUCUUACAAGAAGAGGACGAAGAAGUACCAGAUGACCUAUUUACAGAGGAGUCGAAUCAAACUAAAAGAAAGAGGGGUCCUACUAGAAUGAAGACAAUUUCCACAAAUGAUGGUCAACGAAUUGAGAUUGAAUGGAAUGAAAACGGCCAGUUUAUUGGUGACGGAUCUAUUGACUUAUCUUCUUACAUGGGUUCUUUGGUCCGAGAGGUUGUCCCUAUAACAUUUGAUACUUGGAAGGAUGUUCCUAAGAAAACAAAGGACAUCCUAAUCAAGGUAAUAUGCAGAUAAGUCAAUUCUGAUCCCUCUACUUCAAGGUGAACAAUUUAUAGUUUAUAAAUUUUACUUGUGUUAAUAUAUAUUUUUUGGUAAAUGUUAUGGAUAUUUUAUCAAAUCAGAGAGUAAAUUCGUAUUAAGUGAAGAUUGGCAAAGAACAUAUUGUUUUGAAAGGAUGAAUAAUGUUUGCAGAUCACAUAUAUCAGUAGUUGUGAAGUCCAUAAGAGAAGCAAGAAAUUGGAAAGCAAGGCUUCGUCUAAAACCAAAUAAUGUCAAAUUAAUUCAAGAUUGGAAGACUUCCCUUGCAAAGUGUAAGCUCAUUUUCCUUUUCUUUUAUUUCUAAGAUUAGUUAUCUUCUUUUGAGUUCAAAAUUGGGUCAGAGAAAUCAAACUGAUAGUAGUUAAAAGUCUAUUUCAACACCAAGCCUUGUCUACACAAGAAUUUGGUGUUAGUUAAACAUGUGUAUGAUUCUAUCUUGAUUGCAUGUUAAUUUAGUUUGAAGAUAGAUUUGGUACAUGCUAGCUAAUUGAUACGUGAUAUGAAUCUUUGGUUUCCUUUUGAUAGGACAAAAGCGAAACAUUCAGAGAGAUGAAGUCUAAGCAACUCCGCACACAUGUAGUCGCAAGGGAUAUGGUAGGUUGGCGGAGGAUUUGGUAAUUACAUUUCAUUCUAGUGCCUUCUUUUCUACAGGACAAGAACAAUUUACUAAUUUUAUUCUGUGUUCUACUGUGUGUUUACUACAUUUAUGUUUCUAUUUUGUAGAAAAGAAAAAGUGUAGACCCUUCUCUAGUUUCUAGAGGUGAUGUUUGGAUUGCAGCACAUACUAAAAAGGGUGGUGGACCAUCCAAUUUGCUUGCUGCAGAGACUAUUGUAAGUAAUUUUUAACCAUUUAUUUCUUCUUGUUUGUUGAUAUGCAAUGAUGAAUGAGGUCUUAACUUUGAUGUGCAACGUUAGGAAAAAAAUUAAGCAAUAUGGAAAUGGAUCAUCAUCUGGUUUUCGAGGUGACGUUCUUUCCAAAGUUUUUGGUGCUGAGCGACAUGGUCGUGCAAGAGGAGUUGGAGGUGGUGUUCCUCCUACAAAGCUUGGAAUAUUUUCACAACAAAAAUUGCGUAAUCACCAAAUGGAUGAAAAGGUGCACAAUUUAACUAAUCAGGUCAGAGCACUGACAGAAUUGGUGUAUCUUUUUAUGAAAAAUCAGGUUAGUGAUUUAAUAACAUUGGUAUCAUAUUGAAUAUUUGUGAAAUCAGUUUUAGUGACACAUCAAAUCACAGGGUAAUGAUCUACCAAGUGAGGCAUCUCCUGACACACAGGUUGCAGCUCCUGAGGCACAUGUUGAUACUGUCGCAAGAACUGAAACUUGUCUUUCCCAUUGCGCAACAAAUGAAUCGUGGUGGCGAGGUUGAUACACUUUUUCAAUGAGCCUUCUAACUAUUAAUGCUCAUUGACUCUGUUAAAAGCUCUGCCAUUUUCAAUCUAACUAGACACUAGAAAUGAUCAUUGACUCUGUUAAAAGUUAUGAUGUUUUGGUCCUUCUCCAUAGUUGCGCAUCUACUGAUGUCUAUUUUUUUUCAAAUACUGCAGGUUAUUUCUGAAAACAUUGAAACAUCGUGGUGUACCAGAUGGUUUGAUUAUAAGACACCUUCCUUUUGGUCCACCAACUUAUUUAUAACUGCUAAAUGGUACGUAGUGUGAUAAUUUUCAAAUAUUUUGAUAUUAAGACAGGUGUAGGACAACAUAGAAAUUCUUAGGGCCUUCAGCAACAAAAUUAUGAAAAAGUGAGUGAGAUACAAUUAAAAAAAUGAAAGAGAAGGAUCAUGAUUCAUGAUCUAAAGGUUUGAAUAGGGUAGAAAGGAUUUAGUUUCGUUGUUAAAAUCGAUUGUGAGUCUAUUGUUAUUGUAUUGUCAAUUUGUUUAUUUACUUGAACUUCCUAGUAUCAAUUUGGUUCGAUAUAUCUAGCACCACCAUAGAUAUAUCUAGUAUCAAUUUGGUUAGAUAUUGUCAAUUUGUUAUUGUAUUGUCAACUAUAGAAUGUGCAUCAGUUGUAAAAGGAACAAAACAAUUCAGAUUUUUUGUUUAUGUCCAAACUUAGAAUUGUAUUGUAAUUGACAAUUUCUACUAAUUAAUUUAAAGUAUUUGGAGUUUAAUAUGUUUAUGAUCAAUAUUGUUAUCCUUCUAUUGUAUCAGUUUAGAUGUUAUGAAGUGAGGUCUGUCUAAAAAUGAUAUGCUAAAUAUAGAUGUAAAUUACGGCAUCUAAAAUCAGCAAUAAUUGUUGAUGGUAGUCUUUUUUUACGAUGCACGAUGUAUGCCGUAAUCACCUUCACAAUAUUACGACACUCAACAAAUGCUGUAUCAAAUAUAAAUUACUGCACACAAGUAUGUCGUAAUUGUUUUUCAGUAUUACGACACCCUAUUAACGCUGUAACUAAUACCAAUUAAGGCGCGUAGGACAUGCCUUAAGAACAUUUAUGGCGUGUUUUACUUAAAUUAUUCACUACUAUUAGAGUACGUCGUAUUUGUCAAAACAUCUUUUACAACAGGGGCUUUUACUGCUUGGAGGCUCACGUCGUGAAUUUCCAUUUACGGCACCCUUUGUGCGCCGUAAAAGGCCAAUUCUAUUGUAGUGAUCCAUGGGUACAUUUUUAAUCUACAUGUUUCGUUUUAAUAUAUCUAUUGCUAUAAUAUGUUUUGGUUGGUUCAAAUUCGUUUUACAUAAAUAUAUGGGUACAAAGUUUUUGGAGAAUAUUAUGUAAAAUGGUUUUUAAGGUUGUUGCAUUUUAUGUACCCACAUAUGCAUGUCUAUAAAACAAUGUGGUAUGAUGUACAUUCUUUUCCUUGAGUUUUUAAAUGUACCCAUGAGUUUUCUUGUAAAUUCAGUAUGUAUCCAUAUGCUAUUUAUGUUAUGGGUACAUAAAUUAUUUUUGGUCUAAGUUGGUGGGUACAUUGCUUUUGUAUGUAUGAAUUCAUUGGGUACAUUAUUUCCCUUAAUACUACUCAAUAAAAUUCACAAAAAUAUGUGCAGUGUGCAUGAAUUUUUAUUGUAGAAAUUGUUUUUUUUUAAUUUUUAAUUUUUAAGUCUCAUAAUUCGUGAAUUUUGUACAUAUUGAUCCCAUAAAUUUUUGAAUUUUAUUAAAUUUCUUUUAGACUUGAUCGAUUGAUUGAAUCUCAUAAUAAUCCCUUAAAUGUUCCAAUCAAUAUUUUAAAUUACAGCUUUUUAUUUAAGAUUUCAAAAAGAUGACAUGAAAAUAUAGUAAUACUAAAAUUUUAUUUUAAAUUACAUUUGUGUAACAAUCAAUGGUAUGUUAAAACUGGGCAAAAAAAAAAGGUAUAUUAAAAAAUUAUAAUUUAUUCUUUUUUUCAUAACUGUCUUCUGCUUAGAUUAAAUUUUUACCAAUUUGGGGGAAUUAGUUCUUACCAAUAUAUAUGCACAGUAUUUGCUUUUUACCUGGGCUUAACACAUGAUUAAUUACUUUCCUACCUGCUAACGCGUUGAUUUGCGCAUCCAAAGUAUUAUCAAAGUCACUGCCACCAAAAAGGUGCCCACUCCACAACCUUUGGUUGAACCAAAGAACAUCACAACAAUAAGGAAAUCGUUAAAUCUAUCUCCGCAACAUUUUUAUUAAUCAUUAGAUAGAUUAAACGAUUCCCCUGUUCAUAUUGUGUUCUUUUGUUGAACCAAACCAUGUCAACAAAAUAUAUCUAUGGUUAAGCAUCUAGAUUCAUGCUUUUGGAUGUGCAUCUUAAACCCCUCAAUGAAUAGCCAAGCAAUUUAUCAUGUGUUUACAGUAGGUCAAAAGAAGAAAGUGUUUGUCUAUAUAUUGGUAGGAACCAAUUCCUCUGAAGAGGAGAGAUGGAAGUGAUGAUAAUACUUUAAAUAAUCAAAGCCCAAACAUUUUAUCAAAUUUCAUCUCUGUACUCCACGGAGACACUAAAUGAGACAUAUCUGGUCCAUCUCUGAACAUCUUUUCUUACCGUUCUUACAAUAGAAAGGGCACAAAAUUGACUUACACAGUCUUGCACAAUACUCACUUUGCUUCAACCCAUAUUUCACUUUGUCAAAUCAUACACGUUCCUGCAAUAGGUGAACUCAUAUGUAUCUACCACUUCUUGCUAAUUUUAAUUUUUCCAUUCCCAUUUUUGCUACAAGUUUCACAUAAAUUUUUUAUUGCACUUGUCAAUUCUUUAUACUUUUUUAUUGUAUUUUUUUUUUGUCUUUUUUUUGUAUUAAACAAUUACAUGUCCUCCAAAAGUUUUGCUUAUUGCCCUAUUUCAUCAAGCUCGGUAUAAAUAGAUCUUAAUUUUUUACUACAGUUAAAUACAUGGACAUGCCUCCACAAAUACAAAUUAGUUCUUGCUUAAAUACUUUGUGUGUUUACAUAGAAAAUGUUCCCAUCGUCUACCAAAAUCCUCCACACAUGAAAACAAAAAUUCUUACUCAAAAAUACAUAUUACAAUACCACCAUAUCUGUUGUUUUUUAUUAAAUUAACACACUGUUUUCAAUUUUAUCUUUAACACAAAAGAAAAUGCUCUUACACAAUAUGCUUGUUUACAUUUUAUAACUUAUCUACCACAUGUUAAUCGCAAUUAUAUAAAUAGGAAAACACGUGUCAAUAGAAGUGUGAUGCAUGCUACUUCGUUAACAAUAGUGGCAACUAAACAAUUAAAUAAUUUGUUUCAAUUAGUUAGUACAUUUUAUAAAUUUCUUAAUUAGAACUGUUUCAGUAUAUUCAAUACAUUUUUAAACAACUUUCCAGUUAGUUGCCCAAACUAAUUAUUCCAGCUUAUUCAUAGUAUAAUACCAACAAUUUAACAACCAAUGAUACUUCGUUUAACAUAAACUUCAUUUGGAAAAAACAAAAAAAUAUCUUUUUCUCUGCUGAAAAAUCCAACAGAGUUAUUGAUGCAGAUCAGUUAUACCAACAAAUUACCAUAGUUUACCCAAUGCUAUACAGGUUUGACUUUUGUUUAUAUUCUUGGAUCUGUUGCUUGGUUGUAUAAUUUGGUUGUGUGUUUUGUUUCAGGACAAUUUGUUCUUCGUUUCUUGAGGCUUUUGUGUGUAGAUUUGAAACCGUUUAGCUUUCAAGCCGUGUAUACUCAAGGUAAAUAAUUUCGUUUUUUUCUUUGUAACCUUUUUUGUAAGAAAUUUUUAUUUAAUGUUGUGAGAGUUGUGUUUUCUAGAGUAUGAAAAUUGAAUCUUUGUGAUCUUAUAUCCUUAGAUAUGUUUCUUGGUUAUAUGAUUUGGCUGUGUGCAUUGUUUCAGGACAAUUUGUUCUUCGUUUUUUGGGGCUUCGGUGUGUAGCUUUGAAGCCUUUUGUAGUCAACAUAAAUAAUUUUAUUUUUCUUUGUUUCUAGUCUUCUUUGAAAGAAUUUCUUAGUUAAUAUUCUGAGAAUUAUGUUUACUAUAGUAUGAAAAUUGAAUCUUUGUGAUCUUGUAAGUGAUGUAACGUCAUUGCAACAUGUAUGACUGCCAUUAUCGAACAUGAAGAGCUUUUUGAUUUUUGUACUCCGUCCUUUCAUACGAUCUGACUCAAAAAUUGUUUCAUCACAGGUUCUAACAUGAUUUUUGCGACGUCUUAUGAAAAUACAAUGUCACUUCUGGUAUUCCAACUUAAACAAAUUACAAGGGAUGUCUAGUUUUAAACCUGCAGUUAGUAUAUACUAAAACGACGGUUUUGGCCCUGCUCUCGACUUCUUCAGAAACCUCGAGAAACUUCAAACUGAGAAAGCUUCUCCCUUCCAUCUCUGCUACGCGAUCUCUGCUUUGCGAUCUCUGCUUCCUCCGUGAUUUCUUCCCUCCUGAUCGACAUCUAUUCGAAUUGAAAACCUUCUGGAGCUCUCUUCCCCAAAUUUCAGCAGCAACUUUGCUCCAGAUCUUUCCAAUUGAAAUUCCUCUCCUUCACAUUUUGCAUAUUGAAUUUCGCAUCAUUAUCAUCUCCCUAGAACCUAGGAGUUUGGUUCGGUUUCGAGUUUUCCGACGGAAAUCCGGCGACAGCGGCCAUCGAGGUUGGUCUGAAACUAUUCCUCAUCACCACAAGUACUUUCUACACCUAUUACACUUUAGAAAAAAUUUCAUGAUUUGGUGGAAUCCAAUUUAAUGAUUAGAAAAAUUUUCAUUAAUUUUCUGGGUUCGUGGGUUGGAGGUGGAUUAGAAAUUUUUUCAUUAUUUUUCUGGGUUUGUGGUUUUUUUCCAAAACGUUUUUCCUUUCUACUAAUCCAAGUUCCUUCACAUCAAUCUCUCUGUUUCGUUCUUGAUCUUCCGCGAGUAGAAUACCUCUCCUUGCUCUCGAGCGCGUGGGCAGUCGCUCCAAGGCAGCCCAUGACGUCAUUUUCCGAUUCGACUCGGAGGAGGUUGGCUGCUCUUCUUGGCUGAGCUUCAUGGCUGGCCGAAUUCCCCUAUUCCCUUCCUCUUAUACUCUUUUGUAUUCGUUCACCAAAACAAUAGGAAAACGUCUCCGUCUGUUUGAUUGACGGCGAAGAAAAAAAGACGGAGAUAAAAGCCUGACGGAAGCUGAAAGCUUGGACUCUGUUUGUAUUUUUAAUGGAUUUUCAGAACACAGGUCAAGAAUACUGCGAUUUGAGAAAGAAAGAAAGAACCACGUUGACAUAAUAUAUUCACAAUAGGCGUACAUAAAGCUUUACUGUGGUUCCAUUUUUUUGCAUAUUUCAAAGGCUCUGAAUUGUUAAGGGAAUUAGCCUUUUGUUUUAGGAAGAACUUGGAACCCCCUCCGUCCAUUCUAUUCCCGAUGGAAUUAACACUUAGAUAGUACUAUGACAAUGUGUCAUUAAUUGAUGCAUACCUGUAUAAAUUUAGGCCAAGUGUUUUAUACACAAAUUGAUACAGAUUAAGCUUCUGGGUCGAAAUCAUAUACCGGUGAGCUAACUACACAAUGAUACAUUCUUAUCUGUUAAUUAUCUUUGGUUACCAGCUAUCCAUGUUGCUGACAUAUUAAACUACACAACAUCUAUUGUAAUUUAUGUCUUAUUAGUAUCAUCACUUUUGUUCUUUAUUUCAAUGUCUAACAUAAUGAUCUGGUUUCAAUUUGCUACAGGCAUUAUUUCCAGACAAUAGCUAUGGUUUUGAUUGUAGCGGUGACUGAAAAAUUAUUCCGAAACUAACAUUUGAGGAAUUCAAGGUUUGUUAGUUAAUUUGUACAUCAGAAUACCAUGACAAACUAUGAAGUUGUAAUUGUUGACCUUACAAUGUAUCUUUUUUGGUUUGGAGCAUUAGACUUAUAUGUGUUGCUUUCACUUCAUGAAGGCUAACUCUUUAUUUUAGGCCUUAGAAUAUAAUUUUUUGGAGAAUCUACAUUGUUGAUAAUUUUUUGAACAAUAUUAUCCCCAAAAUUUCUCCGCAUGUUACCCUCAACGUAGACAUCAUAUAACCAUCAUUGAACUUCUGAACCAAAAAUUUGAGUUUUAUGAUUAUAACUAAACGUCUAUAAACACAUGAUACAGAUUGAGACGAAUGUCAAAUUUAAAAUGGCAUUAAUCAGGACAGCUGCAAACUCUGAUUUGCGGCCUUUGAAAUGGAGCAGUUACUUCUUGCUUCACUUCAACAGCAUAGUCCAGCUUCUAAAUUCAGUUCUCAGGUAUGAGGUUUCUCAGUUACCUCUUUUUUGUAAUAAAACAUUUGAUCAGUACUUGCCAGGAUAUCCAAUUAAUUAGGUCAGUUUUUGUUAGCGGUAAUAAUUUGUUUUUGUAGCUUUAUAUGUGUCUCUGUCUCCAAAUAUGAUGAUCUCUUAAUUUGCUUCUAUAGCUUUUGUAAUAUAAUGAUCUCUUAAUUUGCUUUUGCAUAUCUUCUUUGCUUCCUCUGCUAGCUCUAUAUGAGAUUCCAUCUCCAAAUAAUUAUUCCUUAUUUCCUAUUUUUACAGGAAGCAAAUCAUUGAAUACACAUGGAAAAUUAAAAGGGUUUUAGUUUUUGGAGUAGUUUAAAUUUUUUGUUUGUUAUUGCUUGUAUUGCUGUUAAAUAUUUGAUGGGUAGUUUGAAAUGGGGAACUUGGUUGAUUGAGUAUUAACUUUUAUUAAAUUAAUAUUCUUAUUCAAUAUUGAAUUAAGACUCCUCUUAUUAAAUUAAGACUCUUAGAGUGCGUUUGUUGCGCCAGACUGUCUCGGACUGGACUAGCUGCCGGGACUAAGCUGGACUGGCUUAGACUGGACUAAGCUAGACUAACUUAGUGAAGCGUUUGGUGUAAUGUCGGACUAAGAAGCAGGAUAAGAAAAACAGUACUGUUCACCAGAUUUGUGUUUGCUUAGACUAGGAUUACAAAUUUUUGCCAUUGUGUAAUAGAGUAAUGCUACAAAUCUCAUGAUAUGGGUUAAUUGGAGCAUAUUUUUGCCAUGUAUAUUAUGAAUCUUAAAAAAAAUUGACAAUUGUUUUGUUUCUAUUACCUGCUAAUAGAAUUGGGUUUAAUUUGCAAAUGUAGCUUAGUUUAAACUCUAUCACCCAACAGAAGAAAAAUAAUAGUGCCCAAUACAUGCAACUUCAACAAAUACAAGUACAUAAGAAGAUCUCCAUAAUUUAGAAAAUCCUAGUUAACAUUAGUUAACAUUAGCCAAAAUAGAUCUCCAUAAUUUACAAAAUGGCUAGUUAACAUAAGCCAAAAUACUAGUGCAAAGCUAAGUUAUAAGCCAUAACAUAAGAUUGUAUGAUUAAUAAAAUACAUCCAUGUUAACAUUAAUAAAAUACAUCCAUGUUAACAUUAGCCAAAAUCCUCAUCCGCUUGCGUUGUCGCUUAAAAGCCUUUGGACGAACACUUUCUUGAGUUCCGGUUUGAUUGCCCUGAACACUCCCACAUUUUUUGGUUUAUCCAAAAUAAGAGACAAUGCAUCAAUUUGAUCCAUAGGAGAGAGACCCAUUACUUCAAGUUCAUUAGCUAUGUCAGUAUGAUCUGCAAUACCUUGAACUAAAGCUUCAGUUACCAUUUGCAUCCUCUUCCCACUUUCAACAUAAAAAUCUUUCAGUCCACUGAUAAUUGCCUCGGUUCCAUCACUUGAAUUUCCCACAGCUCUUUUCCUCUUUCUUUGGCUAUUUUCAGAUGGGGUGCUUUGUUGGCUUUGUUGGUUCAUUGAAGAAACAAAAUUUUCACCUCCAAUAUCACUUUCACCAACAUGAUCAUGACUUUGUUCCUCCACCAUUUGAGCAGGGGUUUCGGCUACAUUACCCGUAGCCCGAUCUUUUCCAAAUAUAUAUGCAAAUCUAUCAAACAGUGGAAAAGGUUUGCUUCUCCAUCCAUCGGCUUCUUUAUUUCUCUAAGAUUAUAUCAACAUAGCAAAACUAAAAUUUAGCAUGCGUAACAAAUAUAGCAGCAAGAAUAUAACUAAUGUAUAAAUAAAAUAGGAUAUGAACCUGCACAUAAGUUUGCCAUGAGUCAUCACUGUCAACUUCAACGCACUUUUUGACAUCAUUUCAUGCAAAUCCACUUGUGUUUAUCAUGUCAACGACCAUACUAUAUGUUUUUUUCCAUUUCUUCAACUUGGACUCAAUAUGUGGAUUUGCCUUUAUAUUUGAAUGAGGACAUAAAACAUUGACAACUUUUGCUAUUUCAACCAAAGUACCUUGUUUGAAAGCACCGGUGUCACACCGUUGCUUCCGAGCAACAAAAUCCUCAAGAACUCCUAGUAAUACUUCUUCCUCAAAUGCUUCCCAUUUACGCCUUCUUCCUUUUGGCUCUUGAGUAGCAUUCAAAAUAUUUUCGUUAUCCAUACCUAAACAAAAAAUAUUUUAAUGAAGGAAAAUACCAUACAAAUAAUCAAUUUGCAUAAUAUCCAAUCAACUUGCAUAAUAUCCAAUUAAUUUGCAUACCAUCCAAUCUUUGUGCUAAUAUCUAACAAAUGCAUGAUAAAAAGGAAUACUAAAAUAAAAUGUUAUCAUUAACACAUAUAGCUAGUUCGGUUGCUGGUUCCUAAUUGCUCUCCAUUCAUUAUACAUUUCCUGAGCCAUGUCAUUCCUCUUUGCAGUCCACUGGUCAGAUGUUUGAACACUACCAACAUAUUCACCUUCUUCUGUAUUUUGUCCAUCUUCUAUUAUUGGAAAAUUCUCCAUUGGAUCUACAGACAUCUCUUGCCUAAUAAGAUUGUGUAGUAGGCAACAAGCGGUAAUUAUUCGACCUUGUGUCCUUAUCGGAUAGAAAGAUGGACUCCUUAGUAUCGACCACCUUCCUUUUAGCAAGCCAAAACAGCGUUCAAUUACAUUCCUUGCCUUAGAAUGCUUCAUGUUAAAAUAUUCUUCCUUAUUAGAAGGUGUUCGUCCCUCCCAUUCAGAUAAAUGAUAAGGUAUUCCUCUAUAGGGUGCAAGGAAUCCUUCACCAUUUGUAUAACCACCAUCUACAAGGUAAUAAUAACCUAAUGAAAAAAAAAACAGACCUUAUUAGUGUUUUGUAGUUGACAAACAGAACUAGACCUAACUUACAAAGUUGAGACUAAGUAAUAGUCUUACCCGCUGGUACCUUAAAACCAUUAGGCCUAGUAAUUGCAUCAUGUAGCACUCUAGAGUCUGAUGCAGAACCCUCCCACCCCGUAAACACAUAUAUGAACUGCAUAUCUCCUGAACACACACCUAACACAUUAGUUGCGACUCGACCCUUUCUUGUUCGGUAUCUUGGUUUGUCAAUUUCAGGUACAUGCACAUCAAUGUGUGUUCCAUCCAAUGCUCCCAAGCAAUUCUUAAAAAAAAAAAAAAAAGUUUUUGUUAAUUUAUACAAAGGGAAUGAAGAGUUAAAGCUUAGGGAAAAUGAAAAAAAAUUCUCAUCAUACCUUAAAACAUCGCCACCUAGGAUCUGUAGAAUCAAUAGGCACAGGCUGAGGGACUUUUAGUAGGAUACCUUGUAAUCGCAAAAUUCCUUGCAAUACGAUAUUGAAAUACCUACUUAUAGUCUCUCCCGACCUAUAAAAUCUACCGCCAACACUACGAUUCUUAGUAUGAUGUGCUAAUAUUUGUAAAGUCAUACACACAUGCUCCUCUACAGACACCAAACCAUCAGUUUUUACCCUCCCAUCUUGACGAAGUAAGUCACAUAAUAUGCCAAAAGUCCUUCUAUCCAUUCUCAAUUCGUUGACACAUUCAGUAUCAGUAUUCCCUAUUAUACCAUUCAGAUAACACAAACUAAUCUCUCGUCUAAUAAGUGAACGGUUAGUCAAUGUGGGUCGUUCAACAUGUCUCUGUUUGCCACGUAGCAUCAUCAACACAAGAAUCGUACAAAUGCAAAUUGUCUCCAAAUAAGACAUCUCUAACAAUAAGAUCAAUAAAAGCUUCCUUCGAUCCAUAUCUAUCCAAACAAAAAAAAACAAAAAACAAAUUAAGGACAUUAUAUAUGUAAUAUUUACUGUUAUUAAGGGUUAUGGAAAUGAAGUGAUUAUGAUACGAAAUGAACUAGAUCAAAGUAACUAGCGAAGUCACAAUCCGAGGCAUCAAAUAUACGGGUGGUGUUGGAAAAAAAAAAGUUAUCAUUAACCCGAGGCAACAAAUAUACAGGUCAGAUGCACACACUGCAUACACACUCACACACAUACUCACACGGACAUACACACUAUCACACACGGACAUACACUCACACACACCCUACAUACAUACAUACAUACACACACACACUGCAUACAUACACACACACACACACUGCAUAUAUACACACACACACACACUGCAUACAUACACACACACACACACACUGCAUACAUACACACACACACACACACACACACACUGCAUACAUACACACACACACACGACAUACAUACACACACACACACACACACUGGUCAGAUGCACUGCACUCACACGGACAUACACACUCUCACACACUGACAUACAUACACACACACCCUGCAUACAUACACACACACACACUACAUACACACACACACACACACACACACACACUGCAUACAUACAUACACACGCACACACACUGCAUACACACACACACACACAUUGCUUUAUGAAAACCCCAAAUUCCAAAUUUGAAACCCCAAAUUCCAAAUUUCUAAUCUCAAUUUCAAACCCCAAAUUCCAAAUUUCUACUACAUACUUACAUACACACACACUGCUUUAUGAAAACCCCAAAUUCCAAAUUUCAAACCCCAAAUUCCAAAUUUCUAAUCUCAAUUUCAAACCCCAAAUUCCAAGCUUUAUGAAAACCCCAAUUUCUAAUCUCAAUUUCACCCAAAUAUCAAAACCCUAAAAUUUGUUCAACUGCAGAAUCAAAUAAAGCUCAAACCCAAAACAAAUCCGCCCAAAUCGACGAAAAAAAUCCACCCAAAUCGACGAAAAAAAUCGAACAAUCGAAGCUUACCAGACAACUGGAGGCAGAUGAGGGCGAGCAGAUCUGUUACGUGAAGACGAGGGAGUGGACGACGAGAGGAACAGAUGAGGAGCAUGAUGCAGAUGAGGGCGACCAGGAUGCAGCUGACGGCAAGCAGGAUGCAAAGAUAAGGAUGAGGAGGACGACGUGAGGGAGGAGGACGUCGACGACACUCUCUCCUAGGAUGAUCGAGGUUCUUUCUCGCAAGAGCGCAAUCGGAUGAGGAGGACGACGUGAGGGAGGAGGUUUUAUGAAUCUGGACGUUUUUGGGGUGGUUCGCUAAGAACUCCUAGCGAGGGUUUAAUCCGUGCGAGUCAGAUCUAAUCCCAUUAAACCUAAUCCUUGCCCCUACCAAACAUCAGACUACAAUACCAAUUAGUGGAGUCCAGAACAGUCCCCCCUAAGAAGGUCAAACAAACACGCCCUUAAGGCUCUAAUCUAAUGUUCAUGCUCAACAUCUCCUCUAUCUUUCUACGAUUGGUAAAACUUUUGUAUUAUUAUUCCAAUUUUGGUUACUGGGUUGUGGAAUUUUCCAUUUUUUUUCUCGGUAAUCAAUACUAUAUAUAUGCAUGACAAGUAUAAACAAUAUUUUGGGGCAAAUUUAGUUGUUUAAUUUUUAAUUUUUAUGUGACAGUGAGAUUAUGGUAGGAUUUCGUUUAGAUUCUGCGGCCCAAUGGGAGUCUCUGCUUUGAUAAGAUUGGGGUUGAUGCCAAGAAAGCCAAUAAGCCUACUGUGGACGCCGUAGCCGCCUGGCGCUGUUUUCCAAAAUCCUCUCUCACUUGGUUAAGCAAUUAAGACUUUUUGGUUCAGUUUUUAUUAUGCCCAAUUUUGUAUUUAAACCUUAAAAAAAUUUAAACUGAUUUGGGGAUACUGAAAUAGGCUGCAGAGCUGCCAUCCCUGAAUCAGAAGAUGUUCAGAAGGAAGAAGAAGAAGAAGAAGAAGAAAGUCGUGGAAUAUCAAAAGCUUUUAGCUUUGUGAAAGUAUGCUUUUUCCCAACUCACCUCUUGCUUUUGUUGCACUGAAUUGGUAGAUUGGGUUCAAAAAUAUAUAUAUGUGAUUUUUCGUGUAACUAUUUCUUUACAUAAUUACCAAUUGGAGGUGAUUUUAGAUCAUGUAACAUUUCCUCGCUAGAACCAAAGAUUGUCGUCGCUCAGAGCUGCGUUUCAUGAAACAAGUUCAUCUCCUGCCAAAUUUGUGUACCCACCUUUUAUUCAUGAGGGUUGGUGCUUGCUUGCAACACAAUUUGGUGUUAUUAAGUUUUGCGGUUUUACAAUUUGUUCAUGCUUAAACCUCUUUCAAAUUUUCAUUUCUGUGUAAAUCUUGCAGGUAGGACGACACACCUAUCUUGGCAAUGUCGGGAUGUCUAGGCUUGGUGGAGACGUGGUCUUAUGGAAGAGGUGAAGUAGCUUAGCUCGAUCUCAUUAGCUCUUAUCUGUUCUAUUAUGUUAAGAUCAAUAGUAAAAAGUUCUAUUGAUUUUAUAAUCAAAGAUACAUAUAUUAUAGAAAUAGAGGGUAUAUCAUUAAUUUCUUGAUGUAAACAAUCAUAACUUGAGGAACCAUUUAAAGUAUUUUGGUAAUCAACAUACUUAAACUUAAAUGUGAUAUAUCCAUUUAGUAUUUUUUUUAUACAAUGAUAAUACUUAAGUAUAAUUUACAUCAUAUAUCUUUUGAAGUACAUGAAACUAUGAAGAAAAUGAUAAACCAAAUCCCAUUCCAUCUCUGUUUGCUACUGCACAAUCACAAUCCAAUUCCAACAUGGAAUCCUCAGACGACAUGCCUACUGCAGAACAAGUUUCAUACUGACUUAACUUAUAUUUAGUCCACGUCCUGUUUAGAUUGUAAUCCUAGUUCUACGUGUGUUUGUAUAGUACUCCUAUAAAUAUCAAUGAACAUCGCUCACUCUAAUUAAGAGUUGAGAUUUUGCAAAUCAUAUUUACUAUCUUUCAUGGUAUCACGAGCCAGCGUCUAACGACAACGGUUCCUAUUAUAAUUUUUUUCUCUUUUGCAGAUCCUAAACUAUGGCAUCUUCUUCCUCCUCCGCUGCUCCCUCCAUCACAAAUUUUCUUACGAUCAAGCUCGACCGCAACAACUACCCUCUCUGGCAUGCUCAGUUUCUUCCCUUGCUGCGCAGCCGCAACUUACUCUCUUAUGUUACUGGCGAAACUCAAUGCCCCUCUGCCUUUCUUCUUGAUGACAAUGGUAAAUUCACCGACAAAGUCAUUCCAUUAUAUAAUGAAUGGAUCCAGACUGACCAGAUGAUCCUAUCUUGGAUUACGAGUUCUCUUACUCCCAAGGUUCUUGCUACGAUCGUCAACAAAAUUGAUUCGGCCUCUGCUUGGUCGUCAAACCCGAAUUAAUCUAAUUGUGGGGGUUUUGUUUUAUAUCAAUAUAUUGCAACAGAAGUCACACUUUGAAGAGUUCAUGCUGCACAGAAAGAUGAUGAAAUGUUACCCGUUGAGUCUAUCAUUGCUCCAUUGGAGACAGAGCUGAAGCUUACUGCAGGAGUUAUACAGUUGUUAUGCAAUAUGACCCCUUUAAUUUUAUUUUAAAACUGAUACAAAAUACUACAAAAAUUUAUGUAGUAUUUUUGUAUUAGUUUUGAGUGUCUAUUUUGGCUUCCAUAUAUCGUCUGUACAUGUGAGAGGUAUAGUGUUCAAUAUGUAUUUGGUUUCUAUAUUGUUAAUGGAUCCUUUUUUUUUUAAUUUAAUUUAAUUUUAUUAAGGUAACCAAGUUGCAGGAUGACAUCAGAACACUUGAUCUGCAGGUAAACCUUCAAUUUCCAUAUGAAGUUUGCAUGUUCGUUGUUUCUGGAAUUUGAGUUUUUAUUAUUUCUCAAUUCUAUCACAUAGAUUAUGAUUUCACAUAUGGGAUUAUUAAUGGCAAUUAUAUGAUAGAAGAAUUGGGAUUAGAAGAAGAUAUUGAGUUGUUUUAUUUAUGGGGAUUAGAAAAUGAUUAUCAUACGAGUGAUAUUUAUUUUUGUGUGGAUUGUUAAUAUAUAAAACUAUAAGCUUUUGAGAUUGGGAGAUAAAACCCACAAAUUCAAAUCAGACAAAAUAAAUAAAAAAUUUAACUGACUUAAAGAUCAAACUCCAAAAGGGUAUUAAAAACAAGGCUUAUUUGAUCCAUUGAGUGUGAAAGUUUUGAGCUUUGAAGAAGCAUAGGAGGAGAGUUGUUAACCAAGCUGCAUUAUCCAUGUAUUAGGAUGUUGAGGGUAGGCAGGAAAAAUACUUUUUGACGCCAUAUCCAGAGGAGCAUAACGACAGGCCUGCAUUUUUGCAGCAAGGACCAAAACAAGUAGAAGUGAAGGCUUGACUAUUUGGGUAUUAAUCCUAAACCUAAUUAUUCUUAUUUAGGUUUAGGAUAAAUGAUUGAGUGUGUCUCGAUGAUUGUAUUACCAUGUUUGAUGAAUGACUUGAGGAGUUGGAAAUGCUUUAUUGCUUAUGUUUUUCUUAGGUGUGUACUUUGGUUAUUUCCGAGCUUUUCACGACUCUUGAUACCUAAUAGAGAAUAUGGAAACCCCAACUUUAAUUUUAUGAAUUGGUUUUGGUGCCUAAAAUGAAAUCUAGCAUAGUGAAAUCUUGCAUAAUGAAAUUAUGACAAAUUUCCCUUCAUCUUUAGAUUUUCAUUUAGUUCAAUUUGUAUGCAAUUUAGGGUUAUUCAAUUCAUGAGUGAUCAAAUUAUGUUUUUAAUUCCUUCUUCUUUUGAUUUACAGUUCAGCAUUGUCGUACAAAAUGAAAAAGGUGCCAGUAACAGAGUUAUGGAUUUGGAUGCCUUUAGUGGAAUAAAACUGAAUUUUUUAACUUUGUAUAGUUGUAAACAUAAAAUACUCCAUCAGAUAGACUCAUAGCAUUUGAAAACAAUCCUUGAGGAUGGCAUAACAACAUCUCCAACUUUUGUCAUGUAAUGUAUGAAUGUAAAUAGCACUUUGUAAACAUAUGGAUGUAAUAUAUGUAUAUAAACAGUCUUUAGCAUGUAUAUUUUUCAAAACUUUCUACAUCUUCAACAAUGUUUCAAUGAUUUCUUGAUGUAAACAAUGAUAAUUUGAAGAACCAUUUAAAGUAUUUCGGUAAUCAGCAUACUUAAGCUUAAAUGUGAUAUAUCCGUUUAGUAUUUUUUAUACAGUGAUAAUACUCAAGUAUAAUUUACAUCAUAUAUCUUGUGAAGUACAUGAAACUAUGAAGAAAAAACCCUAAUUAAUCUGAUUAUGGGGGUUUUGUUUUAUAUCAAAAUAUUGCAGCAGAAGUCACACUUUGAAGAGUUCACGCUGCACAGAAAGACGAUGAAAUGCUAUCUGUUGAGUCCAUCAUUGCUCCAUUGGAGACAAAGCUGAAGCACACUCCAGGUGGUAUACUUUUGUUCUGCAAUAUGACCACUUUAAUUUUAUUUUAAGACAGAUAGGGUUGAAAAGAAUUUAUGUAGUAUUUUUGUAUCAGUUUUGAGUGUCUAUUUGGACUUCCAUAUUUGGUCCGUACAUGUGAGGUAUAGAGUGUUCAAUAUGUAUUUGGUUUCUAUAUUGUUAAUGGAUCUUUUUUUUUGUUUUAUAGGUAACCAAGUUGCAAGAUGAAAACAGAACACUUGAUCAGCAGGUAAACCUUCAAUUUCCGUAUGAAGUUUGCAUUUUUGUUGUUUCUGGAAUUUGAGUUUUUUGCAGGAUGAAAACAGAACACUUAAUCUGCAGGUAAACACUUGAUUGGUUAUUUCCAAGCUUUUCACGACUUUCGAUACCCAAUAGAGAAUAUGGAAACCCCAACUUUAAUUUUAUGAAUUUGUUUUGGUGCCUAAAAUGAAAUCUAGCAUAGUGAAAUCUUGCAUAAUGAAAUUAUGACAAAUUUCCCUUCAUCUUUACAUUUUCAUUUAGUUCAAAUCGUAUGGUUUAGGGUUAUUCAAUUCAUGAGUGAUCAAAUUAGGUUUUUAAUUCCUUCUUCUUUUGAUUUUCAGUUCAGCAUUGUCGUAUUUUGGAUGCCUUUAGUGGAAUAAAACUGAUUUUUUUUUAACUUUGUAUAGUUGUAAACAUAAAAUACUCCAUGAGAUAGACUCAUAACUUUUGAAAACAAUCUUUGAGGAUGGCAUAACAACAUCUCCAACUUUUGUCAUGUAAUGUAUGAAUGUAAAUAGCACUUUGUAAACAUAUGUAUGUAAUAUAUGUAUAUAAACACCACUCUUUAGCAUAUAUAUUUUUCAAAACUUUCUACAUCUUCAACAAUGUUUCAAGCCCCGCAGCAACGGGCGGGUACACUUGAUAGUAUACAUCUAAAAUUAUAAGACUAAAUCCUUUAGUUCUUGGAUUCAUCUAAGAACUACUUAUUCCAGCAGAUGCUAUGCUUGCACUACUAGAAUUUAUGGCUUGCCCUGUCAACUAUUGCGCGACAGAAGAUUUCGUCGGUUUCACUUUUUUUAACCGACAUAAUAUAAGUUUAGUAGGGCAAAAUCAGUCAACAAACUGGGUUGACUGAAUAAAUUUACAGGAUGGCUAGAGUUCGUAGGUUAAGACAUCAGUCGUUGGGCAAACAUUUGGAGCGAAGAUGUGAGUGUUUUAACUGACGAAUAAGCUGGUCGUCAUGUAGAUCUUCUUUCCCGACUGACGGUUCAACAUGUAGCUCUUUGGAUAAUAAUUCAUCUUCAAGGGGAACAGGUUGCCCCUCAGAUGAAUGGUUAGAGGCAAUUGUGAGACUAUAAUUUUCUAGGGCCGAAAUAAAAAAUACAUAAACCCUCACUCAUUCUGUCUCUGUAACCAUCCACCAAAUACCCUUUCUUCCCUUUCUAUUUCUCUCCUAGUAAUAUCCCCUGACCGAAUCACACAAUCCAACCAACUCUCUUUAAGCCUCCCUCACUGAUUCCAUGGAUUUCAUGGACUUAUCCCACCCUCUCUCCUUCCCUCUAUAUAUAGCAAGUCCCCUUGCCUCAGUGUCCCUGGCAACAGAAUUUAUGGCAUUUCUUCGUUCUUUCAAUUAUUUGAAAGCUUCCUAGCCCUGCAAUCUUGUACAAAGGCGUAUGGUGUUUCAUCAGUUCCAUUUGGUGGUUGGGUGGGAAAUGAAAUUAAAACACUGCAUUUCAAAUGCAUUUCAAAUGGUCUAAACCAAAUUGAAUCAAAUGUGAAGCAAAGGGCAAGAGGUGUAGAUUGAAGAACAAUGGCACCAAGAGCGAAAUUGAACUUGUUGACAGGAGGAAACCAAGUAAGGAUAACACGUCUAAAUCUUAUUUUGAAUCCAUUCAGCUCAUGAUGUUUUGAAUGAUGAUGAUCGGUAUACUCUGCUACAUGCUGUGAUUUUUCCGCUUUCAUGUAAUUAACGGCUUAUAUGUGGUAACGAUAUUGAUUAAAAAAGGUCGUACCCAGUGCAUAAGGCUCCCGCUUUACGCAGGGUCUGGGAGAGGUGAAUGUCGGCUAGCCUUACCCCCAUUUUAUGGAGAGGAUGCUCCAAAGUCUCAAACCCGAGACCUACCGCUCAUGGGCGAAGGCAUUUGCCAUCGCACCAAAUGCGAUAUUAAUUAAUUUCGAGAAAUGACAGUCUGAUUUUUGCAACUGUCUUUUGCAGGCAAAACAAAGACGUUUGCAAGGGUGAGUUGUGUAGGAGCUUUGUUUCAUGUCCAAAUGACACUUGAGAAUAAAUGUUUACACUCAUGGAUAAUAUCUAUCUAUUUGCAGGAGCAACCCUGGGUUCAUUUGUUCUGUAACUGCUGGUCAUUGCGGCAUAUCACGCCUAUAGCACUGACAAAAGUAAAAAGAGAAUCGAAUGAAAUUUGAUAAGUUUUCAGCGGACUACAAAGAUCUUAAGCCAAGCAUAUAUUCCCAUGCAGAUAUUAAGAGGUUUACAAAUCAAUUCAAGUACAAGUUGGGCCAAGGAGCAUACGGAACUGUUUUUAAACGAAAGUUUUUUUCUGAAUGCUUUGUUGCCAUGAAAGUACUUAACAUUUCCAAGGGUGACGGGGAAGAGCUUGUAAAUGAAGUGGGAACAAUGGGCCAUAUUCACCAUGUCAAUGUGGUUCACUUGGUUGGUUUUUGUGCUGAUGGAUUUAGAUGAGCUCUGGUUUAUGAGUUCUUUCCCUUUGGUUCACUCCAGGAUUAUAUUUCAUCAGCAGAUAGAUUUCUUUCCUUGGUUGGCAUAAGUUGCAAGAUCUUGCUAUCAGCAUAGCCAAAGGAACUAGGAAUGUGAUCUACAAAUCCUCCAUUUCGAUAUCAAACCCCAUAAUGUUUUGCUCGACCAAAAAAUCACGCCAAAAAUCUCUGAUUUUGGUCUGGCCAAGUUAUGCCAAACAAUUACAGACAACAGUUAUUCACUAAAUCACUUUAAGGCAAGAAUUUAAUUAAUAAUACAUUACUGCACUUUCUUAACCAUUUGACUAUCACCUAGCUGACAAUGAACACGUUAGCUCCGCGUUAGAACAUCUUGGGUUCAAUUCAUUGUCUUGAAUAUCACCCAUUGUCACAGGCGUCUGUUGGGGGCAUAGAGAAGGCCUGAGAGGCAUUUGCAGACAUUCAACAUCUCCUCCAAGCAUUUUGACAACUUUGGACAUCGAAGGGCGAUCAUUUGGUUUCAUUUGAAUACACCACAAGGCGGUUAUAACCAUCUUUCUUAUUACUUUCUUUUCCUCCUCUGUAACAUUGUCCAUUUCCAGGUCAUUUCCCACAAUAUAUUGAUCGUAUACCCACAUUGGGAAGUAGAUUUGGCUUGAAUGCUCUACCGUUGGAUUCAAAUUCUUCCUUCUGCUUGCCAUUUCCAUCAACAACAUUCCAAAACUAUAGACAUCUGACUUGUAUGAGACGCAUCCAAUAUUUUUGUAGAACAACUCAGGAGCAAUAUAUCCCAGUGUACCCCGUGCUGCCGUCAAAGAGACAAUGCUAUUAUCUACAGGAUACAAUUUUGCAAGCCCAAAGUCAGAAACCUUUGCUUUAAAGUUCUCAUCAAGAAGGAUGUUAUGAGGCUUGAUGUCGAAAUGUAGAAUUUGCAUUUCACAACCUUGGUGUAGAUAUUCGAUCCCUUGAGCCACUCCAAGAGAAAUCUCGUACAUGUUCUUGAUAGUUAAGGGGACACUUCCUUCUUUGGAAUAAAUGUAUUUAUCAAGAGAACCAUUAGGCAUGAAGUCAUAUACUAGAGCGCGUUUUGAUCCCUCAACACAGUAUCCAACAAGUUGUACCACAUUGGCAUGGUGAAUCCUUCCGAUUGUAGCUAUUUCGCUAAUGAAAUCUUGGCCAUCAGCUUUGGGCUUGCCCAAAACUUUAACUGCUACAAAUCGACCACUGCGUAGCUUUCCCUUAAAUACAGAGCCAAAGCCACCUUCGCCCAACUUGUCCUUAAACCUGCGAGUCAUUUUCUUGACGUCCGAGUAAGAGUACCUUAUAAGCAUGAUGUUGUUAUUGCAUUGCAGAAAAUCUUCUAUUGUGCUAUACAUUGAUAAAUGUCUUCUGCGCCAUGUGUAGAUUAGAAAUGCAGUCACAACUGGAACUCCAAAAACAAAUCUGGCUAGGAAAAAUAACCCUGCAUGCAUGGACAAUAAUAUGUUAGAUCCACUGUGUACUACUUUUUCUUCCCUUUCUUUCCAAAUUACUUUAUCUUUGAUGUAAUUAAAGAGAGAGAAUGGGAAAUCUACAUAUGUUGAUAAUAUAAUCUCGUCUUAGUCCUUACCGAUCCAUAUGAGUAUAAACCAUCCAAGUGCUGCAAAAAAAUCAAUCGACUAUGAGUUUGAAAAGUGCAUAAAGUGAAAAAAAAAAAAAAAAAAAAAAAAAUCAAAGGGUGCCUUUAUUGACACCCAAAUUUUAGUUAGUUUUACUCAACUAAAAAAUUUUUGUCAUCAAACUUUUUAAUUUGCCGUCGAAAUUGAGUUCACCCAACCACAAAGCAGCAACUACCACUCACAAAAAAACCAACAACACACAGCCACCAGUACCAUUCACCAAUAGAAAGAGAAGGAACACACAGACCCACCAAGGAGCCGGCAUCGACGCAUCUACGAGGGAGGGACCGGAGGGUGGUGUAGUUUUGUUGGGCGCGCGGUGGUUGUUUUGUUUGUUCAUUUUCUCUUUCUUUUGGUAGGUGGAGGCUGGUGUGGAUUUGGGCGAACUUAAAAAUGAGGGGAAACUAUGAAGUUUGACAAAAUGUUUUAGUUAGGGGAACUUAACUAAAAUUUGGGUGCCGAUAAAGAUACCCAAUUUCAAAAAUACUUGAGCUUAUAGACUAAUUAAAUGAAGUUGAUCUUACAGAUCUCGUGGCUGUAUGAUGAAUGCCACUUGCCAGCUGCAAUAGAUACCACGGAAAAGUGAAUAAAGACAUACAGUUACUAGGUUUAAGAAGUACAGAUAGAGCACACAAAAAAUAAAAGAAGCUUUUGGGAAGAAACUUCUUACGCCAAUAGUUGUGUUCUUGACCUACAGUAAAAAAUGUGAAGAAGAAUACACAACAUUAGCAAUAGCUCACCCAGUCUUCGGAAUUUAAAAAAUCAAGUUUGUCUCGAUCGAAAACUUGUAAAUAAAACAAAAAGAGGACCCCUUACGGAUUUGGUGCCAUAGAUAUUGAAAGAAACCUACAAAAACAAAGAAAGAACAAGACCACAUGCAUUAGCAUAACAAGUGUGAGGUGUAUAAGCCGUUAGAAAAUAAAUUUAAAAUUCUAGUGCUGUCAAUACAUUGAUAAUAUAUAUAUAUAUAUAUAUAUAUAUAUAUAUAUAUAUAUGUAUUAUUUUUCUGAAAAUUUAACUUUCUCCCUCCAAACUCAUUUUUCUAGUCUCUAGCCCAUCAUAUAAUAUUUAUCAGAAUAAAACCAAAUGAUUAGGAUCCAACUAAGAAACUUACCAAAUUAAGUUUGUGUGUCCAUUUUUAUAUUUUUUGGAUCCCUAAUAUACCCCAUCUAAGCCAGUAUGGAAAGUUCUUGUAAUUUUGCUUUAAGUGAUCACGUGCAUUGAAUUUGGCAAGGUCUUGUAGCCAUGAAAUAUGGUUCCAGAUGGAGGAAUGAAUUUGGAUUUUUUUUUAAUUUCGGCAACAAAUUUCAAUUUGAAUAUACCUAAUUUAGUGUUUAUUUUCAACAAUAUCUAUUGUUUAAUUUUAUGAAAAUAAUUAACCUAAUAUGAAAAUUAAUUUUAUGAAAACAAUAUCUAUUGUUUAAUUUUAUACCUACAGGAUAAUUACAUGAAAAUAGUUUACCUACUAUGAAAAUUAAUUUUUUGAAAGCAAUAUCUAUUGUUUAAUUUUAUGAAGAUAAUUUACCUACUAUAAUUACAUGAAAAAAUUUACCUACUAUGAAAAUUAAUUUUUUGAAAACAAUAUUAUUGUUUAAUUUUAUGAAAAUAAUUUACCUACUGUAUAAUUACAUAAAAAUUAGGGAAAAUUAGAAUCCCCUACAGUUUUUAUAUAUCAUUUAGAUUAAACAUUUGUACUUUUUUAAAAUUUGAUUAAAGUGCUUUGACCAAUAGUUACCUCUAUUUUUUUAAAUUAAAAUAAUUUUUGAAUUUAUCCUUUUAUCUGCACAAUGCACUUUUCCUUAUUUAGUGGAGAUAUUAGUAAUGAAACUAUAUUUUCCCUUCUUCCAAAUAUGUUUUUUCGAUCACAGUUUUUUUUUUUUUGGGUAUGCAAACAUUUGAUAUUAUUUUUUUUCCAAAUGGUUUUUUCUUUUUCAAAUAGUUGGUGAUCAACAUAUAAGCUCUGUGUAUUUUUUUCAAUGUUUUUGUGAAAUUAUAUUUUUUUUGCUGUUUUUUAAGUAUAGUUGUUGACGAAUUAUUAUUAGGUACAAUACAUUACGUAUAUAUUAUCUGCGGGUACGUUUGAAUUUACUAAAAUCAUUAAUUGGUACGUUUGAUUUGAUACAUAUUGUUAAUAUUGGUACAUUAUUUUUAUUUUGGUACGUUUUAUUUUGAACACAUUUUGUAUUGGUACGUUUAUAGUAUUCUCAAUCCUAUUUUCUCUUAACGUACUAAAAGAAAAACUCAUUUUGGUACGUUUGAUUUUGGGGGAUUUAAAAAUAUUUUAAACUAUUUUGGAAAAAAAAAAAUCUUAAAUCGUAGAUAAUUAUUGCUAAAUUGUAGCAUUAUUGUGAAAAUAAAUUGAAUCUAACCAACUUUUUUUUUUACAAUUAUCUCUAAUGGAGGAGAGUGUAAUCAAAAGGCUAGAUUAUAGGAAAUUUGUUACAAUAUAAUGGGCAUAUAGCACCAAAAUUAUGAUAAAAAAAAGUUUAAUCAAAUCAUUAAAAGGCAUGGAUGUUUGAUCUAGAAAAUUCAAAACUGAGGCGUCUAUAUCAAAAGAUCCCUAAAAAUUAAUGUGCCUACUUUUUAAAUUUGUAACAAAAUUAAUUUACCUACUUUUUAUGGUAUUAGUAUACAUAAAUGUAGAAUAUAUGUCCGUAUAUAUUUGAUCUAAUUAGGUUUUGGAUUGGAGGAGUUGACACAAAAUUAUAAAUAUAUUAAACAAAUUUAUCUAUUCUAAAGUUGGAGGGGAAUUGGUCUGUACAUUGCUACAGUAAACAAAUGCUACUCAAUUUCACGUUAUUUACAACAAAGCUAUCAGAUUUGGGUUGGGUUGGAGGGUAAUUUGUUAAAAGUUAGGAGGGUAAUUUUGUGCAUAGGGUUUAGGUGCCCUCCUAUACAUGACCCUUGAGUUUACUUUAUUUACACCACUGCCAUCAAAUAUGUGGCUGAAUUGGAGGGUAUUAUUAAAAGUUAAGAGGGUAGUUUUGUUCAAGGGGUGGGGGCGACAUUCGCAGACGGAGGCCGAUGGGAGCCAUGCCCAUUGCACAGAGAGAAAGGGAGUGAUGGGGGAAAUUACAGACAGAAAAGGAAGGGAUGGGAGGAUUUGAUGGAUGGUCACAGAGAGAGAUUCGGUGAGGGAUGUGAGGGGAGAUUACAGAGAGAUAAAUAAAAGGGAGGGAUCGGGGGAUUUGAGGGAUGGUCAGAGAGAGAAAUAGUGAGGGAGGGAGGGAUGGGGGGGCUGAUUUUCGGUUCCUCCUUCAGAUUUGUUCCGUAAAACCUGUUGGGUACAAUUCAAUUUCCUCCCCCUUUCCCCUGAACGAAAAAUUCGAAACCUACAAUUCAAUUUCCUCCCUCCUUGGCUUUCCGCUUUACUCAUCUCCCGGUGGUUCUUUCUCUCCAUACGAUUCGAUUUCGGUGAGUUCUUCGUUGCCCUCAUGAUUUCCCAGUUUGAUUUUUUGAGCGUCCUUAGUCGUUGUUUUUAUCUGGGUUUACUGCAUUGUUGCUUUUAGUUUCUGGAUUUUUAUUUGUUCCGCGGUUCGAUGAAUCGGUUAAUAAUUUCACACCAUGGGAUUUUCGCAUGGAAUUGAGCGCGGGGAUUCGGGGUGGGGUUUUACUGAUAAUUUGUCUUCAUUCAAAUGAAUGGUUAAAAUUUCUGAAGUGAGUGUGCAGGUGGGCCCGUUCACUAACUAAGCUUUCAAGGGAACCCAUCAGCGGUUUGCUUGCUGGGGGAAUUCGGAGACUACCAGUGUAUGAUUUAGUUAUCAUUUAUUUUUUUACUUAAAUUUAUCCAUAUAUAAUAUGUGGGUAAAUUUACACUAAACAAUUGUGAUAAGCCAAUAUGCCAUACGACUUUGAAAGCAUUGAUUUUGUGUUUAGUUUGCAUUUUUGCAUUGUGAAUGUUGAAUUUUGUGUUUGAAUUUGUAGCAUGAUCUUCCGCUGCAGCAUCCAAAUUUUGCAUUUGUAAAUUGUCAAAGAAAAACGAAGUAUGAGGAAAUUAUAGGAGAUUGUGUCGGCUUUGGCCAUGAAGGGUAUCAGCAGCUUGUUCCCCCAUACAGGUGAUUAAUCGUUUUUCAGUCUGUGUUCUAUUUGGAUGAGAAAGUGAUUGAAAAUAUGAUUUUUUUAUUUGUUGGUUGAUUUUGUAUGGACGAUGUAUUAAUUUUAUUUUUUUUGGGAUUUUGUGUAUUGGGCAUUGUGUAGAACCAGCAAUGCAAGAGCAGGAUCUGAUCAGUCAUGCCUGAAAAGGGGUUUGUUUCUCAAAUCACAUUAAUUAAUUAGAUUAUUAACGUGCGUUGGAAGGCUCUUCAAUAUGAUUUCUAAUUUCUCCUUUCCAGCAUUCUCUUUUUGGUUUUUGGAGUAUGUAUGUGAUUUGUAUUUUUUUAUAGAAUAAAAAUUAAUAAAACACGAGAUGCAGCAAUUAAUUUGCAUCCUUAUGACAACACAUAUGAAAGUGCAUUCAAUUUCAAUGUGCGAAUGUGUGACAGGAUGUGCCUGCCCGCUGCUGCUGGUAUGCUUGCUGUUGUUUCUCGCGUUGUUAAUUUUUUGUGUGUGUUGAUUUGAUUAACAACUCAAGCGUAUCUUUUUUUUUUGUGUUGGUUAGCAGCCAGUUUUAUGGCCCCGAUCUAGUGAUGCUUCUCAGUGACUGUGGUAAUUGCAGUUCAUUGCCACCAGUUGGUCAGCUACCUGCUCUGAAAGAGCUAUACGUAGAAGGGAUGAAAGUUGUUAAGAGUGUUGGUGUUGAGUUGUACGGGGGAAAUCAACCAUUUCAAUGUUUAGAGAAGCUAAAGUUUCGGGAGCUAUAGCAGCCUAGUCCAAGUGGAUGUGAAAGUCCAGACUUUCCUCAUCUUAAGGAGCUGGGGUUAUACGAAUGUCCGAAGCUGAGAGGAAACUUGCCCACUCAUCUUCCCUCCUUGAAAACACUUCAUGUGAACAAGUGUGAGGUUCUACAUAAAAACAGGGCCAGUAAUACCCUGAACGUGGAAUCCUUACGAGGAUCUCUUGAAAAACUGACAAUAAAUGGAUGCCCGGGUCUCUCAUUGUUACUAGAGUCGACGGAGACGCUGCCGUCGCUUCAGAAGCUUGAUAUUGAUAAUGUGGUGGGAAAGAGUUGUUGGCGCAAAUGGUGCACAACAGCAAUCGUCUUCAAAGUUUGACUUUAUAUAAAUGUUCCUCACCCUUGUCGUUCCUUACAAAUGGUCUGCCCACCACGCUGACAUCACUGAGCAUAACAGAUUGCAAGAAAUUAGAAUUCCCAUCACGUGAGAUGAUGGCCAAAUUGACUUCCCUUCAGUCUUUGCGUCUAUCCAACAGCUGUGAACGCAAAGGCUUGAGUAUUUGCAGUUUAGUUUUUUUUUUCUUCAUUUUAGAGAUUUUUCUACUGUUUGGUUUUUGGGUUUUGUCUAAUUUUUGUGGUCUGCUUUAUAGAUUGUUCUCUUUGGAAGCUUCUUUCCAGCCUUGACCUUCUUCUUGCCUGGUGCCUUCUCAUUGAGUAUUGGAGGAGCAUUAAAACACAGGUGUGUGUGUUUUGUCGACAUAAGAGAUGAAUGACAUAAAAACAUCCGUCUCUGUAUUUUUUUGUGCUUUUUCUAACCCAUCAAUUUCUUUUGAGUCAACCAAAUAGUCCCAAAUUGCAACUUAUGUUGUGAGGUAUUAUUGUCUAAAAUUAAGUAUGCAUGUAUAUUUUAUGUUUGUGCCCGCGCACACAUCCGCAUGGUGUUAAUCUCUGUGGGUCAUCUAUGUAUAUGUAGAUAUAUCUAUAUGUGUGUGUGGAAUGCAACAUAUCGGAUUUAGGUUAUACUGUGCAUAGUUUUAUUGCCUGUUAUUAUCUACGAUAUCACUAUGCCAUUUCUAUGCAGGCUCUGAAAGUUAUUCAUGAGCUUUAUAAGCACUUACCAUAAUUUAAGCAGUCUGUUUUGGGUUCUUUUUCAUUAGGUCAUUAGCUACAGAUUAAUGGAGAAACGAGGACCAUGCCACUGAUUUGGGUUCUUUUUCUAAUUUUCUGAUUUUGGGGUUUUGCAGGGAGAACUCCGCCUAUGUACUUACAUUGCCGAUCCCAAGCUCGGAUAAAGGAGGAGGGGGAGGGCGUCAGGUAGUCGACAGUCGGCACUCCAUGAUCACGUCGAAUCCUUAUGAAAAUGAAUUCAGAAUAAAAUUGCGCUAAAGCUAGGGCGUCACCCGUAAGUGGCGCGCUGUGUGGCCCGAGCACAGUGAUAAGUGAGCAAGGGUCGCUGUAUCUCCAUCGGCACCCGGAUGCAGUGUUAAAUGAGCAAGGGGGGCAUAGGAACUUCUUUUCGAACGACUCCACUCAAAGUUGUUUGGGAGCAUAUGCUCCUAUCAACUUUACACGGGACACACAAAAGAAGUACUUUGAUCCUAUUAGACGGGGGAGGGUGAAGAAGCUAGGACAGAAGGGUAGAGUUCAAGAAAGCAAAAUGCGUUUAGGAACGUGGAAUAUAGGAACCUUAACGGGAAAAUCUAUGGAAGUAGUGGAAGUUAUGGUGAGGAGAAGGAUAAAUAUUAUGUGCCUACAAGAAACUAAGUGGGUUGGUAGUAAGGCAAUUGAUCUAGAAAACUCAGGGUUUAAACUUUGGUAUUCGGGCACAAAUAGAACGAGAAACGGUGUUGGCAUCAUCGUGGACAAGACCUUGACACAAGAUGUUGUAGAUGUCAAGAGGGUAGGAGAUAGAAUCAUGGCAAUCAAGAUUGUAAUAGGACAAGAACUUAUCAAUGUGGUUAGUGCGUACGCACCUCAAGUAGGGUUGGAUACGAGUUCGAAGGAGAAAUUUUGGGAAGACCUUGGAGACUUGGUGUAAGGAAUUGCUCAGACGGAGAAGUUAUUUAUAGGAGGAGAUUUAAAUGGACACGUGGGCAGAGAGACAGGCAACUAUGGAGGUUUUCAUGGUGGCCAUGGUUUUGGGGAGAGAAAUGAGGAUGGGGAAGCUAUCUUGGAUUUUGCAAUGGCAUAUGAUCUCUUUUUAGCCAACACCUUCUUUAAGAAGAAAGAAGAACAUGUGAUCACCUACAAGAGUGGGUUGUCAAAAACACAAAUAGAUUUUCUUCUAAUGAGAAACGAGGAUGGGGAAGCUAUCUUGGAUUUUGCAAUGGCAUAUGAUCUCUUCUUAGCCAACACAUUCUUUAAGAAGAGAGAAGAACAUGUGAUCACCUACAAGAGUGGGUCGUCAAAAACACAAAUAGAUUUUCUUCUAAUGAGGAAAGGGGAUCGUAUAACUUGUAAGGAUUGCAAAGUUAUACCAGGAGAGAGCGUGGCUAAUCAACAUCGCUUGUUGGUGAUUGAUGUACAUAUCAAAAGAGUGAGACAAAAGAACAAGACUUGGAAGUGCCCAAGGACUAGAUGGUGGAAUCUAAAAGAAGAAAAACAAGCCAUUUUCAAAGAGAAAGUAAUCAUCCAGUGUGUGGGAUAGAGAUGGGGAAGCUAGCCAAAUGUGGGAUUCAAUGGCUAGUUGUAUCCGAAAAGUAGCAAAAGAGGUAUUAGGAGAGUCAAAAGGCUUUGCCCCACACCAAAAAGAAUCUUAGUGGUGGAAUGAGGAGGUACAAACAAAGGUGAAGGCUAAGAAGGAAUGUUGUAAAGCCUUAUACAAGGAUAGAACUGAUGAAAAUGGUGAAAGGUAUAGAAAAGCGAAGCAAGCUGUGAGAGAAGCUAAGUUAGCGGCUUACGACGAUAUGUAUAAACGACUAGAUACCAAAGAAGGAGAGUUGGAUAUCUAUAAACUAGCUAGAGCAAGGGAAAAGAAGACAAGGGACCUAAACCAAGUGAGGUGCAUCAAGGAUGAGGAUGGAAAUGUUCUUGCUACAGAGAACGCGGUUAAAGACAGAUGGAGAGGUUAUUUUCAUAAUCUUUUCAAUGAAGGACAUGGAAGGAGUGCUUCUUUAGGGGAGUUGAGUAACUCAGAAGAGUGUAGAAACUACUCUUUUUAUCGUCGAAUCCGGAAGGAAGAAGUGAUUGUAGCUUUGAAGAAGAUGAAACAUAGAAAAGCAAUAGGCCCAGACGAUGUACCAAUCGAAGUGUGGAAAGUUUUGGGAGAGACAUGUAUAACAUGGCUCACUGACCUUUUCAAUAGGAUUUUGAAAACGAAGAAGAUGCCAAAUGAGUGGCGAACGAGCACUUUGGUGCCUAUCUACAAGAAUAAGGGCGACGUACAAAAUUGCAUGAACUAUAGGGGUAUUAAGCUAAUGAGUCAUACAAUGAAGCUCUGGGAGAGAGUCAUUGAGCAUAGAUUGAGGCAAGAGACACGGGUUUCGGACAACCAAUUUGGGUUCAUGCCAAGGCGCUUAACCAUGGAGGCAAUCUAUCUCUUACGAAGAUUGGUGGAAAGAUAUAGAGAUGGGAAAAAGGAUUUACACAUGGUUUUUAUAGAUUUGGAGAAAUUCGUAUGAUAGGGUCCCAAUAGACAUUCUUUGGAGGAUUUUAGAGAAGAAAGGAGUACGAGUAGCAUAUAUCCAAGCUAUAAAUGAUAUGUAUGAAUGAGCAAAGACUGCUGUAAGAACUCAUGAAGGACAAACUGAAAGUUUUCCCAUAACUGUAGGAUUACACCAAGGCUCAUCCUUAAGUCCCUACCUUUUUGCGUUGGUAAUGGAUGAGUUAACAAGACAUAUUCAAGAUGAUAUUCCUUGGUGUAUGCUUUUCGCAGACGAUAUAGUGUUGAUAGAUGAAACACAGGAAUGGGUAAAUGCAAAGCUUAACCUUUGGAGAGAAGUGUUGGAAUCUAAAGGUCUUCGCCUAAGCCGAUCAAAGACAAAAUAUAUGGAGUGCAAGUUCAGUGCAAAUGGAGGCCAAAACGAGUUAGGGGUGAGGAUCGGAGAUCAAGAAAUACCAAAGAGCGACCGUUUUCGUUACCUAGGAUCUAUCUUGCAAAAGAACGGAGAAUUAGAUGGAGAUCUCAACCAUAGAAUACAAGCUGGAUGGAUGAAGUGGAAGAGUGCAUCCGGCGUGUUGUGUGACCGCCGUAUGCCACUGAAGCUCAAGGGAAAAUUUUAUAGGACGGCAAUAAGGCCGGCGAUGCUGUAUGGCACAUAAUGUUGGGCGGUGAAGCAUCAACACGUACACAAAAUGGGUGUAGCGGAGAUGAAGAUGCUUCGUUGGAUGUGUGGGCACACGAGAAAGGAUAAGAUUAGGAAUGAGGAUAUCCGGGGUAAAGUAGGAGUAGCCGAAAUUGUAGGAAAGAUGAGAGAAAAUCGGUGACGGUGGUUUGGACAUGUGCCAAGAAGGCCUACUGACGCUCCGAUUAGAAGAUGUGACUACUGGACAGAGGUUCAGGGCCGAAGGGGUAGAGGAAGACCUAGAAAAACUUUGGAAGAGACUCUAAGAAAGACUUAGAGUACCUGGAUCUAACGAAGGACAUGACACAGGACCGAGCAUAAUGGCGUUCUAAGAUUCAUAUAGCCGAUCCCACUCAGUGACUUGGAUUUUCCAAGUCUCCAGCCGAGAAGUUUUCCUCACUCAGGAAAUUAAGGGAACACUACCCCAACCUACAUGCUCCACUCACAAAGCUUCAACAAAAGAAAAUUCAAAGAACUUAGCGAAGAAGGCUUUGAUGUAUUUAACACAAUACGUUGAAAUGAAGGAAAGCUUAUUUAUUGAUAUCAUCGAUAAGCUACAAAUAUGUACAUAUACAUAAGUCAAAAUAAACAAACAAGAGGGAGCCUUCACAAAGGUUGCUUAGGAGAAGUCUCAGCAGUCGGUAGAGCCCCAGAAAGAGAAGGCACCGGAGGGGGAUCAUUCGGAGCCUCAGUACUGGACAGAACCCUAGAAGGAGGAGGCAUAAGAGGUUGAUCAUUUGGUGCUUCAUUACGCGGUACAGCCCCAGAAGACGAAGGCAAUAAAUGCCUUUGGAACAAACCCACAAAUCUCUGAUGAUCAAGUAAAACCUGACCAUCAGAUUCCUUCAUCUGGUCAAGCUUCCUCUUCAUGUUUGUAGCAUAGUCAUGUGCGAGCCGGUGCAACUGUUUAUUCUCAUGCUUGAGCCCUCUAAUCUCCUGUUUGAGACUCAUCACUUCAGCCGCCAAUGAUUCAACUUGGCGGGUUCGAGCAAAUAGGUGUUGGGCCAUAUUAGACACAGAACCUGCACACUGAACACUGAGAGCCAGAGAAUCCUUAACAGCUAACUCAUCAGACCGUUUGGAAAGUAGUCUGUUAUCUUUGGGAGUGAGAAGGUUCCUGGCCACCACCGCAGCGGUCAUAUCAUUCUUCAUCACGGAAUCCCCAACGGUAAGAGGACCAGUAGGGGAGACGAAGGAUGGGCGCCAUAUGUUGUCUGGAGAAGGCGGGGCUUCCUCUUCAACAAGGUUCAAGUCAAAACGACGGUCGGAGGGGCCAGACAUUUUCAAAUGUGUUGAAGAGAGAAGAGGUCGGACAAAUCAAGAUCUUAGAAGUGUAAGAAUGGAGCUUCUACUGGUGGAGAUUCAAGUGUGCUUUGGAACUUAAUGUCAGCCCCUAUAAAAAUCUGCACUCAACGGAGCUUCAGAAAUCGAAGAGGCGCCUGCUCAGAAAUCGAAGAGGCGUUUGCUUUCUCAAAAGCAAGGCUGCUCAGAUACCACGAGGGUCGAUCUCAGAAAUCGAAGAGGCGUUUGCUUUCUCAAAAGCUGGGCAGCGCAAAGACCACGAAGGCCGAUCUCAGAAAUCGAAGAGGCGCUCAAAAGUUGGGCUGCUCAGAGACCACGAGGGCCGAUCUCAGAAAUCGAAGAGGCACCUACUUUUCCAGCCUUGUCAGUACCUGUCACACACACACUCAGCUUUGCGAAAAUUAUGGGGAUUCGGUCGAAGACUUCUGGUGAAGUAGAAAGCACAUGAGUCUUACUGUUCAAUCACCCACUUCCCACACGCAACAGUAGCUCAUGGGUACCACAUAUAACUUUUCCAAAGUUCUCUGCCAAAGUUGAACACGUGAAGUUUGCAGCUCCCACUACAUCGCUCUGAUCAAGAAGGGUAAAAGAAUAGCAAAGAAACAACACUAACAAAGUUUAGACACAUAAAUUUUGAUGGUCGAGCUACCAUAUUAUUACCCACAAGGGUAAAGGAACAGUACCACUGCUGGAUAAUUGGAAAGUCCCUGUGUGUCAACCUCUGUGCUUCGUGGCAAGGUAGACUAUCAAACAUGCCCAACCUUUACUCACAUUCGAGAAAACACUCCCAACAAGAUUGCUUGCUCCAAAAUCGAAGAGGCACCGUCCUUCGAAUCUCGAGAGCCAGACUCCCAACAUGACUACUUUCUCAAAAAUCGAAGAGGGUAAAGGAACAGUACCAUUGCUGGAUAAUUUGAAAGUCCCUGUGUGUCAACCUCUGUGCUUCGUGGCAAGGUAGACUAGCAAACAUGCCCAACCUUUACUCACAUUCGAGAAAACACUCCCAACAAGAUUGCUUGCUCCAAAAUCGAAGAAGCAUCGCCCUCCGAAUCUCGAGAGCCACUCCCAACAUGACUACUUUCUCAAAAAUCGAAGAGACAUCGCUCUCCGAAUCUCGAGAGCCAGACCCCCAGCAUGAUUGCUUUCUCAAAAAUCGAAGAGGCACCGUUCUCCGAAUCUCGAGAGCCAGAUCCCCGAUAGGAUUGCUUGUUCGAAAACCGAAGAGGCAACACUUUCCCAAUUUCAAGAGCCGGAUCUCCUUGGAUAAAGCUAUCUGUAAUCUUCACUCGCAACAUUAGCUUUCCAGCUACCACAGACCACUUUUUCAAAGUGAUCUGACAACGUUAAAACAUGUGAAGCUGGCAGCUUCCACUACCGUGCUAUGACCAAGUAGGGUAAAGGAAUAGCAUUACUACUUGUUGUUAAGGAGACUCCUAUAUAUGUCGACCUCCAUCCCCAACGGAUAGGCAGACCUGCAAAAAUGCUCAACUCUUCCUCAUAUCUGAGAGGGCACUCCCAACGAAGCCUUUCGAAAUAUUCAGCUUUCUUUCCCCCCGAUAAUACCUCUGCAAACAAGCUAUACUAGAGCAAGAAUAUCUCAUAUCAUCAGGGUUAAAAGCAAGAGUAUCCCAUAUCAUGCUUUUUCCUUGUCUUUUUCUUUGGCCUUGUUCUUACCUGCAAGACAAGAAGAAAGAGAGCAAUCAGUCAGUACUUGGAAUCAAGCUUCCAGCCAGGAACUGACUGCCUGGAACCCCUUACCUGAUUACUUACCUGACAUUGUUCUCGAGUACUCAUCUUCAACAUCUUAUGCUUCCAGGGAAGAUACCGCAUCUGCCUGAGGAACAGAUAGGGCAAGGGAGAAGGAUAUAAGGAAGCAUGUGGAGACAAGCGUAACAGCACACGUGCCGAUACAUCCAUUACUCUGUCAAAGCAAAAGUAUCCCAUAUCAGUAGGGUCGAACGUACUCUAGAUUUGAUGGACUUGUUUUGACCCUCAAAUUCUUCAGUCGGCCUUAUACUCUGGAGGAAACCAGAAAUUUCUCCAGCUCAGUGCAAGAAUAAGCUUGUGGAAAGUUACUUCUUCAAAAGCAAAAGUAUCACAUAUCAUCUCUUCUCAUUUUCUUCUCUUUAUCCUUCAUGCUGCCUGCAAGAUAGGGAGAUUGUGAACAAUCAGCUGGAGCUAUGAUUGCUUACCUUGUCUGUCACCUCUUUCAGCAGAUCCCCUAGCUCGGCGAUUUGGGGGACUCCUACUACAUGGUUUGUAUCGCGCUUGACCAAGCCUGAAACUACAAGUAAGCUUCAAGUGAAAUUGAUACAUUACCUUGUGCAUCUCCACCAGUUAAAGAUACUACCCCUGGAUGGAGGAAGAGUACUUCCAGAGAAGAUGCCCCAUCUACCUAUGAGACAGAUAAGGCACGUCAAGACGAUACCACACUCUGAUACUUAGAAGUUUCGUGAUUACGAGAUCAUUCUCCCACAAUAUUUCCUAAUGUCAUUUGUACUAAAUCAUUCACUUGUACUCACUAAAGGAGAGCUUGAACCUAUGUACUUGUGUAAACCCUUCACAAUUAAUGAGAACUCCUCUAUUCCGUGGACGUAGCCAAUCUGGGUGAACCACGUACAUCUUGUGUUUGCUUUCCUAUCUCUAUCCAUUUAUAUACUUAUCCAUACUAAUGACCGGAGCAAUCUAGCGAAGAUCACAAAAAGCGACCGUUUUCGCUACCUAAGAUCUAUCGUGCAAGAGAACGGAGAAUUAGAUGGAGAUCUCAACCAUAGAAUACAAGCUGGAUAGAUGAAGUGUAAGAGUGCAUCCGACGUGUUGUGUGACCGUCAUAGGUCACUGAAGCUCAAGGGAAAAUUUUAUAGGACGACAAUAAGGCCAGCGAUGUUGUAUGGCACAGAAUGUUGGGCGGUGAAGCAUCAAUACGUACACAAAAAUGGGUGUGGCGGAGAUGAGGAUGCUUCGUGGGAUGUGUGGGCACACGAGAAAGGAUAAGAUUGGGAAUGAGUAUAUCCGAGGUAAAGUAGGAGUAGCCGAAAUUGAAGGAAAGAUGAGAGAAAAUCGGUUCCGGUGAUUUGGACAUGUGCAAAGAAGGCCUACUGACGCUCCGGUUCGAAGAUGUGACUACUGGACAGAGGUUCAGGGCCGAAGGGGUAGAGGAAGACUUAGAAAACCUUUGGAAGAGACUCUAAGAAAAGACUUAGAGUACUUGGAUCUAAUGGAGGACAUGACACAAAACCGAGCGCAAUGACGUUCUAGGAUUCAUAUAGCCGACCCCACUUAGUGGGAAAAGGCUUUGUUGUUGUUGUUGUUGUUGUUGGGGUUUUGCAGGGAGUACUAAUGUACUGAUUUUCUGGGAUUUUUUUUGUCCUUGCAGGAUUUUUGGUCUUUGAAAUGGGUAUGUGUUGUUUUUAAUGUUUCAGUUCUAGCGUUUUCCGUUCUUCGUUGCUUCGUGAUUCUCAUUUUUCAGUGUUGGGUGAUGGAAAUUUGUUAAAGUAGUUGGUAGUUUUUUGAGAAAGUUGGCAUUUUUAGUUAUAUUUUCUGUUUAAUCCUAAAUGUUUUGAAAACUCAUAAUUUUUUUGUUCUGGGAUUUAAAAGCAUCUUUUCCAGAUUGGUUACAAGGGUUAUGUUCUCUUCAAUUGGUUCACCUAAUUUUGAUUAGUUUUAAGUUUUGUCCUUUAAGUUUGUCUUUUAAGUUUUGUUCUUUAAGUUUUGUCUUUUAAGUUUUGUUCUCUAAGUUUUGUCUUUUAAGUUUUGUCUUCUGUGCUGUAAUGAGAGAUUUCCGUUGGCCUUUCGGAUUUUGGCAUGGGAAAGUUCACUUAUUUGCAAGGUUCUAAAAAACGCUAGGCGUUAGUUGGGCGGUGGGCUAGCGCCUAGCGGCUAGGCGGCUAGGCGGGAUCUAGGCGGGAUCUAGGCGGGCGCCUAGGCGGCCUAGGCGGAUUUAGGUAAAUUUCUUAUAUAUUUUAUGAAUUAAUUAAAUUUACUAUAUCAAAUGUAAAUAAUUAUUAACUAAUAUGUUAUUUCUUAUAGAAGAACAUACAUAGUGAAUGUUUUAUGUACAUAUAUAAUAUAUUUGUCUAGGAAAAAAAAAUAUUAUCUAAAUAAUUUUUAUAACAUAUAUAUAUAUAUAUAUAUAUAUAUAUAUAUAUCCCAAACUUUUAAAAAUAUAAAUAGCAUUGGGAGAGGGGCGUAGGGUUUCUAAAAGCACACUCAGAAAUAGAGCAUAUUUUAGUCUUUAUUUUAGAAUCCUAAGGAGCACCCUACUCGGAUGCACGACAUGUGUGCAAAUCUGGAGAUUCUUGCUGUAUCGGAUACACCAAUGCUUAGUCAAAAUUUCCUGCUAGGGUUUAUGGUGGACAUGUGUGUGUGGUCUUCAUUAUUAAACCCAUUAGCACCUCACCUUUUCACAUCACCCGUCCAUCACCUUGGGUGGUUUUGAUAAUUAAAACCAUCAACAUCCAUGGUUUUGAUAAUUAGAACUACCAACUUUUCCUUGGAUUUGAGAAUCUGAGAUCCCAUUCAUCGCCAUCAAAUAUUGAAAUGUUUCAUUGUUCAUCUCUUUCUCCCUCUUCUCACUCUCUAUUCCCUCAUCUUCACAGAGAUGAGUUACAGAAAUUCUCCGGUAAUCUCUCUCUCUCUCUCUUCGUAAUCGACGAGCUCCUCGACUUGAAGUCGCAGCCAAGUUAUGAAGAAUCGAGAUGCGAGAGCAAGUGGAGAGUGGAGACUCUGGAAAUUGGGAGUGACGAUCGACGACGAUGAGUCGAUGACCCAGGAAACCUCUUGAAGUUGCAGCAGGUGAGUGCACUGCAGUUGAGGAAGAAGAGACGAAGAGACUUAGUUUCUGAAAUUAGGGUAGCUGCAAGGCACGGGAACUUAAAAACAAAAAAACAAAAAGAAAACCGCCUAGCUCCGCCAGCCGCCUAGCCUGCCUAGGCGCCUCCUAGCCCGCCUAGGUGCCGCUUAGCCACCGCCUAGAGCCCAGCCGUUUUUUCCCACCGUUUUGCACAAAAACGCCUUGGCCACCCUCCGCCUAGCGCCUAGGCGGCCGCCUAGGCCGUUUUUUAGAACACUGCUUAUUUGUCUAAUUAGAUUGUGGAUGCCUUCGAUUCUUUAUUUAAUUGUUCUGUUUGCGUUCGGGUGUGAUGAUCUAAAUUUCAUAUGUUUGGAAUUAUUUACUUAACACCAAUUUGUUACAUUCAGAUCUCCACCCCACAUUUCACUAGUUCAAAUUCCAUAGAAGUUGGUUAUUGCAGAUUGCGUCUACAAUUAGAUCAGAGAUCAACUACUCUUUUGUUAUCCUGCAGAAGAUUGCUUUUGGGAAGGAUCUGAAGUAGUUUCUCUCUGUAUGUUUAUUCCCAUGUAGCUCUGUCUUUUCUAAUUGAUGGUGUUGAUAUUACACUGUAAUUCAUGAUGAUGAUUUAAUUGUUUAUUGAUUUGUAAUUGUUUGUGAAUAAUGUGGCAUAUAUGAAUUGCAAUCUGUGUUUGUAUGAAAGGGAUGGCAUAUUAUGUUGCUGACUUAAUUGUUUAUGUUUUUCAUAUUUGCGAAUGGUGUUAUGAUCAAUUAGGUGAUUGCUGACCUGUGACUUUGUUUGGAGCUCAAAUUUUGUGAGCAUUACAUUGGAUUGUUUUGAUGUUGUUUUGGUUGACAAUGCAGGGAUAGGAGAAACAAAGAGGAUGACACUUAUAACUGCCAUUCCCCAUCGGCCGUCUUCAAAUUUGGAUCACAAGAAGGGAGCAACAUAGGUGUUUUCCUUCUUUAUUUAGAUAUGGUUAGUGUAAAUAAUUGGACAAAAGAGCCAAACAAACCCUGUUCUCUCAAAUGGAGUUGAUGAUGUGGUCGACGGCCACCAGCCCCAACUCAAGAGUUUGGCCUUCAUAUAAUUGGAUUGUAGUAUAAUUUUAUUUUUGUUCAUUUCUUUUUUCCUUUAUAUAAGUGCAGGUGUUGUGAUGUUUUGAAUAAAGGGUGAUGAAAGGUGGUUCACACUUCCUCCUUACUUAAAGCAAGUGGAGAUGACGGUUUGUAUAAAAAGAAAAACUUGCCACGUACUUCAAUUUUCUAUUUUAUUAAUUAUUGUUUGGUUUUCCAAAUGUUGUAUUCACAAAGAGAGACCAAUUAUGUCUUUGAGAAACAAGUUUCUUUGUCUACAUUGCGAGAAUUUGCAGUUUGCAACUUUCAUUGGUUAUUAUAUUUGAUUGAGUUAAACUUGGAUUUCUGGAUUCUGACUUUUUCGUUUGUUUCUUUGUUGCAGAGUUGGCUUCAUUUCAUUCCAGGAACUCUCUAAAUAGGGCCAAGAACUCACUAAAUAGGUAGUCAAGAGGAAUUCAGUUUUGCCUUCAAUUUUUGCCUUCUGUUUACAUUCUUCCUGGAUGCACUCUCACCGCUUCUCUCGCUUACCACUUUUUUCUCACUCACCGCUUCAUCUCUUCUGUUGCUUACAAGGUCGUGUCAUAUAUUUUUUAAUUUUGUGGUUUAAUUUAUUGAAUAUUUGAAAAAAGAGAUAAAAUUAUAAGAUACUAUAUAAGAUACUAUAUAGUAUCUUAUAAAUAAAUGAAUCACAAAUGAUACUAUAGUUGUUAAAAAAUCCCAUUACUCAAAACUCCAAUUCCCUCCCAUUACUGAAAGCUCCAAUUCCAUCAAAACCGAGAUGGUAAAAGUACAAACUGGCUAGUUUCCACCAAAAAAAAAAGUACAAACUGGUUACAAAAAUAUGUUUUGUCCCAUCCAAUUGACGAAAAGAGAUAAAAUUUUCAAUUUACAAUUACUGAUAUGAUGUUUGUUUUGAAAAUCAUUAAGGUGAAUGGAGAGAUUUACAACCAUGAAGAGCUGAGGAGCCGUUUGCCAAAUCAGAUUUAUAAGGUCUCAUCAAUUAUGAAUAAACGACUUUUCAUUCCCAAUGACCUUUAUCGUUUUUCUUAAUGGGUUAGCUGAACAUGAGGUAGAUGCUGACUUUAUCAAAUAUGAGAAUGUUUUAGGAUUUCAUUCUAAUUUUUUGGCUGUUUGAUUACUUUGCUUUUCGUAAUUUGUUUUGCUUAUCGUCAAUUGGAUGGGACAAAACAUAUUUUUGUAACCAGUUUGUACUUUUUUUUUUGGUGGAAACUAGCCAGUUUGUACUUUUACCAUCUCGGUUUUGAUGGAAUUGGAGCUUUCAGUAAUGGGAGGGAAUUGGAGUUUUGAGUAAUGGGAUUUUUUAACAACUAUAGUAUCAUUUGUGAUUCAUUUAUUUAUAAGAUACUAUAUAAGAAACUGUUAUUAGCACUCUAAAAAACUCAUUCUACACUCGCGACAAGUGUAUUUUUCUUUUUAAUUAUGGAAAGUUUGAAGGGCAAAAUGAGAAUUUUGGAGUGCCAAUAACAAUUCCCUAUUAUAUAUAGCUCUACUGGGAAGGCUACUGUAUAUGUCUUCAUCCUGUUAAAUUGUAUAUGGCUCUUGAUGUCGGCUGAAUUAAAUCAAAAUGAAAACCAAGCUGAUCUUACCAGCCGAUAUCACUUAUCACUUGCUUAUUUAAAUUAUUUGAAGAUGCGUAUGUGGAUUGGUGAUUUUGUUGGAUUCACUUAGCUCAAAUAUAUGUUAUCUGAGUCGCUACAUUUGAGAAUGUGAUUCUGUUCCUACCACCAUUUUGCCCACUUUUUGUGGAAAUUAUUCAUUCCUGUUGUGAAUAAUACAUUCAUCCCCGGCAACGAAGUGCGGGCACAUUUUAUAGUUUAAAUUAAAUCACACAAUGGGUCAUCAAUAAUGACAAACUCGUCAUUUAUGCGAGUCAAACAUGAGGCCACCUACCUACUAGUUUAGUGGAAUACCACAAAGUGACAUGUUGAUACCUUUAAGUCUCAUAUAAUGGAUUGCAGAAUUAGGAUAUACCUAGACUAAUUUAGUCAGUGCGUGAACCCGAACAAUUAACAAGGGUUUUAUUCUUGCUUGAAUGUUUGUUAUAUGUUCCUAGUUUGACAAGGCAAUUAUAUUUCCGAUUACAAAAGUUAUUAAUUUAGUCGAGAAUUGACGCACCUGAAAUGGUGUGAGGAAAACAUGUAGACACAUCAACCGCAGUCCACUGUCCUGGGCAUCUAUCUUCCCCGAAACGAAGCUCAAAGCCAUACAUGAGGGCAUUGUGUAUGUCUUUAUAAGAGAAGUUGCUGUAGUCUUCAACGUAGCCGGCAGCCAAACUCAUCCACUCUACACUGCAACCCUCAUCCAAAUCCCAUGCUUCCAACCUGCCCCCGACAUAGUCAGCGACCAUGACAUAGCUAUACGUUUUUGGUUGACUCGAAGAAGAAGAAGAAGUAUUAUUCAAGCAUGGAGCAGUGUCCACGUACAGAGAAGAAUUCGAUGGAUUCGAACACUUCAAGUAAUAUAUAGAUAGAGAAUUGAUGUCAUAGGUGGGCCAAUAUGGAGAAUUGAUGUCCUCGGUGGUGGGCGGAAUAUUUUGAGACAUGGAAGAGCAAUUGUUGUUGUCAAGCCCAGGAUCUAGAACUCGGAUUGUAUUGUUAAUGUAGUUGAUUGCCUGGACAUAGUAUUUUCCGGAAGAAGGUACGUCUAGUACAGUAAUGUUGCUCUCACAGUACAGAGUAUACAUUAUGUUGCCACAGUACUUUGGAUCAUCGUUCAGUCGAAAAGGAUGGCUUAUGUAGUGGAUAUGGCCGCAGGAUGAAGUGCAGGACUUGGCACUACUGUUGUCAGCGUUACAAGUUUCACUGCAAAAGCAAAGAAGAAGAAAGGCUAAACUUAAGGUGAAGGACCUGCUUCCACUAAUUUCCAUUGAUCUGAGAGAGAGAGAGAGAGAGAGAGAGAGAGAGAGAGAGGGUACUAUAGCUUGAACACCAAGGAGUUAUAUAAUAUGGGAGGGGUUAAAGCGCUUCGCUUAAAGUUGCAGUAAGCCCGGCAAAUAUCCUAGGGAAAAGUCGGUCAAUGGUGUCCUAUAGAGAAAAGUCGGCCUUGGUGUUUGACACGGUCACUCACUCUCUCUCUCUCUCUCUCUCUCUCUCUCACAUUGACGAGGGACACUGUAAUUAACAAAAAAAUUGUUCUUCAGAGAUAGAUUUUGAAAUUCUUAUUUUAUAUAAAAAAACACCUAAUAUUAAUCAUUCAAAUGAAAUUCCUAAAAUUAAGUAUAAAUAAUACAUAAUAAAAACUGAACACAUACAAUCAACGGUCACGAUCAUGAAAUCCUUCGGAUCCUCAGAAAAAAAUCCGACGAUGAUCUUUUUCUGUGUAAAAUAAUUUGAGGGUAUAAUACUGGAUGUGCGAUUAAACCGAAGAACCCACCCACCUCCAUCUUCUCCGACCAACUUGAACCCAGCCACUACUACAUGUCAUCCCGACAACCCACUCUCAGCUUCCCAAACCGCCAUUUUUCACCCAUUCACCUACCACUGCCAUUAUUCAUUCAAUCAACCCAAAACACGAGAGCCACCCCCAUCUCACCAGUCGAACAGAUGCAGCCACCCACCCAUUUAAUCCCAGUCCAAAAUCAAACCCUCUCCUAAACCCACCCCAGAAUCCAAUAAUUUCAAAAAAUGGCUGAUUAUAUCAUUUCAAGAACCUCACAAUUCCAAAAACUAAAAACCCACUUCAAAGAUGUAAUAUUUUUCUCUCUUCCUCUUUUUGGGUUUUUUUUUCUUUUUUUUUAUCAAUUCUCUUCUGGGUUUUUGUUUACAGUGUAAAAUCAACACUAAUUUACUAAUUUUGCUUUGAUUUCAAACACUAUUGAGGCGUGAUAACCUGUUGCAAGCUCAGCCAUGGCGGCUACUGCGAAAUCUAACGGAAAAACCAUCACAGACUCUGCCAUUUCAUCCAAGGUUCCGACAAUAGCAAAACGAAUAGCUGUCGCAGAUUUCUUCCAACAUCAAUCACUACGCGAAAUUAAUUGUCAAUGAAGACGAUCCCAUUCCCCUUCGAAAUCUGCUGGGGAAAGAGACCUUCUUUCAGAUCUGCUCUGAGACCGGUUUAUGCGAGAGAGUGGUGAGCCUGACGACAGAGAGAAAUAAGGGCAGGAUUGGAAAAUUGGAAAGUUCAUUUAUUGGUUACUGUUUAUCCGUGUUUCUUCGAAAUAAGCUGCUUUUUCCAGCUUUGGGUUUCAGUGUUUUUUAACCCAUAAUUUUGAAAGAAAAAAAACUGAUUUUAAAUGUUUAUCAAACACUUAAAAUGUUCCAAUCUUUUUUCAUACCUACUUUUUAUUAAAAGUUAAGCUAAACAAAAAUCAAGAUUAAGUUUACUACUCUGAAGUUUCUUGCUUUUCAACAUUUCAUACAUUGAAUUUUUCUCAUCCAGUGUCAUAUCUAAGGUGGGAAUUGUGGGACACUUUUAUACAUCCGUUAGAUUUUAUGUGAAUUGCGUGGCACUUUUAUACAUCCGUUAAAUUUUUUGUGAGAACCUUCGCUGACCCACGAUGCGGCAUGCAUGUGGACAUUAAAAAAAUUCAAAAAAUUCAAAAAAUUUUAAAAUUUUAAAAUUUAAAAUUCAAAAAUACUAAAAACCUAAACUUUUCAUAAUAUUGAAAGACUGAAUCUUUUCACAGUCAGCCAAAUUUUCUUCAAAUUUUAAUUAGAUGAAAUAAUGAAUCUUGAACAAAGCAAAACAAAACGUAAUAUUGAGAGAUUCAGUCAUUGAAGUGGACGUGGAUGUUGGGUACUCAAUAGUCCAAGAAUGAAAACUCUCAUAUCAGUUUCUAUCCAAAAUUUUGGAAUUAUGUGUGUUGCAACGAUUGUCCAAAGGAUUAUUCUUCUUUUAUUAAAUUUCCAUGAAAAAUGAGCAUGGAGCACAAAAGUUGAACGAAUGAUUAUUCUUCUUUUAUUAAAUUUCCAUGGAAAAUGAGCAUGGGGCACAAAAGUUGAACGAAUGAAAUUUCAACGAUUUGAAAAGGGAUUGUGAGUUUGACAUGUCAUUUUUCUUCCUCUAAUGCAAUCAUGUUUAUUAAAAGACAAAAAUAAAUAUGACUUUACAUAAGGAGAGAGAAGGAGUAGUUUUCUUUGAAAAAAUCAACCAUUUAUUGAAGAGGAUGUGGAUGUUGAUUGAUGCGUCGUGAAUACGAAAAAAAGGACCUUGAAAGGAGUUGAGACAUUCAUUAAAAGCUAGAAGAAAAAAAAGUUAAAAGUGUUUUAGAAAAAAAGCAAGAAAGCCUCAUUUUCAAAGUUGUGGUCAUUGCACAAUACUUGAUUAGAAGAAAACUCAUAGUAUUGUAUUUACAAUUUCAAGUCUUUAUGGGGAACGAGAGAGCAAGUUUUCCAAUUGGAAUAUGAUAUGAAAUUUCUACAUAACUAUAUAUGACAAUGAAAGAAGUCUAAGUUUCUAAAUGGAAGGGCUUCCAAUUGAUGUGAGUUUGUUGAGAAAUUAGUGAACAACAGAACAAGUUGCUUCUCCUUUGGCCUUCUAACAUGAUAUCACAGAAAACAAGUUGUUACUAAUAAAUGUAUCUGAUUGGUGGACUUAGACGUGCGCGGUACGAUUUUUGAUAACUAGAGAAGAUGGGCAGUGUCAUGACAAAAUUUAUCCAAGUAGACCCAAAGGAAUGACUUAGGAACUUCAUAUGCAGUGGGAUAAAAUCUUAAGCUAAUUUCCUUACCUAUCUUAUAGGCAUUAAGUAAAAUGUAUAUGCAUAUUUCUAGACACACCAAUUUACUUAAUAUUAACUUCUUUCAAAUACCCAUUUGCAGAAACGCAAAGCUCUCUUGCAUGCUUGUUGUAAUGCUUAUGUAGUGCGUAUCCUAUAUCUUAUAUAUAUAUCUUACUUUUUGUGAUCCAUUUUUUCAUCACUAUGCCAAACGAAUAGCAAAACGAAUAGCUGUCGCAGAUUUCUUCCAACAUCAAUCACCACGCGAAAUUAAUUGUCAAUGAAGACGAUCCCAUUCCCCUUCGAAAUCUGCUGGGGG